This 100008-nucleotide long non-coding RNA is filed under the name Populus tremula. RNAcentral's name for it is "long non-coding RNA (PTRE_LNC003330)". The record is from RNAcentral. Lineage: Eukaryota; Viridiplantae; Streptophyta; Magnoliopsida; Malpighiales; Salicaceae.
ACCAGAAAACGUACCGUUACAUGAUGGCAAUCGUGGUGGAGCAGAGCAGAACCAAGAAGAUGAAACCAAGCUCUCCAUGUUAUGGCAUUCCCGAAUGCUGAUGCGCUCCAGUUCAGUUGCAUUCUCUAAUGACAAAACAUCACAUAAACUUCUUGCAUCGAUGCAUUCACAAAUCAGUCCUUGAAUGCCAUUUAAGAACUUGACCUGAAAAUCUCUAUCUCCGUUGAUACUCAAAUUACCCAACCCAACUGUUUUACUUGGAAAACGUUCAAUGAAUUGCUCUGAAUAUCUACCCACCUCUCCUACUAAAAUCUUGCAUGUGCUUAAUGAUAGGAUCCCAUCCCGAGAUCUGAGAUACUCCACGAAGUCAGAAAAACCUUCGAAAUGGCACUCCAAAGUUUCCAAAUUUCUCAAGGAUACUACUUCCUUUCCUUUAACUGUUAUCGGAGCAUAUCUUCGAUCAAUUAACCUUUCCUCUAGUACAAAGACUUGCAGGUGAGAGAGUUUUGGUAAUAUCCCACUAGGAAACUCCUUUUCACCACAUCCAUUCAUUCUAAGAUACCUCAGGUUGGUUAGGCAUUCCAUUCCUUGUGGCAUCUUUUCAAGUGUAGUGCAAGAGAGAUCCAACCUUCUCAGUUCCCUGAGCUUCUUUAAUGAUGGAACAUGUCUUAACUUCCAACAAUCAUUGAGCAAUAAUGCAGUGAGACUCACCAAAUCAGAGACAGAGUCUGGCAAAUUUUCAAUACCUAUGGAAGACAGAUCGAGGACCUUGAGCCCAUGCAAUUGCUUGAAAAAUGAAUCUGCAAUAAAUCGCAACCAACGAUUUUUACAUAGCAAUAGAGUUGAUAGAAAGGGACACCUAGGUGAAUAGCUGGAAGGAAUUUCUUCGAUCUCGUUUCUCAUUAGUGAAACCAUCGUCAGAUUCUCCGUCCACUGCUCUGCAUCUGGCAACUCUUUUAAUUGCGCACCUGCUUUAACCAUGACUUGAUAUUCGUCUUGCAGUAUAUGGAUGGCCAUGUCCCUAAUCAAGUCAUGCAUCGUGUUGCCCUCAUCAAAUGCAUCUCCCCUGCUCCUCUUUCCUUUAAUAAUUCCCUCAUCGAUCAAAUAACCUAUCAACUCCUCCCUUGCAAUCAUAUCAUCUUCAGGAAAUAAUGCACAGUACAAGAGACAUUGCUUUAGUGCUAAAUCACCUAACCGAUCAUAACUAAACCUCAAUAACCUGAAUACUUUAUCAUCUAUGUCCCUAAAUUCUGAUUCUCUCAAUUUGUUCAAUGUAUUUCUCCACUCAUGUGGGUCAUCCACUCCCCUCAAGCUUCCUGCCACUGCAAUAAUUCCCAAUGGCAAACCAGCACAUUCCCCAGCAAUAUCUUUCGCAAUUCCUUCCACUUCUGGUAAAAGUGCUAUGUCACGUCCAAGUUUUUCCAUGAACAAAGUCCAAGCUUCUCCCUCCGAAAGUAGCUUCACUUUGAUUUUGUGCUGGCAAGCCAUCCUAUGACAAACCGUUUCUGAUCGAGUUGUCAAAAUCAACUUGCAUCCUUCCAAUUUUUCAGGAAUUCCCACUUCGUGUAGCUCAAAAUUAUUCCACAAAUCAUCUAAAAUGAGAAUCCAUUUUUGUUUCUUCAUUAGUUCUUCCAACAAUUUAGCAGCUCUAUGCAAAUCAUCAUCUUCGCUUGAAAGGUCUAGAUGAAGAUGUUUAGCAAUAAGAUUCUGCAAUCUAUUAAUGCUGAAAUCUUGAGACACAGUCACCCACCAAACAUGAUCACAAAUAUUUGGUUUUUGUAGAAGCUCAUUAUGGAUAUGUUGCAGUAUUGUGGAUUUACCAACUCCCCCCAUCCCAUAAAUGCCAAUGGUUGAGACUUCCCCAUCCAUUAACAAAGACCAUAUCACCUUCGUAUUCUCUUUGAAUGCUUGACCCACUGGCUUUGUAGAGCUAGUAGGUAAUGGAACUCCUCUAGUCUUGUUGUAUUUCAGACUUUCAGAAGAUCUAGCUCCAGCACCAACCUGCACUGAUCUUCGACUAUUCUCCACUUGUUCUGUCCUCGGUCUGCUCUCGAGUGCCCCUUCGGAAACUCCAUCUUCAUGUGCUCUCAUUCCGGUCAUGCUUACUACGUCGUUUCCUGCUAUUGCAUGUGAAGUAAUCCUCUCUUCCCCUACUCCGGGUUCUACAACCUGAACUUCUCUUUGUACCCUUCCAAUUCCUCCUUCCAUAUUUUCAAUCUCAAUGUUUUGUUCUUGUGGACAAGUUGAAAUUCCCAAAUCAUUAACAUUGACUGAACUUGCUGUGCUUUUAUGUCUUUUGUUGCCACCACACAUAGCUAGAAAGGCUGCUUCUUGAACUUCUGUAGUCACCCCAGGACAAAUGGCAACAUUAUGCCCUCUCUCUCUUGAUAAAUGCCAUUUGAUCCUCGAAAUGGAAGUAUCCUUGGCAUAUGUAUGUGGACAAAACUUACACUUCAUCCUACCAUCAGCCCUAUAUUCAACAUAAUUCCAAAACGGAUAAUUUGAUCCAACCAUUUCGACCUACAGAAAAAAAGGGGGGGUCAAAAUAUAGAAUAAAAAUCAGUCAAAAUAAAGAAUAAAAAUCCUAUCUGGAUGGAUGAGAAACUACUUCAGUUCUGUUACCCCUAUUUUGCUAUUAAAAUUGAUAGUUAGUUUAUAGCACAAUCAUAGGGGGAAAAAAGACGACAAUAAUUCAGUUAGACUUCUUACUUGUUGAGUAUUUAAACCCCUAUUUUGACUUUGCAAGGAAGUGUCAGGGCCAGGAUUUGAGGCAUUUGGCGUAGCAGUUUGAUUUUGCAAUCCUCGGACUUGGAGGUUAUCCAUCUGUGACCUAUAUAUAAAUGAAGUGAUCAUAUUAUAAAACCUUUCCAUAAUUGGUAGUCUCUCUUAAGCAGUAAAAGUUAAUGGUAUUAAAACACAACAGCUGGAAGUCAAUCAGUACCUAGGCACGAAGUUCUCUUGUUGCACAUUGUCUAUGUUAGGAAUUACAGCAGCUUGAUCGACUUGUCCUUGAUUAGAAAAAUAUUGACUCCUGAAUCCAAAAUCAUUUGCAAACAAUAUGUUUAGUUUGUUUGAUUCAUGUUCAAGCUAUGAUGUUUCUUUCCUGAUUGAAAAACUACUUUUUUUAUAUAGAAAAUACUAAACAAGAAAAAUUGGAGCAGGAAAAGAAGGUCCAAAUGAGUAUUGGAGUACUGAUGCCUGAAUAAUAUUCAAAUAGUUAAACUUAGAACUGUUAUUCUAACUUGGUUGAUUUUCUAGUUCCAUUAUGUGCACACAAAAAGAGAGAGAGAGAGAGCUCAAAAAGACUUGAAAGAUCCUCGUCAAUUUUGGUCAACUUUGUUGUUUUCAUGAUUAAAAAAGUGUAUAUUCGAGGUUAAUACCAUCGAUUCAUCGCAGGCACAUGAUUGCUCAUAAUUGGUAACUGAUAAUCAGUCCAUUGUUGGUCCCUAAAUUAGCAACAUUUGUUAGUGAUUUCUUUAUACAUAUGCAUAAUUCUUUGCUAUUAAUCCACUAAGCAUUUGAUAUCAUUUUAGCUUACCUCAAAGGCAUUGAUGGUCCAGGCAGCAUGGGAUUGACACAUUGAGGAUCACGUAAAUUAGGAUUAGGCUGAUACCUAUAUUCAAACAUAAUGAAUUCACUGAUAAGUAAAACAACAAGAGGAAGAAGAAGAAGUUAAAUAAUGAUUGAAAAACUUUUUUUUUAAAACAGAAAAUACUAAAAAUGAAAAAUUGGAUACCGGGGAGGAGGAAAAGAAGGUCCAUGUUGAUUGAAGCCACCAUGUUGUGAAGUGGUUGCGUUCGGUGUCAUAUAGCCAUGUCCCGGCUGAGGUUGAUGAAUAAAGGAAUUAUGAUGCCUUGAUGGAGUUUGAGGCCAAUUUGGUUCAUUUUGAUUGAUCCAUGAUGAUGAUGUUCCAUCCAAACCUCCCAUUGUUGUCUGUUUGUUUAACAAUAAACAAUUAGAAGAUGCUCGAGAUAAAUCGAUACACUAAACUUUUUGUAUAACACAAACACUUGCUAAUUCAAUAGACAUUGUAGCAAAUUGGAGUAAGCAUGAGUACUCACCAUGGUUUCAGGAAAUGAAGUUGGAAACUGAGUUGUACUAUCGUUGAUCACAUUGUUCCAUCCAAACCUCCCUUGAUCAUUGCCUUGGUUGACUGGAACCUCCGAUGCCGGCCUGCUUCCAUGGAAUAAUAGGAUAAACUGAAGAAUAACUAAAUUGCAAGCAAUCAUCUUCUGAUAAAAUAUGCUUAAGAAUGACGUACGAGAGAAGCUCAGAUAUAUUGAAUGUAUCAUCUUCUGAUUGAAAAUCCAGCUGAUCCCAUGUCAUGUUGUCAACCUCCUCCAUAGAAGAUGGUUGGAACCCUUCCAUCUGACCAGAAAACAUCAGAAAAGACAAAAAAAAACUGAGGUCUAAAAAGAACAGAAAGCACAGAUCAGAAAAGAAUAUAUAUAUCCCAUUGUUGUCUGUUUGUUUAACAAUAAACAUUUUGAAGAUGCUCGAGAUAAAUUGAUACACGAAAACAUAAAACUUUUUGAUCCAAUGGGUGAUACAAACACUUGCUAAUUCAAUGGACAUUGUAGCAAAUUGGAGUAGGCAUGAGUAAUCACCAUGGUUUGAGGAAAUGAAGGUGGAAACAGAGUUGUUUGUUGAAUACUAUCGUUGAUCAUAUUGUUAUCCACCACCAUGUUCUGUCCAUCUUGAUCAUUGCAUAAUAUGGAGCUUUGGUUGCCUGAAACCUCCGGUGGCGACCUGCUUCCAUAGUCAGUAACAUUAUUGUAAAUAAUAGGAUAAACUGCAAGCAAUCGUCUUCUGAUAAAAUAUGCUUAAGAAUGACGUACAAGAGAAGCUCAGACAUGAAUGCAUCUUCUAGUGAUUGAAGAUCGAACGGAUUCGAUGUCACGUUGACAUCAUCCUCCAUAGAAGAUUGUGGGAACCCUUCCAUCUGACCUCAAGUACAAGACGAUUAGUGUGUACUGAGGUGGAAAAAGAACAGAAAGCUCAGAUCAGAAAAGAAUAUAUAUAUUAAAAAAAUAAUUAUGACUUGCUUAUUUGUUAAAGAAAUUCGGAUGAAAAAUAUGAAAUAUAAAUGUUGUUGUUAAUGAUUUAACCCUUUGUAUUUAAAGCUAAAUUAUCAUACUCAAAUUAUAUCCUAAAACUCUAGAAUGAUAGAUAGAAAGAUGCAGGAGAAGGAAGGUAGAAGAGCUGAUUGUUUUGACGGGGUAAACAAAAACCUCUUUCAAGUUUCAAGUCCUAUUUAUUCAUAAUUUGGGGAGCAAAACACAUGCAAGAUUAUUUUUGUUAACUACAAAAAUCAAUUCCCUCUAUUUUAACCCUUAGUUACACUUUAUAAAGCACACACAAAAAUAAUAAUAGGAUAUUGUUAAUUCAUUGAAUCAUUGUAAGAAAAAAAAAAGUUGAAAAAUAUUGAAAAAAAAAUAAAUGGCAGUCCCAUUAAUUGGAAAAGAAAAGGGUGAAUCUAAAAGGAGGAGUCUAAAAGGAGGAGUUAAAAACAGCAAAGAAUCUUGAAAAGACGAAAACAAUGAAUUCAGUAUUAAUUUAGUAUGAACACCACAAGGCAUGGAUUAUGAAAUCCGAGAAAAAGAUCGAUUAAUUUAUCAUGGAUUACUUUAAAGAUUCAGACAAGAUGAAGUACAAAUAAUUUACCUGGAUUCAAGAUGUUCUUCAAGUGCUAGCUGGAUUACCUAAUAAGGAAGGAAAAUAGGGAAUUGUAUAAUGAGAUGAGAUGUGGAAGAGAAUGUCACAGCAACAAGGUCGCCUCAAUAAUAAUAAUUAAUUAACGUAUUGUUUGAUAGGAAGGAAGUUGCCAGGAAGAUACAGAAAGUUAACGUGUGGACCCGCCCCAAUGUUGACACUUCGAAGAAGCUGCCAAGAAAAUGUAAACACAUGAAAUUUUAAAAAAAAUGAUAUAUUAAUGUAAACACAUGAAAUUUAAAUAAAAAAAAAUAUACUUUUUAUUUAGAAAUACAUUAAAAUAAUAUUUUUUAUUUUUUUAUUUUUUAUAUCAUAAUAUCAAAAUAAUUAAAAAAAAUCAAAAUUUUAAAAAAACACAUUGCGUACGGUAAACUGAUAAUGCUAGAUUAAGUGUUCAAAUGAGAGUGAGGCUCCAAAUCUAAUUACGUAGCAAUUACUAAUUGGGAUAAAAAGAAAUUAAAAGACAAAGUUAUGCUUCUGCCGUUGAGUGUGUAUAUUAGAUCAGAGUGAUUUUACUUAACCAUGAAAUUUGAACAGCUAGGCAGAUAGCAGAAGGCUAGUGGAACCACUGCUGGGCUAGAAAAUGAAUGUUGCCGUUUUUCAGUUUAUUAGAGAGAGGGCAGAAAGCCUUAAUUAGAAAAUAACUUCAUAGCUUCAAACAAUGAGAGGGAGCUUCAGUGCAGCAGGAAACUUCAACAUCUAUUAUAAAAAUUGUGUUUGGUAAACGCUGUGUAAAUUAUGUGUUUAUAAAUUUUAAUUUUUGUUAUUAAAAAUUAUUAUUAUUAUUAUUAUAUUUUCAGAUUAUUUUGAUGUGUUAUAUUAAUAAAAAAAUAAAAAAAAUAUUAUUUUGAUGUAUUUCUAAGUAAAAAACACUUUGAACUAUAAUCGCUAUCACAAUUUCAAAAACAUUCUUAUGAUUUGAUAUCCAAUCUGCACAUGAUUUUUCUACUAAUACAAAGAUCGUGUUUUUUUGUUGUUGAAAAAUUAUAAACCAAUAACUUUUUAUCUUUUUCCAAGCUUUUUGGUGAUUUUUUUAAUCUCAAAUUCAUGAACUAAAAAGGUAGCAGCGUGAAGCCUCGCCAAAAGCCCAAGAUUAAAAAUAACCAUGCUCCUAGCCCAAGCCCACCAACAUCACCCCCAGCAGAUUGGAAAAAUGCUCAUAACCAUUCCGGAAAAACACACCUAGGCUACUAUGGUAUACUAGAAAGUGGAAAUAAAUCGAUAUUAAUCAUCAAAUAAAUCGUUAGCAGAAACCAAAAAUAAAUAAAUAAAUUGUUCAUGCUACUCCAUCUUAUUGAUGGGAAUGGCUUUUGACCAGCAUUAAUACGACUCUGCUAAAAUUAUCUGACAAAUUAUCAGGCUUAUAAAAAAACUUAAUAAAAUCAGGAAAAAAAAAUCAUUUUUAUUCAAUAAAAUGGAGAAGAAAACUCAAGUAAUAAAUGUUCAAUUCACUUUCCAGCCGACAAUAAAGAAUGAAAGUAUUUUUAUUCAAUAAUACUUCUUGGGCUCAUACGGUGCCAACAAUUAUAUGAGAAUCAAAUCUCUCCGAUCACAUGGUCGUUUAAAAUGCUCAAUGCUCAACACUCAAAAAGCAAAUUUACAGAAUAAUAAAUCUAGUAAAUUUCUUGAUUUAUAUAUAUAUUAUUCAAUCAAAUAAUUGCUUGUAACAUAUAUAUGGCGAGCUUCCUAGUAUUAAAAAUUUAAGAUUAUCAAAUAAUUAAACUUUUUAUCCAAACCAAUAAAUUUUAUGUGUCUAUUUUAAAAUUUGGUUUUAAAAAGAAAAUCGAAAUGACAUAUCAAACAAUACCUAUAAAUCUUUUAUAUUACAGAUUAGCUAUAACCAGUGCACCCAUUUAUCAUUUCUAAGGUCAAUAUUUAGAAAUAAAUAAAUAAAAGCUACGUACCAAUAUUUAAAUUAAGUAAUCUCAAAGACUACUAAUUUAGCUUUUGAUAUUAAAAGGGCGUAUGUCGGUACUCUCUACCUAGUUGAUGAGGGAAAUAUCAGGUCUUCUAUCUCCACUACUCCCUGCUAACUCUUUGCCUCAUAUCUUAAGUUAUAUCUAUCAAGUUUGCUUAAUUAAGAUGGAAUAUUUAUGAAUUUUAUAUGUAUUAAAUCAAUAUAAUUGUUUUGACUUAUCAUGAUAAACAUGAAGUGAUCAUAUUAUAAAACCAAAAAUCAAUGGUGUAUCUAAAUAUAAAAAGGUAUAAAUAUUGCUAGGAAGUUAACGUGUGGACCACCCCAAUUAUGAAGAUCGGAAGAAGAUGCCUAGAAAAUGUAAACACGUGAAUAUUGAAAACAAUAACAUACUUUCCUUUUUAAAAUGUUUUUUAUUUUAAAAAAAAAUUAAUAAAAAAUUAAUAAUUUAAAAAGUAAAAAAAAAUUCAAUUUUGUUGAAAAACGUGUGCUUUAACAAUGACAUAUUAAAUAUGUGAUUAAUUAAGAGCAUGUGAUUGCUUUUGUUUUUAGUUGUUUUUUCAAAAAUGAUAAAUAGAUUUUUUUAAUGUUUUUUUUAAUUUUAAUGUAUUGGUAUUAAAAAUAAAAUAAAUAAAUAAUUCAUGUAGUAUAUUUCUAAACCAAUAUGAUAUUGAAGGUCAAAAUAAAAAAAAAUCAAUUAAAAAAAUUAAAAGAUAAAACAAACAUAUUCGAUCAGUGAGUAAAUCUGUCAAACCUGUGAAUCAGGUAACUUGGACUAACACAUCAAAGUCAUUAACAAGUUUAUGGACUCUAGUAGGAUUAUAUUUAAAAAAAAAAUUAUUUAACAAUAUAAUAAAAAUAGAUAAUUAUAAAAUUAAACAUCAACCCAAUAAUAAUAUAUAUAUUUUUAGACAGCGAUACCAUCAUACAAAGAAAAAUAAAACCAAUUAUGGAACUAAAUUCUAAACCAACCCAAAUAUUAAAUAGAAAAAAAAAUUAAAAAAAUUGAUAACCAACAAAAAAGGAAAAGAAAAAAAAAAAGCAAAACCCUAUAAACACGUGAAUAGCAGUUCUCCUACACCGUUUAGCUUUUUUUAAAAAAAUAAUAAGCAAAAAAAUACUUCAUUAAACCAGUAAACUAGUAUAAAACAUGUUAAUUUUAUAAAAAAAAAAUAAAAAAAAUAAAAAAAUUAUAAAGUUAAAUUUUAAAUCACCAGUGUAAAAUAAACAAAAAUAAAAGAAAAAAAACAAAACACAUUGGAUUACUUAUUAUAAUUUACAAUGAAAUAGGUGUGAAUACGUCUCUUAACUAUUCGUGAGCUUCUUAUUUGUUCUUAGUUUUUCUUGUUUUUUUUUUUUCUCUGGUGGAAUUCCCACACGUCUUCUUUGUGGGCAGCCCCACUUUUAAACCCAGUUUUUCAUCACGUCCCCAUGGUCCCCGUGUCCCACACGUUUUCAUCAAAAACCUAAAUUUUAGGACUUCUUUGGCAGCCACGUACAUGCUUUAGUUUUUUUCUUUUAAAAAAAUCAUCAUCAGAGACUAUUUUAUAUACCGGGGAGCUUGUUUUGAAUGCGGUAGUAAUGAUAUUUUAAAGUAUGUUUUAUCUAAAUAUAUAUAUAAAUAAUUUUUUUAUUUUUUAAAAAUUAUUUUUAACAUUAACACAUUAAAAUAAUCUAUAAAUAUAAAAAACUUAUUUAAAAAAAUUAAAAAUUAAAAAAACACAAGCAUUCCCAAACAAGGUAACGCAUCAAGAAUCACAACAAUAUGUGAGUGGAAAGUUGUGAUUAAAAUACUUGAAGUGCAUCCAGGAAAUGUAAUUAUUGUUAUUUUUAAAAUAUUUUUUAUUUAUAAUUUUAUUAAAAUAAAGAUUGUUCGUUUCGUUUUAUUUGUAAUGGUUUCAUAUUAAUUUAAAAAAUAAAAUAAAACAAAAUAAUUUUUAUCUCAUUUUAAAUCUCAAUCCCUUCCAGAUUUUUUGGUUAAAUUCAGUUCAGAAUGUUCCGGUUUUAUUCCACAUGUUCUGUUCCGGUCUUAAAAAAUCAUUGAAUCAAAUUGAACCUAGUUCAAUUAAUUAAUUAAACCAUUAAAGUAUAAAAAACUCCUUUUCAUUACUAUUUUCAUUAACUAUGAUAUUAAUUUUUUAAAAUUAGAUUUAUCACUAAUAUAUAUGGUUUAUAUUCAUAUUGUUUUUUUUUUUUCAAGUUUAUACGUUGUAGGAAUUUAAGCAAAAAUAUGGAUGUUUUAGAUCUUAUUGGUCUUGAUAACAUUGACCUAUCUUUAUAUUUAAAAUAUUAGUGUUAAAAUAUUUUAAUUUUAUAAUAUUUUAAUAUUUUAUUAAAGUUGAAUUGUUUUAAGUUAAAAAAUUAUUUAAUCUUAACUAUUUAAAAAUAUUUUAAAUUUUAAAAUUAUAUUUCAUCACGUCUCCAUUAUCCCCGUUGUGUCAAAAACAAAUUGCCUAAAUUUUAGGCUUUAGCAGUUCCUUUUUUGAAAUCCUCAUUAGUGAAAUUUCACGUCUGCUUUGGCAAUUCCUUUUUUGUGUGUUUUCAUCUUAAACUCGUGACCAAAAGGUAAACACUAUAAAAUUUUAGAUUAUAAUUAAAAAUAAAAAAGAUAAUAAUUAUUGGGAUUAGAAUUUUAGAAAUCACGCAUAUGCUACUUUCUAGUUUUAGUAUUAAAUUUAGUAUUUAAAAAAUGUGUUUAUGAAUAUGGCAGUUUCAGGUUUAGAAACCAAAACUGUCAUAUUCGUACUCUCUUAGACAUUUUAAAAAUGUAACCAUCUAGGUGGUGGCCUAGUAGUAAGAACUUGAAACUAAAAGGUUUGCUUUCUUUGUGGUCUCAGGUUUGAGCUCUGGAUUGCUCAUAUGAUGGCCACUGGAGGCUUACAUGGUCGUUAACUUCAGGACCCGUGAGAUUAGUCGAGGUGCGCGUAAGCUGGCCUGGACAACCACGUUAAACUAAAAAAAAAAAGAUGUGUGUAGAAGAAUACUUUCACUGAUGAUUUAUAAUAGUGAAUAGAUUUAUUAUUUUAUUAGGUUACUUUAAUGAUAAAUCAAUAUAGUAUUUUUUUUAUAUUUUUUGGAUUUUCAUCUUGGGGAAACUCAAUAGGAUGAAAAUAAAAUAUUAAUCAAACUUAAAAUAAUAAUUGUUUAUCUAUCGAAUUAAAAAAAAAAUAUGACAAUUCAGUGGUCUUUAAUGAAAUAAAAAAAAUGAAAAAUGUUAUUUAUGUAAUUGUAAGCAUACUAUUAUAUUACUUUACAAAGGAAUGAAGGACAUCCUUUGCAUUAGGAUGCUCCCACACCACUACUGACUCCCACCAUUGUCUUGGACUUGCUCGGAUUUUUUUAAGAGAAGGGGGAGGAGAUGGCUGGCCAUUUUCAAGCAACGGAAGAUAAAUUGACAUCCUCGUCAGCUUCUCACAAGAUAUUACUUCAAUAUCUUCAAGAGAAUUACAAAUCAGUUUUGCACUGCAAAUGCUUUUCAGUUCUGGUAAGCGAACCAAUUCCAGAGUUAUUAACUUUGGGAGAAUGACUUCCGUGAUGGAAUUGGAGCUACUGCUUUCUUCAUCUGUUGUUCCUAUUAUCUCCUCCAUUUCGUAACAGAAACUCACUUCAAUCCUUUCCAGGUUUACGAGGUUUGGCAGCAACACAAGCGGGAAGAGCUUCUUCAUACUUUUACAUUUAAAACAAAAAAACUCUUUAAGACCAGAAAAUGUACCGUUACAUGAUGGCAAUCGUGGUGGAGCAGAGCAGAACCAAGAAGAUGAAACCAAGCUCUCCAUGUUAUUGCCAUCCCGAAUGCUGAUGCGCUCCAAUUCAGUUGCAUUCUCUAAUGACAAAACAUCACAUAAACUUCUUGCAUCGAUGCAUUCACAAAUCAGUCCUUGAAUGCCAUUUAAGAACUUGACCUGAAAAUCUCUAUCUCCUUUGAUACUCAAAUAACCCAACCCAACUGUUUUACUUGGAAAAUCUUCAAUGCAUUGAUCUAAAUAACUACCCACCUCUCCUACGAAAAUCUUGCAUGUGCUUAAUGAUAGGAUCCCAUCCCCAGAUCUGAGAUACUCCACGAAGUCAGAAAAACCUUCGAAAUGGCACUCCAAAGUUUCCAAAUUUCUCAAGGAUCCUACUUCCUUUCCUUUUAACUGUUAUCGGAGCAUCAUCUUGCGCAAAACUCUUCUAGUACAAAGACUUGCAGGUGAGAGAGUUUUGGUAAUAUCCCACUAGGAAACUCCUUUUCACCACAUCCAUUCAUUCUAAGAUACCUCAGGUUGGUUAGGCAUUCCAUUCCUUGCGGCAUCUUUUCAAGUCGAGUACGAGAGAGAUCCAACCUCUUCAGUGCCCUGAGCUUCUUUAAUGAUGGAACAUAUCUUAAGUCACACUUGAGCAAUAACGCAGUGAGACUCACCAAAUCAGAGACAGAGUCUGGCAAGUUUUCAAUACCUGUCCAAGACAGAUCGAGGACCUUGAGCCCAUGCAAUUGCUUGAAAAAUGAAUCCGCAAUAAAUCGCAACAACGAUUUUUACAUAGCAAUAGAGUUGAUAGAAGGGACACCUGGUGAAUAGCUGGAAGGAAUUUCUUCGAUCUUUUCUCAUUAGUGAAACCAUCGUCAGAUUCUCCGUCCACUCCUCUGCAUCUGGCAACUCUUUUAAUUGCGCACCUGCUUUAACCAUGACUUGAUAUUCGUCUUGCAGUAUUGGAUGGCCAUGUCCCUAAUCAAGUCAUGCAUCUUGACAGUCUAUAUCAUCAUACUCAUUUAGCACUUUCCAAUAGGCAGACAUUCAAGUCUAUUAAGCAUCGUGUGGCCCUCAUCAAAUGCAUCUCCCCUGCUCCUCUUUCCUUUAAUUAUUCCCUCAUCGAUCAAAUAACCUAUCAACUCCCCUUUCAAUCAUAUCAUCUUCAGGAAAUAAUGCACAGUACAAGAGACAUUGUUGUAGUGCUAAAUCACCUAACCGAUCAUAACUAAACCUCAAUAACCUGAAUACUUCUCAUCUAUGUCCCUAAAUUCUGAUUCUCUCAAUUUGUUCAAUGUAUUUCUCCACUCAUGUGGUCAUCCACUCCCCUCAAGCUUCCUGCCACUGCAAUAAUUCCCAAUGGCAAACCAGCACAUUCCCAGCAAUAUCUUUCGCAAUUCCUUCCACUUCUGGUAAAAGUGCUAUGUCACGUCCAAGUUUUCCAUGAACAAAGUCCAAGCUUCUCCCUCGAAAGGCUUCACUUUGAUUUGUGUGGCAAGCCAUCCGAUGACAAACCGUUUCUGAUCUAGUUGUCAUAAUCAGCUUGCAUCCUUUCAACACACAGGAAUUCCCACUUCAUCAAGCUCAAAAUUGUCCACAAAUCAUCUAAAAUGAGAAUCCAUUUUUGUUUCCUUAAUUCUUCUGACAAUUUGGCAGCUCUAUGCACAUCAUCUUCGUUUGCAAGGUCUAGAUGAAGACAUUUAGCUAUAUAUUCUGCAAUCUAGUAAUGCUGAAAUCUUGAGACACAGUCACCCACCAAACAUGAUACAAAUAUCUGGUCUUUGUAGAAGCUCAUUAUGGAUAUGUUUGAGUAUUGUUUUACCAACCCCCCCAUGCCAUAAAUGCCAAUGGUUGGGACUUCAUCAUCCAUUAACAAAGACCAUAUCACCUUAUUCUCUUCAAAUGCUCGACCCACUGGCUUUUGGAGCUAGUAGGUAAUGGAACUCCUCUAGUCUCACAAGAGAUACCUCUCUCCAGAUGCUGCACUUGUUCUGUUCUCGGUAUAGUUUCAGAUCCAUCAUGCAGACGCUCCACAUCCUCAUCUUCCUGCAUUAAAUAGGUAGAGAUUUCAUUUCAGCUGCUGCUCCUUUGAAAGGGCAGAGUGUAUCUGAACCCAAGUGCCAUCAAAUCUGUUCCUGUGUGCUUCUCCUCUAUUCUCAUAAGCAUCAACUCUGUCCAACACUUCUUCAACAAAACGAUUCCUUCACCAGUGUACUCCAUGCCUUGAACUCCCGCUUGCAUCCUUCCAGCAUCCCUGCCAAAUUAACAAGUACUGCAUUGUCUUGUUCUUGUGGACAGGUGGAAAUGGCAUAAUCAUUAACAUUGCUUGAACUUGCUAUGCUUUUAUGUCUUUUGUUGCCACUUCGCAUAGCUAGAAAGGCUGCUUCUUGAACUUCGUUAGGCACCUGACCACAAAUGCCAACACCAUGCCCUCUCUCUCCUGAUAAAUGCCAUUUGAUCCUCGAAAUGGAAGUACCAUUGGCAAAUAAAUGCCCACAAAACUUACACUUCAUGCUUUCAUCAUUCAUAUCUUCAACUUCCUUCCAAAACGGAUCAUCUGAUCUAACCAUUUUGUCCUAUAGAUAAAAAGGGUCAAAAUAUUGAAUAAAAAUUAAUGGAAGUACAUUAAUUGGAAAAGGAAGGUGAAACUAAAAUAAUAAGUUACAAACAGCAAAGAAACUAAGAAGAAAAACCAAUGAAUUCAAGGUUAACUUGGGGUCAGUUUAGUAUGAACUCCAUAAGGCAUGGAUUGUUACAACUGAGAAAGAUCAAAUUAUUUAUUUUUGGAAACUGUUGAUGAUCCUAACUCCAAAGUUUCUCAUUAGAAUUUCUACAAGCUGUGUUUUACUUGAAAGAUUCAAACCAGAACAUGUGAAAAACAAAAUGAAGAAGAUGGAGUAUAAAUAAUUUACCUGGAUUCAAGUUGUUCUUCAAGUGCUGGUUUCGCUUAAGUAGUAUCAGAAAAAAACAAGAACAGAGAAGAAUAUAGGUUUAAAAAUAACAAGGAAGUUGCAAGAUGUUGAGCUCCAGAUGAUUCGAUUCAAUCAGAAAAGGAAGCACUGAUCAUCAGAAAGGUUUAAGAAAUUUGAUGAGGGAAAUGGGAAAUCAAUGGUAUAAUGAGAUGAGAUUUGGAAGAGAAUGUUACAGUAGCAAAGAUUAUUGUAUUGUUUGAGAAGAAGAGAAUUGCUAGGAAGGAAGCCACAAACUUUACCUACCAGAGAUUAUAUUAUAAGAUAUGGCAAGUUGCUGUACACCUCAAAUUUGCUUUUCUUUUGUCUAGCUCUGCAUAUAAUUAAAAACUUCAACAAAAGAAUCAGAAGCUAAUUGCUGUCUGAGUUAACGUGUGGACCCACCCCAUUGUUGAAACUUUGGAAAAAGCUGGCCUGAAAAUGUAAGAGCCUGAAGCUUAGCUUCAAGAGCUGUAGCAAAGCAUUGACCGUCAUUAUCUGAUCCACUCCAGCUUCCAUUCCCUACAAAUUUAACGAAGAACAACAUUAGCAAAAAAAAAAGAAUCUUGCUUAGGGUACUGAAACUACCGUUUUAUAGAUAACUUAAGAAAUUUUACUUAUGAUUACCUACUUAGUUCACACCUUGAGCUUGAGAGAUCAGGCAGAAACACAAGUUUGAUCGCUCCCAGAAAGGUUCAAAAACUGCUUUUCCUAGUUAGCAUUUCCAUGAGCAGUAAGCGUCCUAUUCGUUUCGUUGCCCACGCUUAGUUUCGAGGUGUCAGCAACGUUCUUCUGAGCAUAAAUUCUUCUUUAUGAGUUUUUAUCUUAUGAUUCAAGAAGUUUAUAUUGUAAAUUCAAGAAUUUUAAGUUUAUAGUCAAUUUUAUAGUUCAUAAAAAUAUUUGAUCCCCGAAUGAGUUUUCUAAUUGUGUUCUUAAUUCCUGAACUUGUUUUCUAAUUGUUUUGCAUAAAUUCUUAAGAAAAAAUAUUUUAACAAUAGUUUUUGUGCUAAAAAUGCUACUCUAUUCGACUUUUAAUUCAAAUUGUAUUUAUAUAGUUAAAUGUUUUUCUCUUUAAUAAAUCCAUUAUUGGAUUUGAAAUUUAUAACUUAUUUUAUAAUUCAAAAUGGAGAUUUGGUUUGUUUUUCAUGUUUUUUAUUUUUGUAAAACUGAUUGAAAAAAUAAAAAUUACAUCAAGACAUGUCAACUUAACUCAAAUCAGCAAGAUCAAAGACACAAAUGAAUAAUAAAUUUUAAUAUUCAUAGUUGAUGACCGAUGCAGUAAAAUCUGACUCUGAUCUAUAGUAUUGCACUGCAUUCCUUUAAAAUUUGAUAUUGUUUUUGUUUAAAAACUAAUUUAUUUUUUUAUUGUUUUUACAUUAUUUUGAUAUGCUAAUAUUAAAAAUAAUUUUUUAAAAAUAAAAAAAUAUAUUAUUUUAAUAUAUUUUUAAACAAAAUUUAUUUUAAACCAUAACUGCUAUUAUAUUACCAAACACAUCCUCGUCCCGUUACUUUUUAUUGACCUCUUAAUUUCAAAGAGAACCUUAGCCAUUCCUUUAUGCAAGUGCACGCUUUGCCAAACAAUCCUUUAGGAUAAUGGGUUGCCCUCCGACGGCUUGCCAUAACAGGCCAGGACUAAUUUCGACUCUUCGUUGGCGAUAGCGGUGAUGUGAAUGAUGACACUUCUCUGCAUCCUUGACCAUUUCAAUUCCGAGAACUCCCCCACCAUCCCAUAAAAAAGUAGUCCUUCUUCUUUGAAUAAUUUUCCCAAUUAGUCCUUAUAUUUUAGAUAUGGUCUUCAACAUGCUUUUACAAGUUUAAUUACUCUUAAAUUGCCCUUAAGACAUUUCCUAAUCUAUCCUUUUAAUAAGUAUCUUUGUUUAAGCUAAUAAAGAUAUAAUUAUUAAUUACUUUAAAAAACGCAAUCCUACCUAAUUUAUUAAAAAAAAGAAAAUUAAGAUUUGUUUUUAUGUUAAUUUGUUUCUAAUCUAUCCUUUUUAUGUUUUUAUGUUAAAAUUAAGAAAAUAAAGAUAUAAUGAUUAAUUACUCUGCCGGCGACUUGCCCGUGAAAUUAAUGCAGUUGUUAUCUCUAUAAACUAUCGGCUUGCUCCUGAGUACAAGUACCCAUGCCAGUACGAAGAUGGCUUUGAUGCAUUGAAUUACAUCGAUGACAUGACCUUUGAGAAUUUCCCAGCAAAUUUGGAUCUUGGAAGGUGUUUUAUUGCCGGUGAUAGUGCAGGAGGUAACGUGGCUCAUCAUGUCGUGCUCAAAGCUUGUGAACACACAUUUUUCUAACAUAAAGAUCAAGGGACUCGUAGCAAUGCAGCCAUUUUUCGGAGGGGAAGGAAGGACAGAAUCAGAAAUCAAGCUUGUUGGGGUUCCUUUAAUAUCAGUGGAAGGUACAGACUGGAUGUGGAAGGCGUUUCUGCCUGAGGGAUCGGACCGAAACCACUCGGUGGUUAAUGUUUUCGGACCAAAUGCGGUGGAUAUUUCAGGCGUGAAGUUCCCUGCGACGUUACUCUUUGUCGGAGGGUUCGAUCCCCUGCAAGAUUGGCAGAAGAGGUACCAUGAGGGGCUGAAGAAAUCUGGGAAAGAAGUACAUUUGGUAGAGUAUCCAAAUGCUUUUCAUGGGUUUUAUUGCCUGCCUGAAUCGCCUGAAUGUUCUUUGUUGAUCGGUGAGGUGAAGAGUUUUGUGCAAAAGCAGUCAUCUCUUACAUAGGGUGAGGAGACGACGAUCUCUAUUUUAUUAUUAUAUCUUAUUUUAUUCACAUUCUUGAAAUCAAGGUUGUCAAUUCUGUUUUGGUAAGUGUUUUGUUUUUUUAAUUGGAAUGAAAUGUUUCAGUUUCGGAGUAUUUCGACGUGCCGUUUCGAGGUUGUACUUUAUAUAUAUAUAUAUUCAACAAACAUAAUUCGAAUUCAAGAUAAAUUAAUUAUAAAUUAUGCAAUACAAACACAAUGUCAAACAAAUAUAAUUUUAAAAUUUAAAAUAUUUCUAAAUAGUCAAGAUUAAAUAGAUCGUUAACUUAAAGUAAUUCAACUUAAACAAAAUAUUAAAAUAUUAUAAAAGUAAAAUGUUUUAACAAAAAUAUUUUAAAUAUAAAGUUAGGUCAAUGUUAUCAAGUGGCUAAUAGAAUCUAAAAGAUCCCUUGUUUUGCUCAAAUUCCUACAAAGUAUAAACAUGAAAAAAGAAAAAAAAAACAUGAAUAUAAACCAUAUAUAUUAGUGAUAAAUCUAAUUUUAAAAAAUUACUAUCAUUGUUAAUGAAAAUAGUAAUAAUAAUUUUCAAUAUUAUUAUUAAUAUCAUUGCUAUUGAAAAUAGUAAUGAAAUUUUUUUUUUUAUAAUUGGGUGGUUUAAUUAAUGAAAUUGAGCAAGGUUCAAUUUGAUUUAAUGGCUUUUCAAGAGCGGAACGGAACACGUGGAAUGAAACCGGAAUGUUUCGGGCGGAAUUUAGCCGAAAAAUCCGGAACGGACCGAGAUUUAAAAUGAGAUGAAAUUUAUUCCGUUUUGUUCUGUUUUUUGAAUUGAUAUGAAAUGUUUCGGCCAUUCCGGAUGGAACGAAACAAAAUUGACAACCUUAAUUUAAAUUGCAAUGAUUUUGUUUACUAUUGAAGAUAGAUUAUUAUAUGUGUAUUGAAUUGUUCAAUUAUUUGAUGUAUUAGAUUUGACUUUUGACGGAAUGCUAAUUUGUUUUAAAUGCUGGAAGUACGUCUGAUUGGAAAAAUAUUAAAUUAAUAUUGUUUUUAGAUGUUUUUUAAUAUAUUAAUAUAAAAAUAUAUUUUUAAUUAAAUAACAAUAUUAAAAAAAUAUUUUGCUUUCCAUUACCAAUCACACUAAAAUAAUGUUGUGUCCUUUGAGCCAUUUGGUGAGGGAUGGUGAUGGUGGUUUUUUGUUUUUUGUUUAUUUUUAUACUAAUUCAUAAGUUGUGGGGUUGCCAUGUUAAAUUUCUAUUUUUAAUUGAAUAAUAUUGUUUUAAAGAAAAAACUUACACAAUAUUCUUUUAAAUAAAAAAAAUCUUUGGAGUUCAUACUAGCAGAUUUCACAAUAGUUGAUUUAGAUUAAUCGAGUCAUAAAUUAAUCUGUUAAGUUUCUUGAGUGUUAAUUGAUUUGUUAAGUUAUUUAAAUUUAAUCAAAUUAAUUUUUUAUUUAGAUGAAAAGCAAACUCGGUUGGAAUUAAAUUUUAAAUCAGUAACGUCACCGAGUUGACCCAGCUAGCUGGUUUUUACAGGCUGUGUUUUUGUACAUGUGGAGGGGAAGGGAAAUAAUGUAUAAUGAAAUGUGCAUGACAACUGGGUUGAUGGUUGAUAGUUUGACACAGUUCAUUUUUCAUUGUAUGUGGGAGAGAAGCAAUGAAGAAGAGAAGAGGACAAGAUGCCAAGAAAUAAAACGAAGACUUAUUGGAUGUUUGGUCUUAUUAGCAUAGCCAGUUGGAAGUGUACUGUUUCAUGUGGCUUAUCACUAUCAAAACUUCGGGUUUGUCUGUAAUUAUAGUAGUGAUUAAAAUUUAAAGUGUUUUUUUAUAUAUAAAUAUAUAUAAAUAAUAUUUUUUUUUAUUUUUUAAAUUAACAUAUCAAAAUGAUUUGAAAACAUAAAAAAAUAAUUUUUAACAAAAAAACAAUUGAAAUUUGAGGGAAUGCGAUUUCAACCGCGUUUCCAAACGCUCUCUUCAUGUAUUUUCAAUCACAAAGUUACUAUAAAAAUACAUGUGUGUUUGGUAUUAUAGUAUAAGGUAUUUUUCGAUUGAAAAUAUAUAAAAAUAAUAUUUUUUUAAUAUCAAUAUAUUAAAAUCUUUGAAAAAUAUUGAAAAAAAUCAUCAAUUUAAUGUUAUUUUAAAUCAAACACAUUUUUAAAACAUACUUAAAUGCAUUUUCAAACCCAAAAGUAAAUGAUAUCUUUUUUAUAAUUAUAGUCCAGAAAACAAUCUCCUACAUCUAAGCACAAAAAGGUUUCGAAGUUAAAAGUAAUCUUAUAGUAGCAUGUGUAUUGCCUUAACAUGUAAUUUAAAAUCAGAUUCGGGUUAAGUUUUAAUUUAUACUUAGUUUUGGUUAAGUUUUAAUUUAUAUUAAUUUUGAUAUUAAUAUGGUUAAUCCCAAAUAAUCUUCCUACAAUCCAAUUUACUCUUGUUAAAACUUAACCAAAUCAAAACUAGGAAAUAUCUUUCCUUCUAAAAAAAAAAGGUUUUGAAAAUCCAGAUUGAUCCUCUAACUCAUAAAUUAACCAAGUGACUUGAGCUCUUUUCGAGAUUUUAAGAUCAGAUCCCAGGCCAGUUCUGACUACUAUAAGCUCAAGUGACUGACCCAAUUCAAAAUCAUGUUUUUGACGUUUCUCGUUGGAUCAAAGUGGGCUACCCUUUGUUCCUGAAUGCUGAAAGUCUACUAUUUUUUCACAGAGAUGAAAGCAAUUAGUAAAAGCAACUGAGCCAAGAAAUAUCCAACUAGCUUGAGCACAUCUGGAAGAUUUAGUCUCUGUAUUAUUUCACUUCUCUGAAUAAUUUUUCAGGUUCCUUUUGCUGUUAUAUAAAAAUUGCUUUCUCUCAUGAGUCAAUAUCCAUUCUAUGAAAUUCUAGCGUUAGAGAGAGGUGAAAGUUUACACUUUGUAUACCAUGUUUGUUUGAUUUAAUAGCAGUGAUGACCCUUGAAAGAUUGCUCUAUAAAACAAUGUCCGGUCAUCUUUACAACUUAUUUUCACAAUCCUUCGCCGGCCAGCUGAAGAACUCUUUGAAGCUCAUCUGCCAUCCCUUGUAAGAGAACUGGUUUUCGGAUCAUUCCAUUCAUUCUCAUCCUUAGCUUCAGCACUGUUUUGCCUCCUACCAGAAGAAUUUGUGGAUGAGCUAGCUCCAUCUGAUAGAGAACUUCCUUCUCUGAUCUCCAUGUCAAACAUACAAACUCAUCAGGAGCAUUUGAUUUCCACAUCCCCAACAUUCUAUCUGUCUUGCCCACGCUAUCACUCUCUGAAAAAACUCGAAAUAUGACAUUCCCCCCUCCAUCAUAGAUAUUUAAAAGAUAUCCGACCAUGUGUAAAAUAACUUGAAAGGUCCUUCUUUCAUCUCCUAUCACUAGAUCAGGCAAAGAACGUUGAACAUCAAGUUCAAAAUCAAAACCUUUAUACACACACAAGCACUUAGCAAGGCAACAAGCUUCUUUGAUCAUGGAGCGUAGACGAAAGGGCACCUUCCGGUGUUAUCUUCUGCUGAAAUAUCCACCACAUCGUUAAUCAAAGUUGAAAGCACAUUGCUGGUUUUCACCAAUGUGUCAAUAACAAUCCUUUGCUCGACGCCCAUAUUAUCAUUUUGGAACAUAAAAAGCAAUCCCAGGAUUAAAAUAACGCCCUUUACGAUACCUUUCCAACGCAUCAAGAAUCACAGCAAUCCGAUAUGUGUGUGGAAAGUUAUGAUUAAAAUACUUUAAAUGUAUCUAGGCUGUUUCUAAGAAAAAGAACAUUACUUUUAAGUUUAUCCAGCUUUUGUUUAAAAAGUCAAGAAAAUAAAGUUCUGGAUUAAACUAAAUAAAAUAAAAACUUUAAGGAAAAGAAAAAAAAGCACGCCUAUGAAGCUUGAUAGUAUAUCAAAUUAAAUAGAAGCUCGAUUAAAAAAUGCCCUUUAAUUUCUAUUAUUUCUAUUCACAUUUUAGCAAUUUAUUCCAAUGACAGAGCAUUUGGAAUGCACUUUCAUAGACUCAUCAAAACCCCAGGAACGCCAUCAAGCAUUAGCUUCAAACAACCAGAUCCGGAGCUUCAGUGCAGUAGAAAACUUUAACAUCUACUAUGAAGCUUGAUUUGCUAUCCAAUCCACACACAGGUUUUCGAUUGAUACAAAGAUACUGUAAUUUUAACCGUCUAGUAAGUGAUUUAGUGGUAAGAGAUUUGUUAUCCAAUCCUAUAGUUGCUAAUAUUGAUGGUCACUGGAGGCUUAUUUGGUCAUUAACUUCAAAAUCUGUGAGGAUUAGUUAAGGUGCAUGCAAGUUGGCCCGGACACCCCUAAUAAAUAAAUAAAAAGAUACUAUAUUUUUGUUGUCGGCAAAUUAUCAACCAAUAACUUUUUAUCUUUUUCCAAGUUUUCUAGGUGACUUUUUUUCUCUCUCAAAAUCAUGGAUAAGUGAAUAAAAUAAAAUUUUGAAUCAUAACUAAAAAAAAAAAAAAGAUGCAAAAAGUCUAGGGAUCAAGAUUUUAAAAAUCACGUCUAUGCUACUCUCUAGUUUUAAAUAUUCAAAACAAGGCUCCAUUAUCAUAUAUUCAUAGAGACAUACCAAUGUAGCUUUUGAUGUUUACCGGUUUGGGUAUGUCCAUAUGCUUUUAAAUAUAUUUUAAAAUUUAUAUAUUUUUUUUUAAAAUAUUAAAUUAAUAAUGUUUUAGUUGUUUUUAAUGAUUUUGAUGUUUUGAUAUUAAAAACAAAAUCUAAAAAACUUAUUUUUAAAAAAUUCUCUAUAUAACAGUAUCAAACACAUGAUAACCUGGUCCAAAAGCUUUCCACCGAGCAUAAAAUGGUUUUCAACCCAAUCAUACUUUUUCCUCAUUAUAAAUAUAAAAUAAAGUUCAAGUGAAGUAGGGUCCAAUCUUAAAUGGUUCAAACAUUUUUUUUAUUAUUAACGUGGAUGUCCGGGCCAGCUUGCGUGCACCUCAACUAAUCCCACGGGCCCUAAAGUUAACAAUCAUAUAAGUCUCCAGUUGCCAUCAUAUGAGCAAUCUAGGAAUGGAACCUGAGAUCAAAGAGAAAGCAAACCUCUUGGUCCCAAGCUUUUAUCGCUAGGCCACCACCUAGAUGGUUAAUGGUUCAAACAUUAUUGUUAGAACGUGACAGUGUCCCAGCAUUAGUAGUGUAGCACGUGCCAUGUCUUAAGCUUAUGUGAGCUUAAGACAAGGCAAUUGGUGUUUGAUGAAAUUAGCUGUCACUAAAAAUAAAAUAAAAUAAAAUCCUCUUUGAACUAAUUAAUUACUCAAUUAAUUCCUAAAUUAGUUUUUUAUUGUUUCUCACAAAAUUUAUAAGAAUAAAAAUAUUUUAUUAGAUGUUUUAGAUACUCUACUAUUAUAAUAUUUUAUUUAAGUUUAGAUUUUUAUUUCAAAAUUGAAUUUUAUUUAAUAUAACAAAUAUUACAUGUUUUAUUUUAUCUGAUAAAUUUUGAAGUAUUAUUGGAUUUUAUUAAUUUUUAAAAAAUAAUAUUUUAAAAGAGUACGAAAUGUUGGAUACAAUGUUUUUACUGUUGUAACCCAUUUUUGGGUCCUCACAUAUAAAAUAAUAAAAUACAAAAAAAUUCAAAAAAUAUAUUAAAAAAAAAUAUAACAGUGAAAAAUGCCAGAGCGCCAUAAACAUGCUAAAAAAAUUUGUUUGAGGAUUUUUAAAAAUAUAAAAAUUAUUUUUUUGACAGUAUAUCAUUAACUGAUGAGAGCCCCGAUGAUAAAGAAAAUUCAAUUUGUGGAAGAAAAAUGCAAAAUCAGAAGUUUAUGGACUCAAUUAAAUUUUAUUGAAGGUUUAAUUGAAUUUAUGGAGAUUUUAAUUGCAAGAAAAAUUGAUUUUGGAGUUAAUUUGGGCUUUAAUUAGGAGAAAUUAAUUUUCUGGGGUCAAAUUAUAAUUUUUGGAAGUUAAUUUGGUCAAAUCAGGGGCUUAAUUGCAUAAAUAUUGAAGUUUAUGGCCAAUUAGGGACUUAAUUGAAGAAAUCCGAGACCAAGGACUAAAUUGUAAAACGCGCGAAAUGGAGGGCCGAAAUUUGAAUCUGAUGCUUUUGGCGCCUUUUCCUUUUAAAUGAAACGGCGCGUUUUGACCAAAACGGCGCCGUUUCAUUCACUGUUGCAAAAAAAAAAAAAAAAAAAAAACAGAAGCCCAAAACGGUGCCGUUUUGACGGCACUGUAGCCUUCUUCUUCCCCUGGACACACGAGGCAGGGGAAGAAGAAGAUUUUUUUCUUCCCCUUUUCGCCUAAUUACUUUCCCUCUUUUGCUCAAAAAGACGCCGAAACAAGGACACCACUUGCCGACCACUUUCCACGUGUUGGACGGGCGGCAGCACACCGGCCACCACCAUGACGUCCCCCCCCCUGUUUUUCGCCUAUAAAAACAGGGGAGGAAGAGGAGAAAAAAGGACAGAACAGAAGGGAGAAAGAAGGAGAGAAGGGAGAAGAAAGAAGAGGAAGAAAAGAAGAAAAAAACAGAGGAGAGAGAGAGAAGGAACCGCCGGCCACCGUGCCUCCGCCACCAUCGCUCCGCUGCCACCAGCAGCACCGCCACGACGCCACCGCAGGUAACCCUUGCCCCGUCUCCUUCUCCUUUGCUGCUGCCCUCUCUUUAUUUUCAUGCAGAACGUGAAUUAAUUCACGUUCUGCAACUGAUGAGAGGCUGGUUACUGUGCUUAUGCACAGUAACCAGCCCAUUUAGUUUGGGCCGGUUGGCCCAGCCCACUGAUAUGGGCCGGACCCGGCCCAUUUCAAUUUUAUUUUUUUUUUAUAGAAUUUUUACAAUUUUUCCAGCACAUGUUUUUAUCAAUUUUGCUUAAUAUCGUCUGUAUUUUACAUCGUAAAAAUAUAAAUUCGGUAUUAAAAUACCCGGUCGUCCCGCGGUACUGUUCACGUCACUAUUCAUACGGUACUGUUCACACAGCAUAAAAAAAAAUCAAAAAUAUUUGUUUCAGCAUUUUAUAAUUUUUCCGCGUAGUUUUUUUAUGCCAUUUUGAUUAAUAUCGGGCAGUAUUUUACAUCGUAAAAAUAUAAAUCCGGUAUUAAAAUACCCGUUUUUCGGCAAAAACUUCCAAAAAUAAAUAAAAAAAAUUGAAAAAGAAAAAAAAAAUGUUUUUGUGCAUACGGCCAAGUGUCUCAAAUCUAAAAAAUCAUAUCGUAUUUUGCAUAUGUCAAAAAAAAAAUAUUUUAGCAUGCAUUUUGGCUUUAAUAACCAGUUUAUUAAAGUCAAGAGAACAUUGGCCAAAAUCUCAAAAACAACAAAAUAUUUUAUUUUGUUUUUUUAGUAUCAGAGAUUAUGAAUUUAUACGUAAAUCGUAUUCCUGAUAUUAAAAAGAUAUUUUCUUUUGACGACUUCGAAUAGUUAGUUUUUUACCCGAUAAAGAUAAGGAUCUCCUUACAGAGGAGGACUUUUCUUAAACCGUAAACGAACCAACAAUUCAAAAAAACCACAACAUGAUUUUAGAUUUUAUCAGACAUUAAAACAAUGCAGCCUACCUUAGGUAUGGCGUAGUUGGGGUGCUAAUACCUUCCCUUUACGCAACCAGUCUCCGUACCCGAUCUCUAAAGACCAGUUAAGGUUCCUAGUAACCAGAAUACUAGGUGGCGACUCCCAGUCCAUAUUUUCACAUGUAGAGACAAGAAUUCCUUGUCUCUCCCCUAUUUUCCAGGAAUAAAUUAUUCCGAUUUUUCCUUGAGGGUGGAUGAUCGCCGCGCCGCCGCACACGUGCGACAUUUACAAUAACGCAAAACACAACAAACAUUGAUGCUAUGCUGAAUCCUUGAAACCGUAAUAUACACUUCAUAAGAAACUGUAAUAUAACAAACAGAGUAUCUGUAAGUUUCAGAGAACGACAUCAAUUUAAUUACGCGAAGUUCAAUCCUUUUUCCUCUACAAAUUAAAUCAUGUACGUAAACCUGUUACCUACAUUUUGUAAUAUUUCUGGAUCUGCUCUUUGAUUCAUCAAGGACAGAGUUGAUUGCAGCUUCGUCAUAGAAAAGUUCGUCUUCUUCAUCUUCUUGGUUGGCGAGGAAAUAUAAGUGGAAGUAUUUGAUAGCUAAGAACUCAGAAUCCAUGAGAUGAAGUAUUUGGCAAAGCCUUCCCCGUGAUUGGAGCAAUCUCACUAAUUUAUCGACGUAAUGGCUAGAAUUGUCUUCCUCUUAACUAAUCUUUAGCAAAUUAUCUUAAUAUGGUUUUACCAAAAAGAAAAUAAUAAAUUUAAGGAACGUCAUCCUCGUGGAUGCUAUAAUCUGUAAUUAUUGGCAAGGCUUUAAUAAUCACAGCAGCAGAAGAUUGAAGAAACAGGAGGCCUACGCAUUUAAUUUGGACUUCCUCGUGGAUGCUAUUCCUUUAAAUAUGGACUAAAAUUGUUUUAUAUCACAGCUAGGCAGAUAGCAGAAGGCUAGUGACUGCUGGGCAGAAAGCCUUAAUUAGAAAAUAACUUCAUAUUCUUGGGGUAGAAACCCCACGAACGCAAUCAAGUAUUUGCUUCAAACAAUAAGAGGGAGCUUCAGCCUUCAGUGCAGCAGGAAACUUCAACAUCUAUUAUUAAAAUUGUGUUUGGUAAACGCUGGGUAAAUUAUGUGUUUAUAAAAUUUAAUUUUUUUAUAAAAAAUUAUUAUUAUUAUUAUGUUUUCAGAUCAUUUUGAUGUGUUAUAUCAAUAAAAAAAUAAAAAAUAUUAAAAAAAUUAUUUUGAUGUAUUUUUAAAUAAAAAACACUAGUUUAUCUUUUGAUGUUUUUCGGUUUAUAAAAUGAACAGUGAACAGUUUACAUUGAUAUACUAUUCAUUUGAGCAAGAGAAUUGCACUGUUCACUUAAACAAUAAUGAACAGUGCAAUUCACUUGCACUAUUCACGGAUGAAUUGCACUGCCGAGAACUUUUUUUCUUAGUGUGUUAAUUUUUUCAAUAUUUUUUUUUUAAAAAAACACUAGUUUAGAGUGAAUUAAAUUCACUUGCAAUGUAAUGUGAAUAAUAUUUUUUUUCCCUGAAAAAGUAGUCUAGAGUGAAUUAAAUUCACCCGCAUUGUAAUAUCAAUUUUAUACCUGAUAAUAUUUUAUUUAAUUUGAUUAUAUGCUCAAAACAUUAUGGAAAUUGUAGUUCUUGUCGGAUGUAUUUCGUACAUAAUGGAAUUGUAUAUGGUUUCAUGGAAUAAUAAAAAAUAUUUUAUAUAAAGUAUGAUUUAUUUCAUGAUGUAAUAGCAAUAGUUAAAUCUACAAUAUUUAAAUUAAAAAUCAUCAAUAUUAAUAUAUAUUUUUUAAAAUUAUUUUAUAACCUCAAUUUCAAAAGCAUUCUUACCCAAACACAUUAAAUUACUUUUUUUUUCAACUUCAAUUUCAACUAUAUUUUUAACCAAACACCUAUUUUUUCAAACCAAUCUCAAUUAAAAAUAUUUUUUAUAAAAAUAAUUUUUUUCAAAUCACAACCACAACAUCUAUCGCAAUACUAAACACACUGAAAGGCCUAUAUACCAGCCCAACAAAUCAUACCCAGGGAAGCAAAAGCCAGAAACAAGCUACCUCGAUUCUUGCUCCACCUGGGUAAGAAAUGCAGCAUGCCCACUUGGAAUUAUAAAGCGUCCAAAUUCCAUGGCAAAUAAUUGGUUGGAAUUGUUUUCUGAGGGGUCAUUUCAAAAUCUGAAAAUAAAAAUAGAAAAUAGAUCCAGCAAAUGAUUCCAAAUAUCUUCUAAAAAGAACGAUGAAAUAUGUUUUUUUAUUUACCGUAAGGAAAGAUAUUAACGAAAUUUUUUUUUUAAAAAAUCAAUUUAAAAAAUAUAUAACAAGUCAAAAUCUAUACUUAAAAUCUUUCUCGUAUUAAAUUUAUAAUUGAAUCAAAUAAAAUAUUAAUUUAAUAAAACAUAGUUAAGUUUUUGAUAGUUGAAUAUUUAGUAUAACGGUGACAUACUAAACUAUUAAAUCUUAACAUAAAAAGGAAUUUUUAUUAUAUACCCACGAAUAACCACUGGAACGCAAUCAAGCUUUAGCUUCAAACAACCAGAGGGAGAUUUUAUAGGGAUAAAAUUUUAAAAAUCACGCCUAUGCUAUUUUCUAGUUUUAGUAUUAAAAUUAGUAUUUAAAAAAUGUGUUUAUGAAUAUGGCAAUUUCAGGUGUAGAACCAAAAUUGUCAUAUUCAUACUCUCUCUUAGACAUUUUAAAAAUGUGUGUAGAAGAAUACUUUCACCGAUGAUUUAUAAUAUUAUGUUACUUUAAUGAUAAAUCAAUAUAGUAUUUUUUUUUAUUUUUUGGAUUUUCAUCUUGGAGAAAUUCAAUAGGAUGAAAAUAUAAUAUUAAUCAAACUUCAAAUUAUAAUUGUUUAUCUAUCGAGUUAAAAAAAAAGAAGACAAUUCAGUAGUUUUUAAUGAAAUAAAAAAAUGAAAAAUGUUAUUUAUGUAAUUGUAAGCAUACAAUAUUAUAUUAGUACUGACUCCCACCAUUCUUUUGGAUAUGGCUGGCCAUUUUCAAGCAACGGAAGACAAAUUGGCAUCCUCUUCAGCUUCUCACAAGCCAUUACACUAAUAUCUUCAAGAGAAUUGCAAAUCAGCUUUACACUGCAAAUGCUUUUCAGUUCUGGUAAACCAAACAAUUCCAAAGUUCUAACUUUGGGAGAAUGACUUCCGUGAUGGAAUUGGAGGUGCUGCUUUCUUCAUCUGUUGUUCCUAUUAUGCACUGAUCAUGAGAUGUGGAAGAGAAUGUUACAGUCGCUAUCUCUUUUACAUAAUAUUAUUUAUUAGUAAGGUCGCCUCAAUAAUAAUUAAUUAAUUAACGUAUUAUCUCCUCCAUUUUCUCACAAUCAUUAACUUCAAUCCUUUCUAGGUUUACGAGGUUUGGCAGCAACACAAGCAGGAACAGCUUCUUCAUACUUUCACAUCCGUAACAAAAAAAAUCUUUAAGACCAGAAAACGUACCGUUACAUGAUGGCAAUCGUGGUGGAGCAGAGCAGAACCAAGAAGAUGAAACCAAGCUCUCCAUGUUAUGGCAUUCCCGAAUGCUGAUGCGCUCCAGUUCAGUUGCAUUCUCUAAUGACAAAACAUCACAUAAACUUCUUGCAUCGAUGCAUUCACAAAUCAGUCCUUGAAUGCCAUUUAAGAACUUGACCUGAAAAUCUCCAUCUUUGUUGAUACUCAAAUUACCCAACCUAAAUGUUUUACUGGGAAAACCGUCAGUGCAUUGCUCUAUACCUUGAUCCACCUAUCCUGAGAUCUGAGAUACUCCACGAAGUCAGAAAAACCUUCGAAAUGGCACUCCAAAGUUUCCAAAUUUCUCAAGGAUCCUACUUCCUUUCCUUUAACUGUUAUCGGAGCAUCAUCUAGCGGCAUAAACUGUUCUUGUACAAAGACUUGCAGGUGAGAGAGUUUUGGUAAUAUCCCACCAGGAAACUCCUUUUCACCAUAUCCAUUCAUUCUAAGAUACCUCAGGUUGGUUAGGCAUUCCAUUCCUUGCGGCAUCUUUUCAAGUCGAGUACCAGAGAGAUCCAACCUCUUCAGUGCCCUGAGCUUCUUUAAUGAUGGAACAUAUCUCAAGUUGUCACACUUACGGAGCAAUAACACAGUGAGACUCACCAAAUUAGAGACAGAGUCUGGCAAGUUUUCAAUACCUGUCCAAGACAGAUCGAGGACCUUGAGCCCAUGCAAUUGCUUGAAAAAUAAAUCCGCAAUAAAUCGCAACAUAUGAUUUUUACAUAGCAAUAGAGUUGAUAGAAAGGGACACCUAGGUGAAUAGCUGGAAGGAAUUUCUUCGAUCUUGUUUCUCAUUAGUGAAACCUGAUACGAAUUGAGUUUUACUCUUCGAAGUUUAUUCACAAUCUUUGUAUAUUGAAUUCAUGAUGAUAAUCCAUCAAUUACAUCUGCCUUUUAUAAAGCAGUAGGCAAUAAAGCUAUUAUAGAAAGUAAAGCUAUUAUGGAAAGGCUCCUAUAAUUCCGGCUAUAAUUUCGGUCUGUUACAAACGGAUAUAAAUAUAUUAUGUAUAGCUAAUAGUAAAGUAAAACUAAUAUAAUAUUUAACACCCCCUCUCAAAUUGGUGCAUAGAUGUUAGUCAUGCCCAAUUUGUCGAGACUGGUAUGAAAUAUUUGGCUGGAUACUGCCUUCGUCAGUACAUCUGCAAGUUGAUCUUGAGAUCGAACAUGAGGAACUUCAAUAAUCUUUUCUUCUAAUUUUUCCUUGAUAAAGUGUCUAUCAACUUCAACAUGUUUAGUUCUAUCAUGUUGGACAGGGUUAUGAGCAAUGUCGCAUGCCGCCUUGCUAUCACAAUAUAACCUCAUCGGACUUGUCUGUUCAACCUGUAAUUCCUGCAUUAAAUUUUUUAUCCAUAAUAAUUCACAUAUUGCUUUGGCCAUUCCUCUGUAUUCAGCUUCAGCUGAGGAUCUAGCCACUACUUCUUGUUUCUUACUUCGCCAGGUGACCAAGUUUCCACCCACAAAUAUGAAGUAUCCCGAUGUAGAUCUUCGAUCUUGUAUUGAGCCUGCCCAAUCGGCAUCGAUAUAUCCAUCAAUCUUCAAGUUGGCCCCCUUUUUAAAUAGAAUUCCUUUACCUGGAGAUGAUUUCAAGUAACGCAAGAUACGGGUGACAACUUUCAUAUGUUCUUCACUAGGGGAGUGCAUAAACUGUCUGAUUACACUUAAAGCAUAAGCUAAAUCAGGUCUGGUAUGUGCAAGAUACAUUAACCUUCCCACUAGUCUCUGAUAACGUUCUUUAUUAGUGUGGAUUUGUUGUUGAUGUAUACUUAGUUUCAGGUUUUCUUCUAUAGGAGUGCUGGCAGGGCUACAAGCCGUCAUACCUGUUUCUUUUAACAAAUCUAAGGCAUACUUUCGUUGUGAUAAAAAAAUUCCUUCUUUCGAUCUUGAUACUUCAAUACCAAGAAAGUAUUUUAAGUGACCUAGAGAUUUCAUUUCAAAUUCUUGUGCAAGACGAGUCUGCAAAGCUUUCUGUUCUUCAGGAUUAUUUCCGGUUACUAUCAUAUCAUCCACGUAUACGAUUAGAGCUGUGACUUUCCCCUUCGUUUAUUUUCAGGAAUAACGUAUGGUCAGAGUUACUUUGCUUGUAUCCAAUGGAUUUCAUGAAUUUAGUGAACCUGCCGAACCAUGCUCUCGGAGAUGUUUUAACCCGUAUAGGGAUUUCUUUAACCUGCAUACCUUUGUGCUUCCUUUGAUUUGCAUAAUGCAUCCAGGAGGUAAUUCCAUAUAUACUUCUUCUUGGAGAUCCCCAUGCAAAAAUGCAUUUUUGACAUCAAAUUGAUAUAGGGGCCAGUCACGGUUUACGGCUAAAGAUAGUAGGAUACGAACAAUAUUUAUCUUGGCCACCGGUGCAAAUGUUUCCAUAUAAUCAAUCCCAUAAGUCUGAGUGUACCCUUUGGCGACAAGCCUUGCUUUAAACCUUUCAAUAGUGCCAUCUGCUUUAUGUUUAAUGGUAAACACCCACCGACACCCAACUGGUACCUUUCCUGCAGGAAGUUCAACUACUUCCCAUGUGCAAUUUUUUUGAAGGGAUCUCAUUUCUUCAUUCAUGGCCUCUUUCCAUCUUAAAUCUGUUAUGGCUUCCUGCACACUGUUAGGAAUAGAUAUAGCAGAUAUUUGGUUCAUAAAAGUUUCAUUUUCCUUUGAUAAUCUAUGAUAAGACACAUAAUUAUUCAUAGGAUAAUGAGGAUUAGAGGUAAGAAGUGGUUCAUACGAAGUUUUGGGUUUUCCUCUCGUAGUUCUGUGAGGUAAAAUUUUUAGUUGAGUUUCAGAACUUACUUGAGGUUCAGUUAUGGAUUCAAGUUCAGGAUGCACUUGUAGUGGGGAUGCUGGUAAUUGAGGUACCUGAGUUUCUUGUUGCAGCACCUCUAUUCGGUCUUCUUCACUGUCAAUAGUUUGUUGUUGUUCUGCUCCUAUAUAUUUUCACUAUUUACAUCUAAUGCAUCUUGCAUGGUAUGUGAAGAUGCAUUACUAGUAUGUUUAUCUCUUGUAAUAUAUAGGUCGUCAUAACAUGUCUGCCAGUUACUCUUGUUGUGCUCUUGACUUGAGGAUUCAAGGGGAGAGUAAUACAUUUUAUUCUCAUGAAAUACAACAUCAAGUGUAGUGUAGAGUUUCUUACUUGGUGGAUGAUAGCAGCGAUAUCCUUUCUGAUGCUGGGCAUAACCAACAAAUACACACUUGAGUGCUCGUGGUUCCAGUUUAUUCCUUAAUGGUUUGUGAAGAUGAACAAACGUUGUGCAUCCAAAAACUUUUAGUUGCAAAUGUGACACAGCAGGAGAGCAUAUUGUUUUCUGAAGAACAUUCAGUGGGGUCUGAAAUUCUAAUGUGCUUGAAGGUAUCCGAUUGACAAGAUAUGUUGCUGCUGUGAUAGCUUCACCCCAAUAUUUAGUUGACAUAUGAGCUUCAAAUAACGAGGCUCGAACAACUUCAAGAAGCUGACGAUUCUUACGUUCUGCAACCCCAUUUUGUUGAGGGGUGUAAGGGCAAGUGGUUUGGUGAACAAUUCCAUGAUUAAUCAAAUAUUGUUUCAACUCCUGAUUAACGAAUUCUCCACCAUUGUCGCUACGAAGAACCUGUAUUGCAGAACUAUAUUGUGUAGCUACCAUGUUAUGAAAUUGUUUGAAUAAUGAGCUUACUUCACUUUUGCAUUUCAUUAGGCAAAUCCAUGUCAUACGUGUGUGAUCAUCAAUAAAGGAAAUAAACCAUCGUUUACCAUUAAGAGAGCAGGUAUUUGCUGGACCCCAUACAUCUGAAUGUACCACCAUGAAGGUGCUGGGCUCUUAUCAUGCUGUUUUGAAAAGGAACCCGAUGGCUUUUAGCUAAUUCACAUACAUCACAUUUAAACUCUACAUUGUUAGCUGAACAAAGAGUUUUGGCAUUAAUUUUUCAAAUAUCCAAAGGAUGAGUGUCCUAAACGUUUAUGCCAUAACCAAAUUUCAGAGGUUGCAGCAGAUUCAAUAUUUGUAGCAGAUUUAUUCAUGGAGAAUGCUUGAGCUAACUGGUGACAACUUGCUGGGGCUAAAUCCAGAUAAUAGAGCUUUCCCCUUCUAGUACCAUAACCAAUUGUCUUCCGAGUUUGAAUAUCCUUGAAAACACAAAGGUUAGGCCAAAAAAUAACAAUGCAUUGGAAAGCAAGAGUUAUUUGAGCUACUGACAGUAAAUUAUAAUUAAGAGAUGGGACAACUAAUACGGAGUCAAGACUUAUAUUCUUAGUGAGGAUAACAGAUCCUUCCCCAUUAACAGACGAUGAGGUACCAUUUGCUGAUGAUAUAGUAUAUUGUUCCGAUGGUUUAAAGGAUUUAAGCCACAAUUUGUCAAAGGUCAUAUGAUCAGUAGCUCUAGAAUCAAUUAUCCAUUCAUUUCUACUGCUAAGAGUGGAGGUAUUAAAUACUUUACCAGAUUCUUCCUCUAUGAAUGUUUCUUUCGGAUGUUGAUGUUCUGCCACAAAUGCUUCCUUAGUCGUGAGAUUGGUUUUGUUUGAAGGAUGUUCUGCCACAAAUCUCUCAGGCGUAGCCACUGCAACUAAAGCAGUAUUUGAUUUUGAAUUUCGUUUACGAGGUGCUUUAGCCGGAUCCCACCAUUCUGGAUACCCAAUUAAUUCAUAGCAUUUCAUCUUUGUAUGUCCAGUUUCACCACAGUGUGUGCAGAUAUAUUCUGACUUUGCCUUUCAAUCUCAUAGCUGCUGUUAUGAGUUCUGAUGUCUCGAUUCUUUUCAAUAGUAUGCCAUACGGGUAGUUUUCUUGGCUACCUCGUCUUGCCAUCAUUGCAGAUGACUCUGCAUGGCCAGCUCCAGCUUCAUUGUUUAAAGUAGAUCUGCGAACAGCAUCCGACGUACAUAAGCAUGAGCUUCUUCCAGAUCAGUAUCGGAUCUUUUCUAAGAAUUUCCCCUUGGAUUUGUUCAAAUUCUGCAUCCAAUCCAUUCAAGAAAAUAUGUACCCGUAAUCUUUCAACAGAUCUUCUGUAAGUGAUAAUAUCAUCCGGAUCUUUCAUUUCAGUUCUGUCCCGAUGGUCAAGUUCUUGGAAGAUUUCCAUCAGAUCUCCAUAAUAUGUGGAUAGCGGUCGACCUACCUGUUUUGUGGAGAAGGCUCUCUGGUUAAGUGCAAAAAGUUGUGAUUCGUCCGAUCCAUCAUAGAAAGCUUUAGACAAGGCAUUCCAUAUUUCUCUUGCGGUGCGCAACCGAAUGUAUCUUUUCAUAAUGUUGGUGACAUAGACAUUAGAAGCCAUCCUUUAACUUUUUGGUUUUCUGCAUACCAUCUUGAAUAAGACACAUCAGCUUCCUGUGGUGGUUGUGUUUUGCCCAUAAUAUAUUCAAGCUUUUCUCUUCCUGCAAUCUGCAUUUCCAUGAUCUGAGACCAUACAUCGUAAUUAGUUUCAGUGAGGAUAACACUGGUUGUGAAUCCAGAGUUUUCAGUUUGUACAUGGAUAAUGGGUGUAGGUUCUGUUGUCUUAUCAUUCAUCAUGGAAAAAGAUGAUCUCAGGAUGCAAAGAGGAAGAAAUGUUCAAGAAUAGGCUUCAAGAUCAGAAUGCAGAAGAAUAUUUCAAGAACUGGUUGGAUUUGUACGAUUCAAGACUGGAUUUCAAGAUAAAAAUGCAGAACCGAAGAAAUAUAUUCAAGAACAGGUUUUAUGAUUCAAGAAUAGAUUUCAGGAUCAGAAUACAGAGGGAUAUUUCAAGAACUGGUUGGAAUAGGUGAUAUCUGUAUAGCAGAACAGAUUUGACAGAUAGAAUGCAAGAUCUUUGACAGAUAGAAUGCAAGAUCUUGCUGUUGAAGUAAACUGGAAAAAAGAGAUAUAAACAGAGAAGGAUGCAGAUAAGAAGAUUUCAAGGGAAAAAUAUAUCAGUCAUGCAUUUCCAUGCUCUGAUACCAUGAUACGAAUUGAGUUUUACUCUUCGAAGUUUAUUCACAAUCUUUGUAUAUUGAAUUCAUGAUGAUAAUCCAUCAAUUACAUCUGCCUUUUAUAAAGCAAUAGGCAAUAAAGCUAUUAUGGAAAGGCUCCUAUAAUUCCGGCUAUAAUUUCGGUCUGUUACAAACGGAUAUAAAUAUAUUAUGUAUAGCUAAUAGUAAAGUAAAACUAAUAUAAUAUUUAACAAAACCAUCAUCAGAUUCUUCGUCCACUUCUCUGCAUCUGGCAACUCUUUUAAUUGCGCACCUGCUUUAACCAUGACUUGAUAUUCGUCUUGUAGUAUUUGGAUCGCCAUGUCCCUAAUCAAGUCAUGCAUCUUGACAUGUCUAAUAUCAUCAUAAUCCAUUUGAGCACUUUCCAAUAGGUAGACACAUUCAAGUCUAUUAAGCAUCGUGUUGCCCUCAUCAAAUGCAUCUCCCCUGCUCCUCUUUCCUUUAAUAAUUCCCUCAUCGAUCAAAUAACCUAUCAACUUCUGCCUUGCAAUCAUAUCAUCUUCAGGAAAUAAUGCACAGUGCAAGAGACAUUGUUGUAGUGCUAAAUCACUUAACCGAUCAUAACUAAAUCUCAAUAACUUGAAUACCUUCUCAUCUAUGUCCCUAAAUUCUGAUUCUCUCAAUUUGUUCAAUGUAUUUCUCCACUCAUGUGGGUCAUCCACUCCCCUCAAGCUUCCUGCCAUUGCAAUAAUUCCCAACGGCAAACCAGCACAUUCUCUUGCAAUAGCUUUUGCAAUUCCUUCCACUUCUGGUAAAAGUGUUAUGUCACGUCCAAGUUUUUCCAUGAACAAAGUCCAAGCUUCUCCCUCCGAAAGUAGCUUCACUUUGAUUUUGUGGUGGCAAGCCAUCCGAUGACAAAUCGUUUCUGAUCUAGUUGUCAUAAUCAGCUUGCAUCCUUUCAAUAGCAUAGGAAUUCCCACUUCAUCAAGCUCAAAAUUGUGCCACAAAUCAUCUAAAAUGAGAAUCCAUUUUUGUUUCGUCCUUAAUUCUUCUGACAAUUUGGCAGCUCUAUGCACAUCAUCAUCUUCGUUUGCAAGGUCUAGAUGAAGACAUUUAGCUAUGAGAUUCUGCAAUCUAGUAAUGCUAAAAUCUUGAGACACAAUCACCCACCAAACAUGAUCACAAAUAUCUGGUCUUUGUAGAACUCAUUAUAGAUAUGUUUGAGUAUUGUCGUUUUACCAAUCCCCCCCAUCCCAUAAAUGCCAAUGGUUGGGACUUUAUCAUCCAUUAACAAAGACCAUAUCUCCUUCGUAUUCUCUUCAAAUGCUUGACCCACUGGCUUUGUGGAGCUAGUAGGUAAUGGAACUCCUCUAGUCUCACUUGUGUUGUAUUUAAGGCUUAUAGAAGAUCUAGCUCCAGCGUCAGGCUGCACUAAUCUUCCACUAUUCUCCACACCCUCCUCCUCCACUGGUUCUGUCCUCACUCUAACCAUGUUCUGCACAUCAUACAUAACGACAUCAUUGUUUACUGAUGGAGCAAAUAGUUGGGCAUAAUAUCUUCGAUGAUCAAGACACAAUGGAUCUGUUGGUUGGGAUGAAUCUCCUCGAGGCUCAUCAGCUUGAUUAAUUGAUGGCCUCUCACAAGAGCUACCUCUCUCCAGAUGCUGCACUUGUUCUGUUCUCGCUACAGUUUCAAAUGCAUCAUGCAGACGCUCCACAUCCUCAUCUUCCUGCAUUAAAUACGUAGAGAUUUCAUUCAGCUUCUGCGCCUUUGAAAGUGCAGAGUGUAUCUGAACCCAAGUACCAUCAACAAAUACAUCUGUUCCUGGUGUUGCUUCUCCUCUAUUCUCAUAAGCAUCAGCUCUGAGUCUCCAAGUGUAUUUUCUCAGGCCCAACACCUUGUUCCAUGCCUUGAACUCCCACUUGCAUCCUUCCAGCAUCCCCUGCCAAAUUAACAAGUACUGCAUUGUCUUGUUCUUGUGGACAGGUGGAAAUGGCAUAAUCAUUAACAUUGCUUGAACUUGCUAUGCUUUUAUGUCUUUUGUUGCCAACAUUCAUAGCUAGAAAGGCUGCUUCUUGAACUUCUUUAGGCACCCGAACACAAAUGCCAACACCAUGCCCUCUCUCUCCUGAUAAAUGCCAUUUUAUCCUCGAAAUGGAAGUACCAUUGGCAAAUAAAUGCUCACAAAACUUACACUUCAUGCUUCCAUCAUUUAUAUCUUCAACUUCGUUCCAAAACGGAUCAUCUGAUCUACCCAUUUUGUCCUACAGUUAUUGAAAAUCAUUAAUUGGAAAAGGAAGGUUGAAACUAAAAUAAUAAGUUACAAACAGCAAAGAAACUAAGAAGAAAAAACAAUGAAUUCAAGGCAUGGACUGUUACAACUGAGAAAGAUCAAAUUAUUUAUUUUUGGAAACUGUUGAUGAUCCUAUCUCCAAAGUUUCUCAUUAUAAUUUCUACAACUUGUGUUUUCCUUGAAAGAUUCAAACCAGAGUUACAUGUGAAAAACAAAAUGAAGAAGAUGGAGUAUAAAUAAUCUACCUGGAUUCAAGUUGUUCUUCAAGUGCUGGUUCGCUGAAGUAGUAUUCAGGAAGAAAAACAAGAACAGAGAAGAAUAUAUGGUUUAAAAAUAACAAGGAAGUUGCAAGAUGUUGAGCUCCGGAUGAUUCGAUUCAAUCGGAAAAGGAAGCACUGAUCAUCAGAAAGGUUUAAGAAAUUUGAUGAGGGAAAUCGGGAAAUCAAUGGUAUAAUGAGAUGAGAUUUGGGAGAGCGUUACAGCAGCUAAGAUUAUUGUAUUGUUUGUGAAGAAGGAAGUUGCUAGGAAGGAAGCCACAAACUUUACCUACCAAAGAUUAUAUUAUAAGAUAUGGCAAGUUGCUGUACACCUCAAAUUUGCUUUUCUUUUGUCUAGCGAUGCGUAUAAUUAAAAACUUCAACAAAAGAAUCAGAAGCUAAUUGCUGGCUGAGUUAACGUGUGGACCCACCCCAUUGUUGAAACUUUGAAAAAGCUGACCUGGAAAUGUAAGAGCCUGAAGCUUAGAAAUGUAUUAGCAAUAAAAAUAGUGCUUAGGGGUACUGAAACAACCGUUAAACCUAUGGUUGGAAAUAGAACUCAGGACUCAAAACCCACAGUACUUUGAGAAUUUGUACACGUUAAACGUUUAUCAGGAAAAAAUGUGGAGUCCAUUGAAAUAAAACCACAACUACCUUGAAUAUCUACACAAGUUUUUCCUAAUAAGAAUUCUGGUAGAAAGCCUUGAAUAUGUACAAAAAAAAAUUGCUAAUAAGAAUCAUAGUAUUCUAGAUGAUAAUACCUAUUUGUAAAGCCCAUACAUAUUCUUUAUCUCAAAUUAAUUAUGACAUGGUAACAUCAUGAUUGAUGAAUUUUUGAGUCGAGUUGUAUUUGCUGUGUGUUUUUCCGACUAGUUAAGGUUUUUGUUACGAUGAUGUUAACAUCAAAAGGAAUUUUUACUAUAUAUCCACGAAUGAUACAAAAAUCUAUACUUAAAAAAAAAAAUGAAUUCCUGAACCUAGUCGAAGAACUGUGGCAAAAACUGUUUAAGGAUUCCAACCUAACACAUGAAUGAGGAGAGGCUAGUGAUGAUGGAUCAUGUUCCAUAACUUUAAUCAUGUCGGAAUCGGAAUUAAAGUUAGCUAGCUAGCCUCUGUGGCCCCCGAUCGAAUGCUGAAAGUUUCUGCUUCCAUUUUCCAAAGGGGAAAGGGUGCAGCAAGCGAUCACAAACCAACCAGAUGUAUAAAACGAAACUUUGGUCCUUCUAUUUUCUUGAUUAUGUAUUUACAGUCCCUGUAGAUUUUAUUAUAUGCCCAACUAGGCUUGGUCUUUAUAUAAAAACUUUUCACUUAAUUUUCCUUUUUUUUUUCAAAGUUUUUAUUAUAUGUUUAGAAAAAAAAAAGAAUUAAAAUAACAUUUUUCGUAAACCCAAUGGACUCCAUGAUUCAAGUCGCAGGUUUGGUGGAUUUAGCCACAAAGCUCAUAUCGAUCUAUUAUAUUGUCGUUAACAUAUAUAUAUAUAUAUAUGUUAAAGAUUCAUUUUAAAUGUUUUUUUAAAGCAUUUUGCUUAUUUUAGAUUGAUCUCCAUGAUAUGUUUCGUGUUUGUUAUGUACGAUUAAUUUAUUCUGAUUUGCUUUUUACAAAGUCGCGGGUUUUGUGGGUUUAGUCACAAAGCUCAUGUCGAACUAUUAUGUUGUCGUUUACAUAUUUUUUUUAGAAAAAAAGGAUUCAUUUUUAAUGUUUUUUAAAUCAUUUGGUUUAUUUUAGAUUGAUCUUCAUGAUAUAUUUUGUGUUUGUUUUUAUAUGAUUAAUUUGUUCUUUUUUUUUUUACAAUAUUAUUACAAUCUAUGUCGUAGUAGAGGGCAGACAAUGAUCCUCAUUGUAUUUUAUUAUAUACAAGCAUUGACCUUUUGAUUUAUUUUUAAUUUUUUUUAAAAUAUUAAAAAAUUAUUUUAACAACACUUAUGUCGCACGUUUGCGGCGUCACGACGAAUAUUUAUAUGUCCCACUUUAAAAUCUAAAAUGUAAUAUUCUAUAUUUAUUUGGAAAAUAUGGGGAGACAAGAAAUUCUUGUCGUUUAUUGAUGGAAUGGGAGUCGCCACCUAGUAUUUUGGUCACUAGGAACCCUAACUGGUCUCAGAGAUCGGGUACGAGGACUGGUUGCAUAAAGGGAAGGUAUUAGCACCCCAAAUACGUCUUACCUAAGAUAAGUUGCAUUGUUUGAUUGUCUGAUAAAAGCUAAGGUGUUAUUGUAUUUCUAAUUGUUGGUCUAUUCAUGGUUCAAGAAGAGCCCUCCUCAAUAAGGAGGUCCUUAUUUUAUCGGGUAAAAUCAUAACCAUUCUAACGUCUAUAUACAAACUACAUUUUUAAUAUCAAGAAUACGUUUUACGUAUAAAUUUGUAUCCCAAAUACUAAAACAACCAAAAAAAGAUUUUUAAUUUUUUUUGAAAUAUUGGCCUAGUUCUCGUGGCUCUAACAAACUUGUUGUUAAAGCCUAAAUGCAUACUAAUACAUAUAUUUUUUGAAAUUUCAUUUGUUGUAUGAAAAUAUGAUGUGAUGAUUUUUUUUUUGGAGAGACUAGGCCGUAUGCAUUAAAGCAAAAACAUUUUUUUUAUAUAUAUUUUUUGAUGUCUUGACAAAAAUCGGGUAUUUUAAUACUGGAUUCGUAUCUUUACGGUAUAAAAAUACAAACCAAUAUGAAGCCAUUUUGAUAAAAAUAUGCAGGAAAAUCAACAAUAUUUUUAGGAUUUUUCCGAAUUUUUUUGAAAGCAUAAAAUUUUUAUUUUUAAAUUGUUUUUUGAUGUUUUGACAACAACCGGGUAUUUUAAUACUGGAUUUGUAUCUUUACGGUAUAAAAAUACAAACCAAAUAUUAAGCAAUUUUGAUAAAAAAUAUGCAGGAAAAUCAAAAAUAUUUUUAAGGAUUUUUCAGAAUUUUUGAAAGCAAAACAUUUUUUAUUUAUAAAAUUUUUUUGAUGUUUUUUAAAAAAACUGGGUAUUUUAAUACUGGAUUUGUAUUUUUACGGUAUAAAAAUACAAACCAAUAUUAACCAUUUUGAUAAAACUAUGCAGGAAAAUCAACAAUAUUUUUCAAAGAUCUUUCAGAAUAUUUUUUAAUUUUUUUUAUAUAUAUCCACAUAUAUAUACAUAAUAUAAAACAAUAUAAUAAAUAAUGUAAUAUAUUAUGUGGGCUAGGCCGGGCCGACCCAACUUACUAGGCCAGACUCAGCCCAAAAGGGUUGGGCCGGUCUUGGCCGAACAAACUUCCUUUUUAGCCUGGGCCAGACCCGGCCCAGGCAGCAGGGCUGGGCUAGAACCAUUCUGGCCCACACAAAAAUAUUUCUGGGCUAGAACCCGUCUGGCCCAAAGAAGGGAAAAACCAACAACGAUGGCCAGCAUUAGCCUGGCCCAGCAUAUAACUGAUCGGGGAGGAAUUAUUUCCCCCCUCCCCUCCUCCUGCAUGCGUUCUGCAUGCAGGAGAACAACAAAAUGCAAAAACGAUAAGGGAGAAGAAAAGGUACCUGGCGUGGCGGAGGCGAUGCUGCUAGUCGGACUGCUUCACUGGUGGUGUUGUGGUGGAGGCCGGUGGCGGUGUCAUGGCUCACGGACAGCGGCUCCAAGCGGCGGUGCUGCUGUUUCAAACGGCGGAGGGUGAGGUUAUUGCUCUUCCCUUCUCCUCCGUGUGCCUUCCUCUUCUUUCGUUUUCGGUGGUUUCCCUUUAUCCUCCCGGUUUGUUUUCAAGUUUCCUCCCUCUCAGUUUGGGUUUGCUAGUGGUUCUUUUUGGUUUGGUUCUUUCUCUCCUUUUUCUGCGUUUUCUCUUCUUUUUUUUUCUUCGGUUCGUUCUCUCCGUUCCUUCUUUUAUCUCUGUUUUCGAUUUGCUUUUUUUUUUUGGUUUUUUCGUUUUCGGUUUAUUCCCUCCUCUCUUUAGUUCCUCCUCUCCUCGCGUGCUGGCGUUCAAUCUCCAUUUAUAGGGGGCAAAAGGAGCGGGGCUCAUUAUUGCUGCUCAUGGGGAGCAGGGCAACGCCGGUCGAUUGGCUAAUGGUCGCGGCUGGCAAGGUGCGGCUCCCCCGACUUUUCAUCAUGAGAGUGCAUGGGGGGUCGAGUUUUGGCAGGGCAUGUGGCUAAUGAAGAAAGAGGAAGAAAACGUUUUCUCUUCCCUUGUUGCACGCCCGGGGGAAGAAGAAAGAGGAACAGUGUCGUUCAAAACGACAUCGUUCGGUCCUUUUUUUUUUUUAACACGAAACAGCGUCGUUUUAGAAGAAAAUGUUUUCUCUUCCCCUGCUGCACGCCCGGGGGAAGAAGAAAGAGGAACAGUGUCGUUCAAAACGACAUCGUUCGGUCCUCUUUUUUUUUUUUUUAAACACGAAACGACGUCGUUUUAGACAAAACGCGCCAUUUCAUUUAAAUCAAAAAAGGGCGCCAAAAGGAGUCAAUGUCCAAGUCAGUCCUUAAUUAUAUUUUUUCAUUUCAAUUGCAUCCUUGAAAAAAUCAAGCGCCGCCCUUAUAUUUGGCCGUCUUUUCCACUUUGGUCCUUGGUCUCUGAUUUAUGCAAUUUUCCCUCAAUUAAUCAAUAAACUUUCAAUUUCUUCAAUUUAGCCCCUGAUUUUGUUAAUUACAGCCCCUAUAUUUACGCGUCUUUUCCAAUUUGGUCCUUGGCUUCAGAUUUCCUCAAUUAAGUCCCUAAUUGGCCAUUAAACUUCAAUAUUUAUGCAAUUAAGCCCCUGAUUUGACCAAAUCAACUCUUAAAAAUUAUAAUUUGACCCAGAACUUUAAUUUGUUCCAAUUAAAGCCCAAAUUGACUUAAAAAUCAAAUUUUCUUGCAAUCAAACUCUCUAUAAAUUCAAUUAAACUUGCAAUAAAAUCCAAUUAAGUCCAUAAACAUCCAAUUUUGAACUUCUCUCUUCAAAUUGAAUUCCAACAGGGCUCUCAUCAUACUAUCAAAUUUUUAAUUUUUGUAUUUUUAUCCUCCUUAAUUAAUUUUUCUGACCAUUUCCUGAGCGCUCCCGCCUCCUAUUUUUUUUUUCUAAUUUCUUCCGGCUAUAUAUUUAUUUAUUUAUUAUUAUUAUUAUUAUAUUUAUUUUAUUUUAUUAUUUAUUAUUAUUUUAUUAUUUAUUUUUAUUUUUAUUUUUUGUAGGGACCCAAAAAUGGGUUGCAACAACUUAUAUGUUCAUUCUUUAGUGUUAAGAAAAUUAAAUGUAUACAAAAUGUGGUUCAAAUAACUCAAAUUGUAUUUAUACAGCUAAAUGUUUUUCUCUUUAAUAAAUCCAUUGUUGGAUUUGAAAUUUAUAGCAUAUUUUAUAACUCAAAAAUGAAGAUUUGGUUUGGUUUUUAAGUUUUUUAUUUUUGUAAAAUUGAUUGAAAAAAAGUCGAUCGGGUAAUGUCGGCCUGGCUCGAAUCGGCAAAAUCAAAGACACAAAUGAAUAAUAAAUUUCAAUAUUCAUGGUUGAAGACCGGUGGAGCAAAAUCCAACUCUGAUCUAGAGUGUGUUUGAAAAUGCAAUGCAAACCGUGUUCCCUCAUAAUUUAAUUUUUUUUGCUUAAGAUUAUUUUUUUUAUAUUUUUAAAUUGUUUUAAUGUGUUGAUGUCAAAAUUAAUUUAAAACAAUAUUAUUUUAAUGUAUUUUUAUAUAAAAAAAUAUUUUAAAUCGUAACUGUUAUCAUACACACCCUAAUCUUGAGACUUUUUAUGGAACUCUUAAUUUUCAAGAGAGCCUUAACCAUUCCUUUAUGCAAGUGUACGCUUUGCCAAACAAUCCUUUAGGAAAAGGGGUUGCCCUCCCUCCGACGACUUGCCAUAACAGGCCAGGACUAAUUUCGACUCUUCGUUGGCGAAUGAUGACACUGCUCUACAUCCUUGACCAUUUCAAUUCCGAGAAACUCCCCCACCAUCCCAUAAAAAAGUUGUCCUUUUCUUUGAAGAAUUUUCCCAAUUAGUCCUUAUAUUGAAUUGAUCACACGUAAAUAAACUAUUUUUAUAAAUUUGAGUUGAGUUAAUUUACCAAACUCAUAAAUCAAUCAUAUAAUAAACUAUUUUUAUAAAUUUGAUCACAUGUAAAUAAAGUUUAAUUAGUACAAGACACUAUUGAGUACAAUGACGUUACAUAACUUAAAGAAUAUAUAUAUACAUAACUUAAAGAAUACACACACACAAAGCACAAAUAAUAAUAAUUUUGGAUGCAAAACACAGGUGGAGCAAGAAAUUCCACCCCAAGAAAAAUCCAAAUAUAAGUUCUUCCAACUUUCUUUGUUUCCCAAGAAAUCGAGAAUGCUAGUUUCAUUCAUCAAAAUUAUAAAUCCUAUAUUUAGAUAAAUUAGUGCAAAAUACCUAUAAACUAUAUUAUAAGAUAUAGAAAGCUAACGUGUGGAGUCUGUGGACCCACCCAAUGUUCAAACUUUGAAGAAGCUGCCAACAAAAUGUAAACACAUGAAUAUGAGAAAGAAUAACACAUUUAAAGUUUCUUUUAAAAAAAUAUUUUUUAUUUAAAAAUAUAUUAAAAUAAUAUUUUUAAUUUUUUUUAUAUUACCACCUCAGAACAAUUCAAAAAUAUUAAUAGCAAGCAGUCACUUGAUACAUUUUUACAGACUUUUGAUUAACCCCACUCAUUUGAGCCCUGUUAUUGGUUAAUGGUUAUCAACAACUCUCCAUCCCGUUACCUUUCCGGCUCUCCCUAGAACAACCAACCCCCAGCAAAAAUGCUACAUUUAGAAUCAUAUCCAGAAAAGCAAAAGCCAGAAAAGCAAAAACCAGAAACAAGGAUGAAUAUACCACUGUAGCUUUUGAUGUUUACCGGUUUUGGAAAUGCGCUUACGCUUUUAAAUGUUUUUUUAUGUUUGUUUUUAAAAAGUAAUAAUUUGAUAAUUUUUUAGUAUUUUUAAUAAUUUUAAUAUAUUAAUAUUAUGGAUUGUUGUUGUAUUUGAUCUGAUGACGAUAAAUUCUGAAAUAUUAUUUAAUCUUAUUGAUUCUGAAAAAAUAUAAUAUUUUAUAAUAUUAUGAAAUGUCGUGUGAAUUUUAUAUGUAUUUGUUUUAUUGAUUUAAUUUUCUAUUUCCUGUAUAUGCUACGGAGAUGAAUUAAUCUUCAUUGUGAAAAUGUUCUCUCAUGCUCCUAAAUUCUUACAUUUUUGUUAACAAUAAGAGAUGAAGAGGAGUUGGGUAUGGAGGUGAAGGUAUAAUUAAUGCAACCAACAAAUGAUACAGAAUAAGCUCAGAUCAAGAGAACAAUCGACCAAUUUUUCAACAUCCAAGUUCUUGUAAUCUCACAAACUCUCGAGACCCAAACCCAAUCAACGGAGAGAACCUUUAUUUGUUAAGGCUCCAUAUACUUUCUCGACAAGAACCGGAGAAGGAGGCUGUGGGGUGUUCGAUGGUUGAAAAGGGAACGUGGAUUAUGUUCUCCGACGGUUUCAACUCAUGCAUUCAAUUCCAGGCAAUAGCUGAGAUUUCGUAAUCUGUAUAUUGAGUGACUUUUUGGAGAGGGAGGGGCAGCGCGGGAACGAAAAGGAAAGGUAGCAGCCUCAAGCCUCGCCAAAAGCCCAAGAGAAUAUGCUCAGAUCAAGAGGACAAUCGACACAAUUGUCCCUUCCAAUUUUUGUCUCUCUUCCUUGAACUCUUAACUCAGCAUCUAUCCCUUUUACUCAGACAAAACUACCAGGCACUAAUAGAAAACUUCAUUUUGAUGUUUUUUUUUUUUUUUUAAAUCACAGAAAAAACCACUUUAUGUUGCUCAUAAAGACAGAAAAAACUUAAAAAUACAAAUUAAAAAAUCUUAAGGAAUUGAUUAACCAAUCCUUUUAGUUUUUUUAUGUUGUCUAUAAAGUCAGAAAAAACUUAAUAAUACAGAUUAAAAAAUCUUUGUACAAGAAAAAUAGGAUGAAUUUUUGUACAAGGAAAAAAAUUCCAAGUCAUGUAAUUCGAUUAUCAUUUUUUUUUUUAAAUUGUCUUAUGUCUCUCUCUCUCUUUUUCUUUUUAAUCUGUAUUAUAUAUUUUAAAAGAAUAAUUUGUUGCUAGUAAAUGAUAUAAGAUGAUUUGUAAUAGUGAAUAGAUAUAUUAUUUUAUUAGGUUACUUUAAUGAUAAAUCAAUAUAGUAUUUUUAUUUUUUUGGAUUUUCAUCUUGGAGAAACUCAAUAGGAUGAAAAUAUAAUAUUAAUCAAACUUCAAAUUAUAAUUAUUUAUCUAUCGAGUUAAAAAAAGGUACAAAGAGACGAAGGACUAUUUCAAUAUUAAUUAAUAAGAUUAUCCUUGUUGAUUUAAAGGACUAUUUUCAUCAUUUAUGUCGAAAAUAAUUAUGUUUUGCACAUGAUUUUUAACAACAAUCAUUGAAAGAAUGAUAUAUUAUUGAAUAUGAUCAAAUUUAAGGUUACAAAAAUAAUUAGUAUUCUUACAACCAAAGGAUUACCAAUACGGGAAUGAUGGUAAACCAAACUUUACAAAGGGACGAAGAACAUCCUUUGCAUUAGGAUGCUCCCACUCCACUACUGUCUCCCACCAUUCUUCUGGAUAUGCUCGGAUGUAUUUAAGAGAAAGGGGAGGGGAUGGCUGGCCAUUUUCAAGCAACGAAAGACAAAAUGACAUCCUCUUCAUCUUCUGACAAUUUCGUACUGUAAUGCUUUGGAGAGAAUCGCAAAUCAGUUUAGCAUUGCAAAUUCUUUUCAGUUCUGGUAACCAAAACAAUUCCAGAUUUCUUAACUUUGGGAGAAUGACUUCCGUGAUGGAAUUGGAGGUGCUGCUUUCUUCAUCUGUUGUUCCUAUUAUCUCCUCCAUUUUCUCACAAUUCUCCACAACAAUCACUUCCAGGUUUACGAGCUUUGGCAGCAACACAAGUCCCACCAUUCCUAUUGUCUCCCACCAUUCUUCUGGAUAUGCUCGGAUGUAUUUAAGAGAAGGGGGAGGGGAUGGCUGGCCAUUUUCAAGCAACGAAAGACAAAAUGGCAUCCUCUUCAUCUUCUGACAAUUUCGUACUAUAAUGCUUUGGAGAGAAUCGCAAAUCAGUUUAGCAUUGCAAAUGCUUUUCAGUUCUGGUAACCAAAACAAUUCCAGAUUUCUUAACUUUGGGAGAAUGACUUCCAUGAUGGAAUUGGAGGUGCUGCUUUCUUCAUCUGUUGUUCCUAUUAUCUCCUCCAUUUUCUCACAAUUCUCCACAACAAUCACUUCCAAGUUUACAAGGUUUGGCAGCAACACAAGUGGGAACAACUUCUUCAUACUGUUACAGAGAUAACAAUAAAACUCUUUAAGACCAGAAAACGUACCGUUACAUGAUGGAAAUCGUGGUGGAGCAUAGCAGAACCAAGAAGAUGAAACCAAGCUCUCCAUGCUACCGCAACCAUAAAUGAUGAUGUGCUCCAGUUCAGUUGCAUUCUCUAAUGACAAAACAUCACAUAAACUUCUUGUAUCGAUGCAUCGACAAACCAGUCCUUGAAUUCCAUUUAAGAUCAUGACCUGAAAAUCUCCAUCUCCGUUGAUACUCAAAUUACCCAACCCAACUGUUUUACUUGGAUAAUUUUUGCGUACCCAAAAAUCUCGAUCCACCAUUCCUACUAAAAUUGUGCAUGUGCUUAAUGAUUGAAUCCCAUCCCGAGAUCUGAGAUACUCCACGAAGUCAGGGAGACCUUCGAAAUGGCAUUCCAAAGUUUCCAGAUUUCUCAAGGAUCCUACUUCCUUUCCUUUAACUGUUAUCGGAGCAUCCAUAAACUCUUCUAGUACAAAGACUUGCAGGUGAGAGAGUUUUGGUAAUAUCCCACUAGGAAACUCCUUUUCACCACAUCCAUUCAUUCUAAGAUACCUCAGGUUGGUUAGGCAUUCCAUUCCUUGCGGCAUAUUUUCAAGCGCGGUACGAGAGAGAGCCAACCUCUUCAGUUCCUUGAGCUUCUUUAAUGAUGGAACAUGUUUUAAUUUCCCACAAGAAUUGAGCAAUAAUGCAGUGAGACUCACCAAAUCAGAGAAAGAGUCUGGCAAAUUUUCAAUACCUGUCCAAGACAGAUCGAGGACCUUGAGCCCAUGCAAUUGCUUGAAAAAUGAAUCCGCUAUAGAUCCCAACCGUUGAUUAUAACAUAGAAGCAGAGUGGACAGAUUUGAACAAAUUGGUGAAUGGCCGAAAGGAAUUUCUUCGAUCUCGUUUAGUACUAGUGAAACUAUCGUCAAAUUCUCCGUCCACUCCUCUGCAUCUGGCAACUCUUUUAAUUGCGCACCUGCUUUAACCAUGCCUUGAGAGUUCUCUAGCAGUAUUUGGAUGGCCAUGUCCCUAAUCAAGUCAUGCAUCUUGACACGUCUACAACCAAACAUCAUUUGAGCUCUUUCUAAUAGGCAAACAUAUUCAAGUCUAUUAAGCAUCGUGUGGCCCUCGUCAAAUGCAUCUUCCCUUCUCCUCAUUCCUUUAAUUAUUCCCUCGUCGAUCAAAUAACCUAUCAACUCCUCCCUUCCAAUCCAAUAAUCUUCAGGAAAUAAUGCACAGUACAAGAGACAUUGUUGUAGUGCUAGAUCAUCUAACCGAUCAUAACUAAACCUCAAUAACUUGAAUACUUCCUUGUCCCUAAAUUCUGAUUCUUUCAAUUUGUUCAAUGUAUUUCUCCACUCAUGUAGGUCAUCCACUCCCCUCAAGCUUCCUGCCACUGUAAUAAUUCCCAAUGGCAAACCAGCACAUUUCCUUGCAACAGCUUCCGCAAUUCCUUCCACUUCUGGUGAAAGUGCUACAUCAUGUCCAAGUUUCUCCAUGAACAAAAUCCAAGCUUCUCCCUUAGAAAGUGGCUUCACUUUGAUUUUGUGCUGGCAAGUCAUCCGAUGACAAACUGUUUCUGAUCGAGUUGUCAAAAUCAGCUUGCAUCCUUUCAACUUCUCAGGAAUUCCCACUUUGUGUAGCUCAAAAUUGUUCCACAAAUCAUCUAAAAUAAGAAUCCAUUUUUGUUUCUUCCUUAGUUCUUCUGACAAUUUAGCAGCUCUAUGCAGUUCAUCAUGUUUUCUUGAAAGAUCUAGAUCAAGAUGUUCAGCAAUAAGAUUCUGCAAUCUAUUAAUGCUGAAAUCUUGAGACACAGUCACCCACCAAACAUGAUCACAAAUAUCUGGUCUUUGUAGAAGCUCAUUAUGGAUAUGUUGCAGUAUUGUGGAUUUACCAACUCCCCCAUCCCAUAAAUGCCAAUGGUUGAGACUUCCCCAUCCAUUAACAAAGACCAUAUCUCAUUCGUAUUCUCUUCGAAUGCUUGACCCACUGGUUUUGUAGAGCUAGUAGGUAAUGGAACUCCUCUAGUCUUGUUGUAUUUCAGACUUUCAGAAGAUCUAGCUCCAGCACCAACCUGCACUGAUCUUCGACUAUUCUCCACAUCCUCCUCCACUAAUUCUGUCCUCACUCUAACCCGAUUAAUUCUCUCUUCCCCGGCACCUUGUUCCAGCACCCCCUGAACUCCCACUUGUAUCCUUCCAGCACCCCCUGCCAAAUUGCCAAGUACUGCAUUUCUUUGUUCCAACGAUCGAUCCACUUGUUCUGUCCUCGGUCUGCUCUUGAGUGCCCCUUCAGAAACUCCAUCUUCUUGUGCUCUCAUUCCGGUCAUGCUUACUACGUCGUUUCCUGCUAUUGCAUGUGAAGUAAUUCUCUCUUCCCCUACUCCGGGUUCUACAACCUGAACUUCUCGUUGUACCCUUCCAAUUCCUCCUUCCGUAUUUUCAAUCUCAAUGUUUUGUUCUUGUGGACAAGUUGAAAUUCCAAAAUCAUUAACAUUGACUGAACUUGCUGUGGUUUUAUGUCUUUUGUUGCCACCACACAUAGCUAGAAAGGCUGCUUCUUGAACUUCUGUAGUCACCCCAGGACAAAUGGCAACAUUAUGCCCUCUCUUUCUUGAUAAAUGCCAUUUGAUCCUCGAAAUGGAAGUAUCCUUGGCAUAUGUAUGUGGACAAAACUUACACUUCAUCCUACCAUCAGCCCUAUAUUCAACAUAAUUCCAAAACGGAUCAUUUGAUCCAACCAUUUCGACCUAUAGAAAAAAAGGGGGGGUCAAAAUAUAGAAUAAAAAUCAGUCAAAAUAAAGAAUAAAAAUCCUAUCUGGAUGGAUGAGAAACUACUUCAGUACUGUUACCCCUAUUUUGCUAUUAAAAUUGAGAGUUAGUUUAUAGCACAAUCAUAGGGGAAAAAAAGACUACGAUAAUUCAGUUAGACUUCUUACUUGUUGAGAAUUUAAACCCCUAUUUUGACUUUGCAAGGAAGUGUCAGGGCCAGGAUUUGAGGCAUUUGGCCUAGCAGUUUGAUUUCGCAAUCCUCGGACUUGGAGGUUAUCCAUCUGUGACCUAUAUAAAAAUGAAGUGAUCAUAUUAUAAAACCUUUCGAUAAUUGGUAGUCUCUCUCAAGCACUAAAAAUCAAUGGUGUAUCUAAUUAUCGAAAAGGUAUUAAUACUAUGUAGAAAACCUAAUUUUUUUUAUUACAGAAAAUACUAAAAAUGAAAAAUUGGAUACCAUGGAGCAGGAAAAGAAGGUCCAGGUUGAUUGAAGCCACCAUGUUGUGAAGUGGUUGCGUUCGGUGUCAUAUAGCCAUGUCCCGGCUGAGGUUGAUGAAUAAGGGAAUUAUGAUGCCUUGAUGGAGUUUGAGGCCAAUUUGGUUCAUUUUGGUUGAUCCAUGAUGAUGAUGUUCCAUCCAAACCUCCCAUUGUUGUCUGUUUGUUUAACAAUAAACAAUUAGAAGAUGCUCGAGAUAAAUCGAUACACUAAACUUUUUGUAUAAUACAAACACUUGCUAAUUCAAUGGAUAUUGUAGCGAAUUGGAGCAAGCAUGAGUACUCACCAUGGUUUCCGGAAAUGAAGUUGGAAACUGAGUUGUACUAUCGUUGAUCACAUUGUUCCAUCCAAACCUCCCUUGAUCAUUGCCUUGGUUGACUGGAACCUCCGAUGCCGGCCUGCUUCCAUGGAAUAAUAGGAUAAACUGAAGAAUAACUAAAUUGCAAGCAAUCAUCUUCUGAUAAAAUAUGCUUAAGAAUGACGUACGAGAGAAGCUCAGAUAUAUUGAAUGUAUCAUCUUCUGAUUGAAAAUCCAGCUGAUCCCAUGUCAUGUUGUCAACCUCCUCCAUAGAAGAUGGUUGGAACCCUUCCAUCUGACCAGAAAAGAUCAGAAAAGACAAAAAAAAAACUGAGGUCUAAAAUGAACAGAAAGCACAGAUCAGAAAAGAAUAUAUAUAUCCCAUUGCUGUCUGUUUGUUUAACAAUAAACAUUUUGAAGAUGCUCGAGAUAAAUUGAUACACGAAAACAUAAAACUUUUUUAUCCAAUGGGUGAUACAAACACUUGCUAAUUCAAUGGACAUUGUAGCAAAUUGGAGUAGGCAUGAGCACUCACCAUGGUUUGAGGAAAUGAAGGUGGAAACUGAGUUGUUUGUUGAAUACUAUCGUUGAUCACAUUGUUAUCCACUACCAUGUUCUGUCCAACAUGAUCAUUGCAUAACAUGAAGCUUUGGUUGCCUGGAACCUCCGGUGGCGACCUGCUUCCAUAGUCAGUAACAUUAUUGUUUCUUGGGAAUAAACUAUUGAAGAAUAACUAAAUUGCAAGCAAUCGUCUUCUGAUAAAAUAUGCUUAAGAAUGACGUACAAGAGAAGCUCAGACAUGAAUGUAUCUUCUAGUGAUUGAAGAUCGAACAGAUUCGAUGUCACGUUGACAUCAUCCUCCAUAGAAGAUUGUGGGAACCCUUCCAUCUGACCACAAGUACAAGACGAUUAGUAUGUACUGAGGUGGAAAAAGAACAGAAAGCUCAGAUCAGAAAAGAAUAUAUAUAUUAAAAAAAUAAUUAUGACUUGCUUAUUUGUUAAAGAAAUAAGGAUGAAAAAUAGGAAAUAUAAAUGUUGUUGUUAAUGAUUUAACCCUUUGUAUUUAAAGCUAAAUUAUCAUACUCAAAUUCUAUCCUAAAACUCUAGAAUGAUAGAUAGAAAGAUGCAGAAGAGGAUAACUGUUGAAGAAAGCAGGGGAAGGAAGGUCGAAGAGCUGAUUGUUUUGACGGGGUGAACAAAAACCUCUUUCAACUCCUAUUUAUUCAUAAUUUGGGGAGCAAAACAAAUGCAAGAUAUUGUUUUGUUCAAAAAGAUUCAGGUAAUUAUUGAUGAUCAAGUUAAUUCAUUGAAUCAUUGUAAGUUGAAAAAUAUUGAAUAAAAAUAAAUGGCAGUCCCAUUAAUUGGAAAAGAAAAGGGUGAAUCUAAAAUAAGGAGUUAAAAACAACAAAGAAUCUUGAAAAGACGAAAACAACGAAUUCAGUAUUAAUUUAGUAUGAACUCCACAAGGCAUGGAUUAUAAAAUCCGAGAAAAAGAUCAAUUUAUUUAUCAUGGAUUCCUUUAAAGAUUCAAACCAUACUUGCAUAUAUAAAAACAAAAACACCACCAAGAUAAAGUACAAAUAAUUAACCUGGAUUCAAGUGCUGGUUCGCUUGAGCAGUAAUCAGCCAAAAAAGAGAGGAGAAAUCACAUAAAUCUAGUUCGCACUGGUUAGAUGUGGAAAGGAAAAGAGGUAGAAGAUGAUUAGUACGUCCUGAGGAUUAAAAGAGAAGAGAAAUCACAGAUCGGAGAAGAUUAUAUGAUUAGAAAACUAAUAAAGUUGCAGUCUACAUAAAUUAUUGUUUUGUUAUAUGUGGAAGGAAGUUGCUAGGAAGCAACCCACUACUUUACCUACCCAAUUAUGAAAGCUUAGAAGAAGAUGCCUAGAAAAUGUGAUUAAUAUGUGAUUAAUAGGUGGUGGCCAAGAGUUUGGGACCAAGAGGUUUGAUUUCUAUGUGGUAUCAGGUUCGAGCCCUGGGUUGCUCAUAUGAUAGCCACUGGAGGCUUACAUAGUCGUUAACUUCAGGGCCUGUGGGAUUAGUCGAGGUAUGCGCAAGCUGAUCCGGACACACGUUUAACUAAAAAAAAAUACAUAUAUUAUAUUAUAAGAUAUAGAAAGUUAACGUGUGGACCCGCCCCAAUGUUGAAACUUCGAAGAAGCUGCCAAGAAAAUGUAAACACAUGAAAUUUUCAAAAAAGAAUAGUAUAUUUAUUAGGUUACUUUAAUGAUAAAUCAAUAUAGUUUUUAUUUUUAUUUUUUAUUUUUGGAUUUUCAUCUUGGAGAAACUCAAUAGGAUGAAAAUAUAAUAUUAAUCAAACUUCAAAUUAUAAUUAUUUAUCUAUCGAGUUAAAAAAAAAGUACAAAGGGAUGAAGGAUUAUUUCAAUAUUAAUUAAUAAGAGUAUCCUUGUUGAUUUAAAGGACUAUUUUCAUAUCGAAAAUAAUUAUGUUUUGCACCUGAUUUUUAACAAAAAUGAUUGAAAAAUGAUAUAUUAUUGAAUAUGAGCAAAUUUAAGAUAACAAAAAUGAUUAGUAUUUUUACAGAUGGAUAGAAUUGAUAAAUGAUGCAACAAAAAAGGAUACGUAUUAUUACAUUUAACGGAGUAAUUAACCAUUCUACAUAUUAAUUAUUUCGAGAGAAAAAGGUUCUUUGGACAUCCUUUGCAUUAUGAUAGAAUUGAUAAAUGAUGCAACAAAGAAGUAUUCUAACAACGAAAGGAUUAACAAUACGAAAGGUACAAUUCGAUUGAGAGAGAUUAUGCUUACCCUCUAUUCUAUAUUAUAUUAUAUUAAGGGCAGAGUAGUCUUCUCCUAUACAAAGUGUACAAAGGGAAGAAGGACAUCCUUUGUAUUAGGAUGCUCCCACUCCACUACUGUCUCCCACCAUUCUUCUGGAUAUGCCUUGAUUUUUCUAAGAGAAGGGGGAGGAGAUGGCUGCCCAUUUUCAUGCAACGGAAGACAAAUUGGAAUCCUCUUCAGCUUCUCACAAUAUAUUACAGUAAUAUAUUCAAGAGAAUUGCAUAUCAAUUUUACACUGCAAAUGCUUUUCAAUUCUGGUAAAUGAUACAAUUCCAAAAUUCUUAAGUUUGGGAGAAUGACUUCCGUGAUGGAAUUAGAGGUGCUGCUUUCUUCAUCUGUUGUUCCUAUUAUCUCCUCCAUUUUCUCACAUCCACUAAUUUCAAUAUGUGUAACAGGUUUAUAAGGUUUGGCAGCAAUACAAGUGGGAACACCUCCUUCAUACUGUUACAUCCACCACAAUAAAGCCUUUUAAGACCAGAAAACAUACCAUUAUAUGAUGGCAAUGGUGGUGGAGCAGAGCAGAACCAAGAAGAUGAAACCAUGCUCUCCAUGCUAUUGCAAUCCCCAAUGUCGAUUUCCUCCAGUUCAGUUGCAUUCUCUAAUGACAAAAUAUCACAUAAACUUCUUGCAUCGAUGCUUUCACAAACCAGUCCUUGAAUGCCAUUUAAGAACAUGACCUGAAAAUCUCCAUCUCCGUUGAUACUCAAAUUACCCAACCCAACUGUUUUACUUGGAAAAUAAUUAUUGCCAAACCAAUAAUUUAAACUCACCAUUCCUACUAAAAUUUUAUAUGUGCUUAAUGAUUGGAUCCCAUCCCGAGAUUUGAGAUAGUCCACGAAGUCAGAGAAACCUUCAAAAUGGCAUUCCAAACUUUCCAAAUUUCUCAAGGAUCCUACUUCCUUUCCUUUAACUGUUAUCGGAGCAAUCGUAAUCCCUUUUAUUACAAAGACAUGUAGGUGAGAGAGUUUUGGUAAUAUCCCACUAGGAAACUCCUUUUCACCACAUCCAUCCAUACUAAGAUACCUCAGGUUGGUUAGGCAUUCCAUUCCUUGCGGCAUCUUUUCAAGCCUAGUAUAAGAGAGAUCCAACCUCUUCAGUGCCGUGAGCUUCUUUAAUGAUGGAACAUGUUUUAAUUCAUCACACUUACUAAGCAAUAAGGCAGUAAGACUCGCCAAAUUAGAGACAGAAUCUGGCAAAUUUUUAAUACCUGUGCGAGACAGAUCAAGGACCAUGAGCCUAUGCAAUUGCUUGAAAAAUGAAUCCGCAACAAAUCCCAACCCUUUAUUAUCACAUAGAAAUAGAGUUGACAGAUUUGGACACAUUGGUGAAUGGUCGAAAGGAACUUCUUCAAUCUCGUUUUGCAUUAGUGAAACUAUUGUCAGAUUCUUCGUCCACUCCUCUGCUUCUGGCAACUCUUUUAACUGCGCACCUGCUUUAACCAUGCCUUGAGAGUUCUCUAGCAGUAUUUGGAUGGCCAUGUCCCUAAUCAAGUCAUGCAUCUUGACAUGUCUAAUAUCAUCAUAAUCCAUUUGAGCACUUUCCAAUAGGCAGACAUAUUCAAGUCUAUUAAGCAUCGUGUGGCCCUCGUCAAAUGCAUCUUUCCUGCUCCUCAUUCCUUUAAUUAUCCCGACAUCGAUCAAAUAACCUAUCAGCUGCUCCCUCUUAAUCCUAUGAUCUUCAGGAAAUAAUGCACAGUACAAGAGACAUUUUUGGAGUGCUGAAUCACCUAGCCGUUCAUAACUAAACUUCAAUAACUUGAAUACUUUAUUGUCCCUAAAUUCUGAUGCACUCAAUUUCUUCAAUGUACUUCUCCACUCAUGUAGGUCAUUCACUCCCCUCAAGCUUCCUGCCACUGUAAUAAUUCCCAAUGGCAAACCAGCACAUUCCCACAAAGCUUUUGAUUAUGUGUUAUGGGAAUACAUCAAUGAAGUAAUGGUUGCUAUGGGCUUCGGGAGCAGGUGGCGAGGUUGGAUCAUGCAAUGCAUUUCAAUAGCAAAGAUGUCUGUGCUAGUCAAUGGAUCUCCAACGACAGAAUUUAACUUGGAAAAAGGUCUACGACAAGGAGACCCCCUCUCACCUUUUCUUUUCAAUAUUGCAGUUCAGGGAUUGAGUUGUCUGUUGCAGCAAGGUUGUGAUUUGGGUUUGAUCGAGGGUAUUAAGAUUGGCCAGGAUGGAUUUUCAUUAUCUCAUCUUCAAUUUGCAGAUGACACUCCUAUAUUCAGCUCAAACUCUUUACUUGGUAUGCAGAAUAUCAAGCGCAUCCUUUUAUGUUUUGAAUUAAUGUCAGGUCUGAAGGUUAACUUUUGUAAAAGCAGCAUCUUUGGUGUGGGUAUAGAUGAUCAUAUAUGUAAUUACACUGCUCAAAUUCUUCGAUGUAAGCAGGAGCGCCUCCCAUUCAAAUAUCUUGGCCUCCCCAUUGGUGCAAACUCUUGUAGAACUUCGAUGUGGAAACCUAUUCUCCAUAAUAUCAGUGCUAGGCUGGCUUCGUGGAAAGGCAGACUUCUAUCUAUUGGGGGUAGAUUGUGCUUAAUCAAAUCUGUCUUAGGAAAUUUGCCCAUUUACUUUCUCUCUUUGUUUCCUAUGCCUGCGACAAUUGCAACCUCCAUUGAAAAGAAAUUCAGAGCCUUCUUGUGGUCAGGAAAAGAGGAAGGCAAAAAAAUAUGCAAUGUUAGAUGGUCAACUAUUUCUCUGCCGAAAAAUGCUGGUGGUCUUGGGAUCGGAUCUCUAAGGGACAAAAACAAAGCACUGAUGUUCAAAUGGUUAUGGAGGUUUGGGUCGGAGGAGUCGAGCAUGUGGAAAGAUGUGAUUACCAGCAUAUACAACACUAAAUGCUCCACAAUUAUUCCGAAAUAUCCUAUUGCAGGCACUGGAACAACUUGGUCUCGUAUUAUUAAUCAUUGUGUUUCAGAUUAUAGUCUGCAAGACAUUGUGAAACGUUAAGCUGUUAUGCUAGUUGGAAACGGUAAGAGGAUUAAAUUCUGGCUUGAUGACUGGACAUCUACUGGUCGCCUGGCAGAUCAGUUUCCUUCCCUAUUCCGGUUAUCCGAUGAUAAAGAAGCAAGCCUUGAUAAGAUGGGAAUAUGGGAUGGUCAUGCUUGGUUCUGGCUAUUAAACUGGACUAGACCCUUGCGAGGUAGAAACUAUAGUCUUCUAGACCAAUUGAAUGCCAUUCUUUUGAAAGUACAUCCGGAUAAAGAUGAUGAGGAUAGAUUAGUUUGGAAAGCCAACUCCACUGGUAGAUUCUCGGUCAAAUCUCUUUGUGGGCUGCUAAGUCCCAAUCCCCCUAUGGACACUAGCUUCUCUUUUUCUGGGAUUCGAAGAGGAAUCGUCCCUCCUAAAGUUGAAAUAUUCUGCUGGAUGGCUAUCAUUAAAAAAAUUAAUAAUCGUAGUAUGCUGGUCAGAAAAGGAAUUUUGGACAUCUCAGCUGCUGCAGCUUGUCCAAUUUGCUUUGUUGAGGAAGAAUCAGUGGAUCAUAUAUUGCUGCAUUGUCACAAACAUUGGAUAGUUUGGUCUAAAAUUAUCAAUUGGUGGGGCUUAGCGUGGUGUUGCCCAAAGGACUUGGCGGCUCUUUUCUCUUAGUGGGAUUCCUUGGUUUAUGGAAAAUUUCAAAAAAAAGCUUGGUUGAUGUUGUUCUUUUCAGUGACAUGGUCUCUUUGGCUUCUUCGUAAUGAUGUGAUAUUCAAGCAAACAACCCCGAAUUAUGAUACUUUGUUUAUCCUUAUUAUUACUCGUCUCUGCUUUUGGAUAAAGGCUAUAGAGCCUGAUUUCUCUUAUUCCGCUUCAGAAUUAAUAAGGUCAGCAGAAGGGCUGGUUCGAUGGACUAAUUCUUCAAAUCAUAGGGCAGUUGUUGUGUGGUCCCCCCCUAUGACUAAUUGCUUCAAAUGGAAUGUGGAUGGUUCCUCUCUUGGGAAGUCUGGCCCCUCAAGUAUAGGCGGAGUCUUGCGAAAUCAUCAUGGGAUUCUUCUUGGUAUAUUCUCCUCGCCAGUUGGGAUUUUAGACUCCAAUGUAGCUGAACUAAAAACGGUUGUCAAAGCUAUUGAAUUAUCAGCUUCUAACUGUCAUCUGCAUUAUAAACACAUUAUUGUUGAAUCUGACUCGACCAAUGUCAUUAGCUGGAUGAAUAACCCUCAUAAUAGACCUUGGCUGCAUCAUAAUCUUUUCUCCUCUAUUCAGAGAGUAGCUUCAUGUUUUGGUUCACUCACAUUCACUCAUUCUCUUCGUGAGAGUAAUCAUAUGGCAGAUCACAUGGCAAAAAAGGGGGUGUUUAGAAACUCUAAAUGGGUCGCUUGGCUCUAAUCUGCUUGAUAUUUGGGCCUUUCUUUUUUCUUUAAAUUCUGGUUGCGGAUGCAAAGGAAACUGGAUUGUUUCCCAGAUUACUCUAUUUUUAGAAAGGAGAAGAAUCAUCAAGCUAUACAGAAGCAAUUCCAGCUGGUCAGAUCUUUGUCUUUUGUGAAACUUCUUGGUUUCAGAUUCUGAUGUUGUAAGUCUAGGGGCUUUUGUUGAUGGGCUUCCUUUUGCCUGCUAUGAUUUUCUAUGUUAGUGUCUUGGUUCUUUUAUUGUUAAGUUGUCAAAGGCUUUCUGUGAAGAGUCCAUGGCUGGUAUUUUGUUUCGGAUAAGAAGAUGCAAGAUGGAAAGAUUUUGUUUUACUUCUAAUCUGGAUAUCGGUAGAAGUCUGUUUGGCUUCUCUUCCUGGUAUGGCUCCAAAUCUGCAUCUUUUAGCUGCUUCUUUGAUUUCUUGGCUUCAAAUAUGUAUAUUGUAGCUGCAUUUUGUUCUUUUCGUUUCUUGGUAUGUUGUUCAUUUCAUUGCAUAGUUCUGUUUAGGUGUCCUGUAAACAGAAUCUCUAUAUUCCCAUCAUCUAUUGGCGUCUUCUAAUGCAAUAUUAUACUUCUCAAAAAAAAAAAAAACCAGCACAUUCCCUUGCAAUAUCUUUUGCAAUUCCUUCCACUUUUGAUGAAAGUGCUUUGUCACAUCCAAGAUUCUCCUUGAACAAAGUCCAAGCUUCUCCCUCAAAAAGUGGCUUUACUUUGAUUUUGUGAUCGCAAGCAAUUCCAUGACAAACCAUUUCUGAUCGAGUUGUCAAAAUCAGCUUGCAUCCUUCCAACUUCUCAGGAAUUCCCACUUUGUGUAGCUUAAAAUUGACGUUUGGCAAUAAUAUUUUGCAGUCUAUUAAUGCUGAAAUCUUGAGACACAGUCACCCACCAAACAUGAUAACAAAUAUCUGGUCUUUGUAGAAGCUCAUUAUGGAUAUGUUGCAGUAUUGUGGAUUUACCAACUCCCCCCAUCCCAUAAAUGCCAAUGGUUGAGACAUCCCCAUCCAUUAACAAAGACCAUAUCACCUUCGUAUUCUCUUCGAAUGCUUGACCCACUGGCUUUGUAGAGCUAAGAGGUAAUAGAAGUCCUCUAGUCUUGUUGUAUUUCAGACUUUCAGAAGAUCUAGCUACAACACCAACCUGCACUGAUCUUUGACUAUUCUCAACAUCCUCCUCCACUGGUUCUGUCCUCACUCUAACCCGAUUAAUUCUAUCUUCCCCGGCACCUUGUUCCAGCACCCCCUGAACUCCAACUUGUAUCCUUCCAGCACCCCCAGCCAAAUUGCCAAGUACUGCAUUGCUUUGUUCCAACGAUCGAUCCACUGGUUCUGUCCUCGGUCUGCUCUCGAGUGCCCCUUCGGAAACUCCAUCUUCUUGUGCUCUCAUUCCGGUCAUGCUCACUACGUCGUUUCCCGCUAUUGCAUGUGAAGUAAUCCUCUCUUCCCCUACUCCAGGUUCUACAACCUGAACUUCUCUUUGUACCCUUCCAAUUCCUCCUACCAUUCUUGAAAUUCCACAAUCAUUAACAUUGAUUGAACCUGCUGUGAUUUUAUGUUGACAGUUGCCUCAUUUGCUGCUGAAGAAGAGGUCUUCGAUGCUGUGAAGAUCCAGUCAAGAUUGACUCCAGAUUGUUAGGAUGUUAGUUGCAAAUAAAGCUGUCAUAGAUCAGCUCUUUCUCUGUUUUUAUCUUUUCAAUAUUUUUCGGAAUUCUGUUAUCAAACUCUUCUAUAAAAGAGUGUUUUAUCAAUAAAGAAAGUACACUUCAAUUCACAACAUUUAUAUCUUUAUCUUAUUGCUGAGUUCUUGCCUGUUCUUAUACAAUUUGUUACUGUCGUAAACAACAAAUUGGUAUCAGAGCACAUUGAUUUUAAAGGGACCAGCUUGUGAGAAAGAGAGAAACCUGUGAGAAACCCUUCUUCCACCAAAAAACCACAAAACACCAAAACCAAAACCUUUCAUCAUUCUUUCAAAUGGCAUCCAACACUUAUUCUCUUGCAACACCACCAGUAUUUACUGGUGUGAACUACCAAAUGUGGGCUGUGAGAAUGAAAACUUACUUACAAGCCUGCGAUUUAUGGGAUGCUGUUGAACAAGAACAUGAACCUCAGCCUCUUCCUGCAAAUCCAACCAUAGCCCAAAUCAGAAAUAAUCGUGAGGAGAGAUCAAGGAAGUUCAAAGCCAAAACUUGUCUCUAUGCUGCUGUUUCUGAAGCAAUAUUUCCAAGAAUAAUUGCUUUUGAUACAGGCAAACAAAUAUGGAAUUAUCUCAAGGAGGCGUUCCAUGGUAAUGAGAGGACAAUUCAAAUGCAGGUUUUGAAUUUGAGAAGGGAGUUCGAAAUGCAGAAGAUGAAGGACUCAGAAACUAUCAGAGAUUUUUCUGAUAGAUUACUCUCCAUAGUCAACAAAAUAAGACUAUUGGGAGAGGAGCUUUCUGAUCAAAGGGUUGUUAAAAAGAUCCUUGUGACUUUACCCGAGAGGUUUGAGUCAAAGAUAUCCUCAUUAGAAGAAGCCAAAGAUCUGUCAAAAAUAUCUUUGGGAGAAUUGUUAAAUGCCUUACAAGCUCAAGAACAAAGGAGAACUAUAAGGCAAGAAGAAUCCAUGGAAGGAGCUUUUCCAGCAAAGGUGCAAGUCCAAGAAGGUGACAAAGGGAAAAGGAAGAACAUCAAAUACAAGGGAGCAGGCAGUAACAAUCGAAGAAUUGGAACCUUUCCCCCUUGUCAACACUGUAAGAAAACAAAUCACUCACAAAACUACUGUUGGUGGAGACCUGAUGUUAAAUGCAGGAAAUGCAAUCAGCUGGGACACAUGGAAAAAAUCUGCAAGAACAGAACAAAUCAAUAGCAUGAAGAGGCUCAAGUUGCUGAUCAACAACAGGAGGAACAAUUGUUUGUGGCCACCUGUUUUGUAAGCAAGCAUGCAAGUGAUUGCUGGUUGAUAGACAGUGGUUGCACAAAUCACAUGACAAAUGAUGUGAAUUUGUUCAAACAUCUUGAUAAAUCAAGUGUCUCAAAAGUCAGAAUUGGUAAUGGCGAAUAUAUUCCUGUCAAAGGAAAAGGGACAGUGGCCAUCGAAGGGAAUUCAGGUAUUAAACUCGUUUCAGAUGUCCUUUUUGUACCUGAAAUCGAUCAAAACCUGUUGAGUGUUGGCCAACUUCUUGAAAAAGGAUACUCGGUUGUUUUCAAGAACAAACACUGUUUAAUUUCUGAUCCUACUGGAUUAGAGAUUUUCACCAUAAAAAUGCAAGGGAAAAGCUUUUCUCUAGAUUGGAUGGAAGAGGAGAUAGCAGCAGUAUCAAACACAACAAAUGAAGCUGAAUUAUGGCAUAAGAGGAUGGGCCACUUCAAUCAAGCAGCUUUGGUUCAUAUGCAGAGAAGGAAGAUGGUGAGAGGGGUGCCCAGCCUAGAAGAAAAAAUCACGGUUUGUGUUUCUUGUCAAUAUGGCAAGCAACACAGACUUGGAUUUCCUCAAAACAAAGCUUGGAGAGCAAGUGAAAAACUUCAGCUUAUUCACACUGAUGUUGCAGGCCCUCAGAUGACAGAUUCAUUAAAUGGCAGCAGGUAUUAUGUUGCUUUCAUUGACGAUUAUACAAGAAUGUGUUGGGUGUAUUUUUUAAAAUCCAAAGCUGAAGUAGCAGGUGUCUUUUUGAGGUUUAAAAACUGGGUUGAAAAUCAAAGUGGUCAUAAAAUUCAGAUUGUGAGGUCUGACAAUGGCACAGAAUAUACUUCAAACAAAUUUGCCCAGUUUUGUCAUGAUGCAGGGAUUGAACAUCAAUACACUACACCUUACACACCUCAGCAAAAUGGUGUGAGUGAGAGGAAGAACAGGACAAUCAUGGAGAUGGCAAGGUGCUUAUUAUUGAGAAAGAUUUGCCCAAGAAAUUCUGGGCAGAAGCUGUGAACACUGCUGUGUUCUUGUUAAACAGGCUGCCAACAAGAGCAUUACAACACAAAACACCUUAUGAAGCUUGGCAUGGUUAUAAACCCUCACUUCAAAACUUAAAAGUGUUUGGAUGCUUAUGUUUCACUCAUAUACCUCAGGUGAAAAGAGAUAAGCUUGACAGGAAGGCUGAAGCUGGAAUUUUCGUUGGCUAUAGCAAUGUCACAAAAGGCUAUAGAGUUUAUCAACCUGCAACUGAAAAGUCAUAAUCAGCAGAGACAUUAAAUUCGUUGAAGCUGAAAAAUGGAAUUUUGAAGAUACAACAAGCAAUGCAAGUAAGGAGAUCAUGCAAGAUUUUGAUAAAGAUGUUGAUGACACACCAGUCAGAGGAACCAGACUUCUUGCAGACAUUUAUCAAAGCUUCAAUGUGGCUGUGCUUGAACCUGCAGAAUAUGAGGAGGCCAAAAAUGAUCCAAGAUGGGUCACAACAAUGAAAGAAGAGCUAAGCAUGAUUGAGAAGAAUCAAACAUGGGAAUUAGUGGAUAUGCCGACACACAAAAAACCCAUUGGUGUGAAAUGGGUUUACAGAACAAAAUUGAAUGCAGAUGGCACUAUCAACAAACACAAAGCUAGGCUUGUGGUCAAAGGCUAUGCACAAGUCUUUGGUGUGGAUUUUUCAGAAACAUAUGCCCUAGUAGCUCGACUUGACACCAUCAGAAUGUUGCUAGCAAUUGCAGCUCACAAAGGUUGGAAAAUAUUUCAACUUGAUGUGAAGUCUGCAUUUUUGAAUGGUUACCUGCAGGAGGAGAUUUACGUGGAACAACCUAAAGGUUUCAUGGUAGAAGGAGAAGAAGACAAGGUUUACUUAUUGAAGAAAGCUUUAUAUGGACUGAAACAGGCUCCAAGAGCCUGGUAUAGCAGGAUUGAUGAGCAUUUACUCAAACAUGGCUUCAACAAAAGUUUAAGUGAAUCGACCUUAUAUAUCAAGAGUUCAAACACUGGUUUUAUGGCUGUUUCACUUUAUGUGGAUGAUUUAUUUGUUACAGGUAACAAUUCAACCAUGAUGGACAUCUUCAAAGCUGAAAUGAUGGAAGUUUUUGAGAUGACAGACCUUGGUGAAAUGUCCUAUUUUCUUGGCAUGGAAGUGCAGCAAAAUCAGCUUGGGAUCUUUGUUUGCCAACAAAAGUAUGCCAAAGAGAUUCUGAAGAAAUUCAAAAUGGAAGACUGCAAAUCAAUGACCACGCCCAUGAAUUUGAAAGAGAAGUUCAGUAAAGAAGAUGGGGCAGACAAGGUGGAUGAAGCAAUUUACAGGAGCUUAAUUGGGUGUCUAAUGUACCUUGCGGCAACAAGGCCAGACAUCAUGCAUGCAGUGAGCUUAUUAUCUAGGUUCAUGCAUUGUGCUAGUGAAAUACACUUCAAGGCUGCAAAAAGAGUGGUGAGAUACAUAAAAGGUACACUAAACUAUGGCAUUCAGUUUAGUUGUGCUGAAAAUUUCGAGCUACAAGGAUAUGCAGAUAGUGAUUGGGCUGGCAGCUGUGAUGAUAUGAAGAGCACGUCUGGAUAUUGUUUUAGUUUUGGAUCAGGAAUUUUCUCCUGGUGUUCCAAAAAACAAGAAGUUAUUGCUCAAUCAACGGCAGGAGCAGAGUAUGUUGCAGCUACUGCAGCUGCAAAUCAAGUCUUAUGGCUUAGAAAAAUCCUAGCAGAUCUGGACAUGGAGCAAAGGGAAGCUACUAAAGUUAAUGUUGACAAUCAAGCUGCAAUUGCAAUAUCUAACAAUCCAAUUUUCCAUGGGAAAACAAAGCAUUUCAAGCUCAAGUAUUAUUUUCUAAGAGAAGUUCAGAAAAAUAAAGAACUGCAACUGAUUUAUUGCAAGACAGAAGACCAGCUUGCUGAUAUAUUAACCAAGCCAUUGCCAAAAGCAAGGUUUGAAACUUUGAGGAACAAGAUAGGAGUCUGCAGCAAAAGAUGCAAGGAGGAGUGUUGACAGUUGCCUCAUUUGUUGCUGAAGAAGAGGUCUUCGAUGCUGUGAAGAUCCAGUCAAGAUUGACUCCAGAUUGUUAGGAUGUUAGUUGCAAAUAAAGCUGUCAUAGAUCAACUCUUUCUCUGUUUUUAUCUUUUCAAUAUUUUUCGGAAUUCUGUUAUCAAACUCUUCUAUAAAAGAGUGUUUUAUCAAUAAAGAAAGUACACUUCAAUUCACAACAUUUAUAUCUUUAUCUUAUUGCUGAGUUCUUGCCUGUUCUUAUACAAUUUGUUACUGUCGUGAACAACAUUUUAUGUCUUUUGUUGCCACCACACAUAGCUUUCCAAGCUGCUUCUUGUUCUUUAGGCACCCCAUGAAAAAUGAUGGUCUCAUUGUAUGGGUGACGAACCCCAGAAAAAUGAUGGUCUCAUUGUAUGGGUGACAAACCCCAGAAAUAUGAUGGUCUCAUUGUAUGGGUGACGAACCCCAGAAAAAUGAUGGUCUCAUUGUAUGGGUGACGAACCCAAGAAAAAUGAUGGUCUCAUUGUAUGGGUGACGAACCCCAGAAAUAUGAUGGUCUCAUUGUAUGGGUGACGAACCCCAGAAAUAUGAUGGUCUCAUUGUAUGGGUGACGAACCCAAGAAAAAAUGAUGGUCUCAUUGUAUGGGUGACGAACCCCACGUGGAAAAAAUGUGAAGUGCGGUCUCAUUGUAAUGGGUGACCUACCCACGUGGAAAGAAUAUGAAAAAGUGGUCUCGUUGUGAUGGGCGACCUACCCAAAUAGAAAGAAUGUGAAGUGCGGUCUCAUUGUAAUGGGUGACCUACCCAGAUGGAAAAAAUGUGAUAUGACAAGUGUGAAAAAUAGGACUUACCUGGCGAAGUUCUGAAGGGAUGAUAGAAGAAAGGGCUGGAAAACUUGGUGCUUCCUGAUAAUUCUUGAUCAUAGGGUUUGAAAACUCGGUGUUUCCUGACUGCAAGGGUUGAAAACUCGAGGCUUCCCGAUUGCAAGGUUGAUCUUUUCAUUUCUUUGGGAUUUUCCUAAUGGUAGGGUUCAUCCCAUCGUCCUUUUAUUCCAUGAUCAAAACCGAUUCUUUAUUUAUCAUCACCACAAUGCUUCUUUCUCUUUCCACCAUCUUGCUGGACCCCAUUAGGGAUUUUCCUGUAACAAUUCAAAAAUACGUGCAAAUGUUUUUUUUUUUUUUUAGGUUAGAUGAUAUACAUGCAUCCUUACCUGAUUUGAAAUAUAGGUCCCCCCCUCUUUGAUGCUCCAUCGCCAUAGGGUGCCUUUGUUUGCAUUCCACAGCAUUCCUUGUUCUUUCGAUGUAUUGGCUCAUUCAUGUGCUAGCCAUCCACUCAACUGUAAAUGCAGUGCCCAUCCCGGGUUGUCUUUGACAAUUACUGCUCGCAUCGUUCAUCAAGCUUGACCCUGCCCCCAAGUGUGGUGCUGCUUGAUUCAUUAUGAAGGAUUUUCUCUCUUGGAUUCUUCUGAGAGUUAUCCUUUGAUUGAUUGUGUGCAUCAUGUCCAUACCCCAUCAAGAUUGUUAAUCAGUCAUUGUAAGCGCGAUGUAUUUCUCUAUGGAUUCCUUUUAGCUUGUCAAAUCAGAUCGUGAAAGCAACUGCUUUGGCAUCAUCAAUGAUGUUCAUGUUAUCACCCAUAUUCAUGCGGUGAAGUGCGCAUUUGAGCUUCAGAAUAGAUGGUCCCAUAGUCAAUCUUGGUGGUAUGCAUAUGUUCGAUGUUCAUUCAAAUGCACUCACCCGAUAACAUCUGUCAGGAGUCAUAGCCAUGUUUUACAGGGUAACCCAAGAUGAAGAUAUGAAGAUAUCCUUCAAGUGCAGCGUUGCUCAUCAAUUGCUGCUGAAGUGCACUAGAUCAUGGAUUGUGUUUGAACAACAUUGCCCCCAAUAUGAUCUGAAGGUUCGCUCAUCGGUUUAUACUCAAGAAGGUUUUUCUUUAUCAUUGUCAGAUGUUAAAACUUUCCGGGACUUUGAUGACUCAUCAUCUGAUUCUUUCUUUGCCCCUAGCUGAUCAGGAUAUUGUUUGUUUUCCUUCUUCGGGUCCACUGUAUUGCCCCCAAGUGGUCAACCUUUCAAGGAGUUUUGAGAAGAGUUGAUGUCAUUUUUGUCAAGGACUUUGCAAACUCAAUUGAUGUUCUUGUUUGAAAAUCUUUCUUGUUCUGGAAUCAAAUCUCACAUUUCAACGAUCAUGUCUAUUCAAGUCUAAUUGUUGAAAUGAAAUCAGAGAGAUGUCUGUUUUUGAAAUUUUUUUUUUUUUUUUUUGAAAUUCAAACUUCUUUGGUCAAAGACCCAACACACUAUUCAAUGCAGUCCUUUGAUUGUCUUGUAUCUUGAAAACAGAAAUGAACCGUUGUAAGAUUUAAAAUGACUUUUUCAUGGUUCUUUGUGUCCACUUUAAACUCUGAUUUUGGGUAUAUCUUUUGAUGGUCUGUGCUGAGGUGACAUUUUUAUGAAUUUCAAAUGACUAGAUGCUCAGGCUUUAUCAAGAAAGGUUGUUUCUUUUCUUAGCAUUUAUUUUAUCAGCAUGCAUAAUAACCAGUAGCUUAAUUCAUGAAGUCACGACCCUUAUGGAAAAGCUCUUCAAGUUUUGAGAGCGCCAUUUUUCGAUUCAAAUUGCUUGCUUGAUUAAAAAGGGCUUUUAAAAGCACGUAAUGCAGGCUAUGGUUCAUGGCUAUGAAAGAAAAGAAUUGCAAAGGCUCAAAAGGUGUUUGAGGGUUUCAAACUUAGGAUCAACAUUAACUAUUCAUCGAUUCUCUUUCUCUUGUCGUCAUUGUAGAGAAAGUGACAUAUAACCUUGUUAAUCUUAAAUAUCAGACUUCUCUUAACAUAAGUCAUAAUGCAAAUCCACUUUUCCUUGAUGAAUAACCAACCUUAAUCAUCUGAUAACAUCGUAGGCUUUAUAAUGGAUCCCAAAAGUCAACGUUUAUAGCUUAGUCUUUUUUCUAGUAUUGACUUUUGUUGUGCCUCUCUUUGAUUGAAAUUUCUUUUGCUCUUCCUAGACUUGAUAGACGUUUUCCUUCCUUUACCUUUGACUUGUAUUUAAGUGAAGGCAAUUUCAACUUCUUCUUUUUUUCGUUUUUUUUUUUCAUUCUCUUUUUUCAUAGCCUUCCUCAAAAUUUUCUGAUAUGCCCCCAUGUCUAUGUGUUUUCUUUUACCUCUCUCUCAAUCAUUGGACCUUUGUUCUAAGCCUUCCCCUUUAUCCAUUAAUUAUAUCAAUGUCUCCAAAAUAUCUCUCAUUUGCCCCCAAUGUGGGGUGUGAUCCUAGUCAGGGUUUCUUUUUUUAAAAGAAAAUAUUUUACCAGGCUCAAAAUGGGACUGCAAGGGAUAUAAUCUUUAGAAAGUGAAGGGAUAUCAAAGAUGGCCUUUUCUCAUUUCAAACAAGGUCGGUUAGAACCGAUAAAUUUUGACCUCAACCAGUGUAAUGAUUGGGACUUGUAAGAAUCAUGAUUCACGAGUCCAUAACUACCGAAUCCACUACAUGUCAUUAUGCAUAUUGUUAAAACUUAGCUAUAUGAUGUGUGGUUCAGUUUCAGGAGGUAUGAGUUUAAAAUUGUUUAGUCACCUCAUGUCGUUUUCAAGCAUCGAGUCAUUUCUGUAAUCGAAACACUUUUAAUCUUCCGCAAUGAUUAACUUUUAUCGCAUGUUGGAGUUUGAUCAAAAUAUUUUGUCAGAAUAAAAUGUUGAACAUCUGUUGAUUUCAAAACAACAAAGAGACAAAAGCAAGGCAUGUUUCGUUGAAGGAUGAGAUGUGAUCCCAAAACAAAAUGCAGAAUUCCAUAACAAUAUGAUUGACUGUUCAUCACCAUUCUCGAAUCAGCUUUUCUGGCAAUAUCUGUGUUUAGCAAAGCAUUUUCGAUCACAUGUGAUUCUGAAGUUGUUCGGGGAACAAUAUAGCCAGUGACACCCUUCUUCAACGACUCCACCUGUCUCUUGCUCACCAACUUUCAGACUCCAUUCUUGCAAUUCUUGAAACUAUUCACUUGAAAUGGUUGAGGACCCCACCAUGACAUCACAUCUCUUAUCUGGAUUAUACCACUGAGAAAUUGGUGGUUGCAUGGGAAUUUGUCGGAGUCAAGCAAAAUUCUGGAAUCAUGCGGAUGCUGGUUGACAACUUAAACGGCAGAGGAAUGUCCCAUCUUGGCAAAGAUAUUUGGGCAAUUGAUGCUGUCGUGAGACCUGGCUAUACCACAUAAUUAAGGGUUCACAACGUCAAAGUCAUCUCCUGAUUCACCUCUCAUCAUUGUUCUAAGAAUUCAUGGCAGAUCCUUCAAUCUUUCCUCUCUUCAUAACUUGUUCAAUUUCGUCAGCAAUCCUCACAACAUCAUGUCAAUCUUCCAAUGUUGUUGUGGUUUGAGGAUUGUUGGAACCCUCUUAAACCCUCUUAAUUCUGGCAGCGCCCAAAAACAAAAGCGUGUGGAAUCACACAUUGUCAAAAUUGGAAGAGAACCCGAUGAAUCUACAACAUCUUCUAUUUCCUCUUUGAUUCUUCACUGAUGGUGCAGCAAACAACCACUUUUGUGUUUUAAUGCCGAUACUGGAAAAAGAAAAUUAUGGACAAUCUGAAACCAAUGCAUCCCUUCUUGGAUUUCCCAUUUGCAUAUCCCCAAACGGAUUCAUGUCGAGAGAUCUCUGCUACGUUGAAUUUGGAUGUCUGCUCAUGUUUUUUCAAACCAAGUCUGGCUCUUCAACCUGCUACAGUUUCUUCACGUUGAAAUCGAUGAGAGAAAUAUUUGUAGCAUAUGCAAUUAGUAAAUCCCCUCUUGCACUCUCACCUUGCAGCAUCAUCAACAGAUUUUUGUAGAGAGAGCUCUGCCACGUUGAAGUUUGACGACUACUCAUAUUUUCAGACCAGGCUUGACUCCUCUGUCUACUACAAAGUUUUGCUCGUGCCACAUGUAGAAAUUCAGUGUCUAAUCAUGGUUUUUCAGACCAACAUCUUGUGCUGCUGAAAUGGAAUUAAGCUCAUAAUAAGGGCAGCUUCCAAGAAGACUAAUGCAUCAUGUACAGGAGACCGGUUGUUUUUUGGUUCCAUUAGAUGAUGUGGAGGCGAUGAACAUUUAACAAUGCAACUGGAUAAGAACCAGAGUUGUCAUUAGUUGAUGACUGAAGGCGUUGUUGCUUUUGUUCAUGACGAAAAAGGAGAGAUACAGCUUCAAUUAGAUGUGAAGCAGUGUUCCCACAGAAGACUGUGCAGAUAUUCUCUUUCCAUUUGAUGCUCAACACUUGUUCGAGCAGAUCUGAGUCUAACUACUUCACAUUUAAUGCUCUCAACCUUAAUCUGAUAAUGAGCCUCUAUCUGACAUCUUUCUUCACCUCCAUCAUUUUUUCUCCAAUCACGUGCAGCACAACUUGUGUGGGGGACCUACCUUUCAACCCGGUACAUGCAUGAUAAAUGUAUGAACAUGUAAUCUAUAUGAUAAACUCACCCUUCGAGGGGUGACAAUAUGGUCGUAACUCUUGUAUGAUGGACAAGAAUCGUGAUUUUUGCCCAAACUCUACAAUGAAAAUUUUCGGAGCAACGGCCAAUGUGUCACCCACAAGUCUUGAGUUCAAGAUGCUUCAAGAAGGGUUUGCCCUUAAAAAACGAUAGCACAUACAACCUAAGGACAAGUUCUAUUCAUUAUGUGAACAUGGGUAGGUUUUCUAUCUGGUCUCAAAAGGGUCUCAUAUCUGCCCAGUGACAUUCUUCGUAAAGACAGUAUGGGGGCGUUGCAAAGAAUGGUUAAGGCACGUAUACCCCCCAUUACCAAGCAGGCACUCAGAUAUAAGUUGGGUGUUUCACGCAUCUGAACCCUGACCAAUAGUCUUAGGGCAGAUCGCUAGUUCCCCACCUAACCUAGAAACUUGUGUGUGCUUUUAAAAAUAAAUACAGGUGAUGCAUGAGACAAUUCUAUAAAAUGCAUGGAAAUAAAUAUUAACAAAAAGAUAAAAAUGCAAAAACUUAAACACAUCAAAUACACAAAGCUUAGUCCAAUAAUCGAAAAAAUACCUUCCGCAGUGGAGUCGCCAUUCUGUCGCACCCCAAAAAAAUCAGCGCGCGACAUCUGCUGGCGAUUUUUAUCGUUGUCGUGUUGUGUUUGAAUUUGGUUCGUUGGAGUCGCCACCUAGUAAUUGAUUUCGGGUUACUAGGAAACCGGAUGUACUGGUCUUGUCAGAGAUUCGCGGGUAAGGGACUGGUUGUGGUUAGGGAAGGUAUUAGCACCCCUAACGCACCCUACCUGAGGUAAGCUGCUUCGUGGCUUUGACGUGUUAAAGAAGUUUUAAUAAUUGUCUUUUCAUCAGAAAUUAGAAAUAUCACUUACGUAUAAGUUAAUAAUUCUUAACCGUGAUCCGAUCAAAAUAUUAAAUUCUUCUUUAAUAUAUUUGCAAUUUUAUCCUAAAAUAUAUAUAUAUAUAUAUAUAUAUAUACAAAUAAAUAAAACAAAAUACAAACACACCCAUUCACUAUUUUCAUUUCUUUUAUUUUUCUUUUCUUUUUUCUUUUCUUUUACAUCCACAAUACAAAUACAAAUACAAAUACAAAUUCAAAUUCAAAUUCAAAAUAAAUAAAUAAAAAUACACCAACACACACAUCCCCUUUUUUAUUAUUAUUUUUUUUUCUUUUCUUCUUUUUUUUUUCUUUUACAUUCACAUAUUACAAAUUUAAAAUAAAUAAACAAAAAUUACAUUAAAACUUUAAAAUUUACAAAAUGGUCCCUCAAAACUCCCGAAAUUGCAGGGAAGGACUUCUGCACCCGAAUGAACAGUUCUGGCGCGUCUUCCCACGUGCCACCGCCACUGGGAAGGACUUUGUGGGUUCACGCGCCGCCCAGAAAUUCAGGCGGCGUGAGGGGGCUGCAAUGGCUUCCUCCCCUCUUCAAUCUCUUGUUGUCUGUCACCUGCAAAUCCAAAAAAAAAAAAAAAACACAGCAAGGGCAGUCGAUUUUAAGUUUUUUUCUUAGUUUUUCAAAUCUGUUUUUUUUGUUCUUUCUUUUCAGAUCUGCAGUUCAUCCCUUCUCCUUCUUCGGAUCUGCUUCUCCUUCUCUUCGUCUCGGUUUCGGAUGGCCGGAGGUUGUAGGGGGAGCUGUGAGCGGUCAGUUGAAGAAGGAGCCCGGUGGCGGUCUGUGGAGAUAUGGUCGUGGCUGAGGAGAGACGGCCUGGUGCGCGGCUGUCCGAGUGAGAGAGAUUCUGGUGAGGGGCUGUAGGUGCUGUGUGGAGAAUGGCCGACCGAUCUACGACUGAUGGCGCCGUUGUGGUGGGCGGAGCUGCUGUGGUGGACGGCGCUGCUGGCUCCUACGGAUGAAGAAGAAAGGCAAGCCGGCUUGGAGAAGGAGUGGCCAAGAGUGGGGAGGGGAUGAUGGCUUUGAAAUGGCCGAGAAGAAGGGAAAAUCUGGUGAUGGGGGUGGCGGCCGGUUCUGGUUAGAGAGGGCAGAUUUGUGGCUGUUCGUUGGGGAGAAGAGAAACAAAAAAUGGCCUGGGGUGAGGCUUGUCCGGCGGCUGAGGGGAAGAAGAAAUUCAAACCGGCUGGGGGCUGCUGUUUAGCCGGUUCUGGGAGAAGAAAAAUUCAAAAAAAAAAAAAGGUGAGGGGCUGGCUUUUUGGUUGAGCGGCUGCAGGGAGAAGAGAAAAAAUCAAAAGGUGGGGGGGCGGCGGCUGCCUUCAUAAGGGGAGAAAAAAUUAGGCUCCUAGGGUUUUCUUUUUUUUGUAUCUUUUUUUGAUAUUUCAAAAUUGCCCCCCCCCCUUUAAAAAUCAGUUUAGCAUGGUAUUUAUAGGCAAAAAUAUUGCUAGGUUUUUCGACUUGGUCCCUCAACUUCUUUCUUUUUGUAAAUUUUGAUUUUUCUUAUUUUUUUGUAUUUUUUUGAAAACGAGCAAUAUCAACGUCGACUCAAAUGCGGAAAAUCAAUGAUUUUUAAAAAUGACGCGUGAAAAGUCGAAUGCGUUUGAAAAUAUUUUAACAAUUUAAAUUCUUUUUUAGACGACGUUGAAAAUGCUAAAAUGACGAAAAUAUAUUCAAAACACAUUUUUUGGAUUUUCUUUGUUUUUCUCAAUUUUUUGGAUUUUUAAAAAUAUAUCAAAACAUGGGUCAAAAAUUGGGUAGCAACAAUUUUAACAAACUUGUAAAUUAAGUUAAUUUUAUAUAAAAAAAAAAGAAUAAAAAUUAAUAAAUUAAAGCUGAAUUAUAACCAGCCUAUAAUAAAAUAAACAAAAACAAAAUUUUAAAAACAAAACAAAAAAGGCAAAACACCUUGAAUUACAUACUAUUGUAAUUUACAAUGAAAUAGGUGUGGAUAUAUAGUGAUUCUCCCAAGUCUCUUAGCUUUUCUUUUAAUGAAAAUUAAUAACUGUAUAAUAUACUUGUUGCAACUAAGUCAUUUAAUAAAUGUCCUAGUCUUUAGGAUUAAGAGAUAAGAUUUGAUUUAUUCCUUGUUUACUAAACCACGUUUGUAGGAGUGCUAAACGUGGGUUGCAUAUUUUUCUAUUUUCUGUUGUAAUAGUUGAUAUAUAUAUCAGCUCUAUUUCAUUGAAUAAACGUACUUUCCAUUCUCUCCAUAGUGGUAUCAGAGCACGUUACCAUCAGGGCCUGAUUGAGAAAUAUAAGAACCUGCAGUGUUCUUGUGAAGAGAGAGUGCAGAGAAGGAACAAAGUGAGAGUAGGAUGGCAUCCGAAGGAAAUUUUGUUCAACCAGCUAUUCCCAGGUUUGAUGGUCACUAUGAUCAUUGGGCCAUGCUGAUGGAAAAUUUCCUACGAUCCAAAGAGUAUUGGAGUUUGAUUGAGGCAGGAAUUCCAACAGUUGGAACUGGAACAGAACAGACGGAGGCACAACAAAAGACUGUUGAAGACAUGAGGCUGAAAGAUUUGAAGGUAAAAAAAUAUCUCUUUCAAGCCAUUAUGGAGACAAUCUUGAAUAGAGAUUCAGCAAAAGGAAUAUGGGAUUCCAUGCAUCAAAAGUAUCAAGGAUCUACUAAGGUGAAACGGGCUCAACUACAAGCAUUACAGAGAGAAUUUGAGCUUCUUGGAAUGAAAGCAGGAGAGAGUGUUGAUGACUAUUUCUGUAGAACUCUUACCAUUGCCAACAAGAUGAAAUCUCAAGGUGAAUGCAUGGAACAAACUGUUAUCAUUGAGAAGGUUCUACGAUCCAUGACAACAAAGUUUGAUUAUGUCGUGUGCUCCAUCGAAGAAUCAAAUAAUCUUGUUAUCAUGACCAUUGAUGAACUUCAAAGCAGUUUGCUUGUGCACGAGCAAAGAAUGAAGGGCCACAAAGAGGAAAAGCAAGCUCUAAAAGUUACUGGUGGGGAGAGGUUUGAAGCAAGGGAGGAUGAUAGAAUUGGGAGCAGAAACAAAAGUCGUGGAGGAUUCAGAAGCAGAGGCAGAGGUCGAGGAAGGCAAUCUUUCAACAAAGCUCUCAUUGAGUGCUAUCGUUGUCAUAAACUACGACAUUUUUCUUAUGAAUUUCCUAGUUGGGAAAAGGCAGCAAAUUAUGUGGAACUAGAAGAAGAAGAUGAUAUGUUGCUCAUGUCAUACGUGGAACCUAACAAUUCCACCAAAGAAGAGGUAUGGUUUUUAGACUCCGGUUGUAGCAGUCAUAUGAGUGGGAACAAACUGUGGUUUACACAGUUAGAUGAAGGGUUCAGACACUCAGUUAAGCUAGGCAACAAUUCUAAAAUGGCAGUGAUGGGAAAGGGAUGUGUGAAGCUUAACAUAGCUGGAGUGAUGCAAAAGAUUGAUGGGGUUUACUAUAUCCCUGAAUUAAAAAACAAUUUGUUAAGUAUGGGUCAACUACAGGAGAAAGGCUUAUCUAUACUUAUUCAAAACAAUACGUGCAAAUUGUUCCAUCCAACUAAAGGUCUCAUCAUGGAUACAACCAUGACUUCUAACAGAAUGUUUGUCAUAGGUGCAGUAAUGCCUUCAAAGGAACCUGUGGCUUUCUUUCAAGCUACUGAGACAGAAAAAACACAACUAUGGCACAACAGGUUUGCUCAUCUUAAUUUCAAAGGUUUAAGAACAUUGCAUUCCAAGAAGAUGGUUGAAGGGUUGCCAUUACUUUCAGCUCCAAUGAAAGUGUGUAUUGAUUGUUUAGCGGGAAAACAACACAGGAACAACAUUCUACAGAAAAGCUACUGGAGAGCAACAUGCAAACUGCAACUUGUGCAUUCUGAUAUUUAUGGACCUGUAACUCUAGAAUCCAACAGUGGAAAAAGGUACCUUAUCACUUUCAUCGAUGAUUUUAGUAGAAAGUGUUGGGUUUAUUUCAUUUCAGCAAAGUCAAAAGCUUUUACUAUGUUCAAAAAAUUCAAAAGCUUAGCAGAAAAGGAGGCUGGUUCAUUAAUGGGGUGCUUAAGAACCGACAGAGGUAGGGAAUUUACGUCUAAAGAAUUCAAUGAGUAUUGUCUUUUCAAUGGGAUCAAAAGACAACUAACUGCAGCAUACACGCCUCAGCAAAAUGGUGUUGCUGAGAGGAAGAACCGGGCAAUCAUGAAUCUAGUUAGAAGCAUGGUGUUAGAAAAACAUAUUCCUGGAGAGUUUUGGCCAGAGGCAGUGAACUGGUGUGUACAUGUACUAAACAAGAGCCCUACUUUGGCAGUCAAAGAUCUCACACCUGAAGAAGCAUGGAGUUGUGUUAAACCUUAAGUGGCAUACUUUCGUGUAUUCGGUUGUAUUGGUCACAUUCAUAUUCCAAAUGUGAAAAGAACAAAGCAAGAUUCAAGGAGUUCAAAGUGUGUAUUACUGGGAGUAAGUGAAGAAACAAAAGGCUACAGAAUGUAUAAUCCAAUCACAAAGAAAAUUGUGAUUAGCCGUGAUGUGAUCUUUGAAGAAAACGAAGUUUGGGACUGGACAGAAGGUGAUAUCAAUGUAUUGCUGAAAUGGGGAGAUGCUGAGAUCGAUGUAGCUGAAGAAUUUGAUGCUGAAAUUGAAGAGCAGGAUCAAGAGUAGUUUGGAGAGCAAGAACAAGAGCAGCAUGAAGUAAAUAAUUCUUCAGUUGGAGUAAUUAGUUCUUCUUCAUCAAAUUCAUCUUCAAUAAACUCAACUAAAGAAAAUGAGCCUAAUCAACCUGCUGCUGCUGAACACAAUCCUCUUGCUGAUGCUAAUCAACCUGCUGCCAGAAUUCGAAGACCACCAUACUGGAUGUAGGAUUAUGUCACAGGUACCACUGCUGCUCAUCAACCUGCUGAACACAAUCAACCUGCUGCUAAUGUCAUAGGUACCACUACUACUAAUCAACCUGCCAAACCCAAUCAACCUGCUGCUGCUGAUCAACCUGCUGCUGAUCAACCUGCUGCAAGAAUUCGAAGAACACCAUACUGGAUGCAGGAUUAUGACACAGGUGUAAAUUUUUCUGAAGAAGAAGAAACUCAAAACAUGGUAUUUUAUACCACUGCUGGAGAUCCAUACACCUAUGAAGAAGCCUCAAAAAGUCAUAAAUGGAGGAGCCAUGGAUACUGAAAUUUCAGCAAUAAAGAGGAAUGGUACAUGGGACUUAACUGUGCUUCCGAAGCAUGCAAGGAAGAUUGGUGUAAAAUGGAUUUACAAGACAAAGCUCAAUGAAAAGGGGGAAGUGGACAAAUACAAAGCAAGACUUGUAGCAAAGGGGUAUGCACAACAACAUGGAAUUGACUACACUGAAGUGUUUGCACCAGUAGCACUAUGGGAUACAAUCCGAAUGGUUCUCGCCAUAGCAGCACAGAGAGAUUGGACAGUGUAUCAGCUGGAUGUAAAGAGUGCAUUCCUCUAUGGAGAAUUAGAUGAAGAUGUGUAUGUAGAGCAACCCCUAGGCUAUGAGAAGAAGGGAGAGGAAUUCAAAGUUUACAAAUUAAAGAAAGCAUUAUACGGAUUGAAGCAGGCACCGAGAGCCUGGUUUAGUAGAAUUGAAUCAUAUUUUCUGAAGGAAGGGUUUGUUCGAUGUCCAAGUGAGCAUACUCUAUUUGUAAAAACUCAUCAAGAAUGUCAAGGAGAAGGAAAGAUUCUGGUGGUAAGCUUGUAUGUGGAUGAUCUGGUAUUCACUGGAAAUGACGAGGAAAUGUUUGCAGAUUUUAAAGCUUCAAUGCAACGGGAAUUUGCUAUGACAGAUUUAGGUAAAAUGAAGUUCUUUCUUGGAGUAGAAGUUGUGCAAAACGAUGAAGGAAUUUUCUUGAGUCAAAAGAAAUAUGCAUUGGAGAUCUUGGAGAGGUUUGGCUUGGAGAAUGCAAAUUCUGUUCGUAAUCCAAUAGUACCAGGUGUUAAACUGAUGAAGAAUGAAGAUGAACAACAGGUGCAUAUGAUUCAAUAUAAAUAGAUGGUCAAUAGCCUUAUGUAUCUAUCAGUCACAAGGCCAGACCUUAUGUUUGUAGUGAGUUUAGUGAGUAGAUAUAUGGAGCGACCAACAAAUAUACACAUGCAGGCUAUCAAAAGAAUUUUGAGGUAUGUAAAGGGCACAGUGGACUUGGGAAUUUGCUACAAACGGGGAGCUGCAACUAAUGAAAUGUUGGUGGCCUUUUCUGAUAGUGACUAUGCCGGCGAUCAAGAUGAUCGAAGGAGCACUUCUGGAUAUGUGUUUAUAUUCAGUGGGGGAGCAGUUGCAUGGAGUUCUAAGAAACAGCCAGUGGUUUCUCUUUCAACAACUGAGACAUAAUUCAUAUCUGCAGCUCAUUGUGCUUGCCAGGUAGUGUGGAUGAGAAGAGUGCUUGAAAGAUUGAAUUGCAAACAAGUUACACCUACUGUCAUUUACUGUGAUAACAUGUCUAUAAUUAAACUAGCAAAAAAUCCAGUUAUGCAUGACAGAAGUAAGCAUAUAGAUGUCAGGUUUCACUUUCUGCGUGAGCUGUGCAAAGAAGGUGUUAUUGAGUUGAAGCACUGCAAUACAAGAGAUCAAGUUGCUGACAUCAUGACAAAAGCAUUGAAGAUGGAUACAUUUGAGAAGCUGAGAAAUUUGAUGGGCAUAUGUGUGGUCUGAAAUGAAUAAACCGUUACUUUUAUUACUGCUGCUAAACUGCUUGCUGGAAAACAAUGCAGUUUAAGGGAGGAUUUGUUGCAACUAAGUCAGUUAAUAAAUGUCCUAGUCUUUAGGAUUAAGAGAUAAGAUUUGAUUUAUUCCUUGUUUACUAAACCAUGUUUGUAGGAGUGCUAAACGUGGGUUGCAUAUUUUUCUAUUUUCUGUUGUAAUAGCUGAUAUAUAUAUAUCAGCUUUGUUUCAUUGAAUAAACGUACUUUCCAUUCUCUUCAUUUGUGUGUUUAAAGGAUUCUGACUUCAACAAUACUUUCUUGUGGAUGCUCUAUCGUUGCUAAAUUAAAACAUCUUUUUUUUUUUAUCUACAUCUAUGUGAAACUUUUUUAAAAUAAAAAUAUUUAAAAAGAUAAUGUUAAUAAAAAACAUUGUUAUUUUAGUUUUUUUUCUUUUAAUAAAUACCAUCAUAAUAUGAUGUGGUUUUGUUUUUUACUCAGGUUAUUCAGUUAAUAUGUGAGUCAACUAGUAAACUAAACUUUGGAAUACUUUUCGUAAGCUUCCUAUUUAUUCUUAGUAAUCGAAAUAUUUUUGUAUUUUUAAUAUUAAUAUAUUAAAAAAUAUUUAUUUAAUAUUUAUUUUAAAAUAACCAGAUUUUUUAAUAAACAUAAUUCUGAUUACAAAAACAAAUCAUGUUUAGAUUGCGGGCAUAAGCAUAACAAUCUUGACAGUACCGUUGUUGUUUGGACUUUGAGAAUGAUAAAACAAAAGAGUUAGAAUAAAUUUAAAAUAAAAAAAUUAAUUUUUAAAAAAUAUUUUUAAAAUACAAAAACAAACUAAUAAUAAAAUAGAUUUUUAUACACUUGUAAAAAUCCCAGGAACGCAACAAUCAGGCAUUAGCUUCAAGCAACCAGAGGGAGCUUCACUGCAGUAGAAAACUUCAACAUAGCUUGAUUUGCUAUCCAAUCUGCACACCAGUUGGAUAGCAAUUUCUUUUCAUAACAUUUACCUUUGUAAAAACUUUCUACUUAUUUUUAGUUUUAAUAUCAAAUUCAGUCUUGAAUAUUGAACAUUCAAAAAUUCACUUAUUUUUAAUCAAUUAAAUUGAACAAAAUCUUGUUAAGUCAAACAUCAACUCUACAUUGAAUUGUUUUUUCUUCUUAGACCACAAGAGCUCCAUAACAAGUUUAUUGAAAUAAAUUAUCAAAUGAAAUUUUAAAAAAAUGCUUUAUAAAAAAAAAAAAACAGAGAGACAUCUACCUUGUUUUCUCUAUUGGUACAUGGUAAGAGUCUGAGCAUAUUUAUUUAUUUUUAUUUUUAUUUUUAUUUUAAUAAUAGUCCUGUUUUUUCUACCGUCAAGAAAUCAAGAACGAUUCUAAAGUCUAUAUUUAGAUAAUUUCGGUUGAUUGAAGCCACCAGGUUGAUUGAAGCCACCAGGUUGAUUGAAGCCACCAUGUUGUGAAGUGGUUGUGUUCGGUGUCAUAUAGCCAUGUCCCGGCUGAGGUUGAUGAAUAAAGGAAUUAUGAUGCCUUGAUGGAGUUUGAGGCCAAUUUUAUAUAAAACUUAAUGAUAAAAAAAUAUCAUAAAAAAUGUCUAAAUCUCCCAAUUGUUGUCUGUUUGUUUAACAGUAAACAAUUUGAAGAUGCUCGAGAUCGAUACACUAAACAUAAAACUUUUUGUAUAAUACAAACACUUGCUAAUUCAUUGGACAUUGUAGCGAAUUGGAGCACUCACCAUUGUUUCAGGAAAGGACGUUGGAAACGGAGUUGUUUGUUGAAUACUAUUGUUGAUCACAUUGUUCUGUCCACCUUGAUCAUUGCAUGAUAUGGAGCUUUGGUUGACUGGAACCUCCGGUGGCGGCCAGCUUCCAUGGACAGUGACGACAUUAUAUUGUUUUUUGCGAGUAAUAGGAUAAACUGAAGAAUAACUAAACUGCAAGCAAUCGUCUUCUGAUAAAAUAUGCUUAAGAAUGACGUACGAGUGAAACUCAAGCUCAGACAGUAGUGAUUCAAAGUUGUCAACCUCCUCCAUAAAAGAUGGUUGGAACCCUUCCAUCUGACCAGAAAAGAUCAGAAAUUAAAGACAAAAAACUGAGGUCUAAAAAGAACAGAAAGCACUAAUCAGAAAAGAAUAUAUAUAUAUAUAUAUAUAUAUAUAUAUAUAUGACUUUCUUGUUGGUUAAAGAAAUUCGGAUGAAAAAUAUGAAAUAUAAAUGUUGUUGUUAAUGAUUUAAUCCUUUGUCUUGUAAGAUAAAUUAUCAUACUCAAAUUCAGUAUUGAUUUAGUAUGAACUCUCUCCACAAGGCAUGGAUUAUAAAAUCCGAGAAAAAGAUCAAUUUAUUUAUCAUGGAUUCCUUUCAAGAUUCAAACCAUACUUACAUAAUAAUUUACCAACAAGAUUCAAGUGCUGGUUUGCUUGAGCAGUGAUCAGCCAAAAGAAAAGGAAGAGAAAUCACAGAUCACAGAAGAAUAUAUGGUUUAGAAAAAUAAUAAAGUUGCAGCAUACAUAAAUCUAGUUCGCUCUGAUCAUGAGAUGUGGAAAGGAAAAUAGGGAAUUCUAUAAUGAGAUGAGAUGUGGAAGAGAAUGUUACAGCAGCAAUAAUAAUACUAUUUUUUAGAAAAGUCAGCUCAAUAAUAAUAAUUAAUUAACGUAUUGCUUGAUAGGAAGGAAGUUACCAGGAAGCAACCCAAACAUUACAUUAUAAGAUAUAGAAAGUUAACGUGUGGACCAUGUUCAGACUUCGAAGAACCUGCCAAGAAAAUGUAAACACAUGAAAAUGAGAAAGAAGCAUGCCCCAUCUCGUGAAGUUCUACGUGUACGUAUUUAACUUUACAAUAUUCUUUGCUGUGAAAAUAUAUCAUAUAUAGUAAAUAAUAUAAGUGCUUAUACAUCUUCUUUUCUUUUCUUUUUUUAACUUUAAACAGAGAGGUGGCUGCCCCAAUACAUUCAGCCUGCCGACUCUUAUUUUUUUGGGAGUAUUAAUUCCGUGAUGGAAUUGGAGGUACUGCUUUCUUCAUCUGUUAUUCCUGUUAUCUCCUCCAUUAUCUCACAAUCACUAGCAUCAAUCAUUUUCAGGUUUACGAGGUUUGACAGCAACACAAGUGGGAACAGCUUCUUCAUACUCUUACAUCCAUAACAAUAAAACUUUUUAAGACCAGAAAACAUACCAUUAUAUGAUGGCAAUGGUGAGAUGGAGCAUUGCAGAACCAAGAAGAUGAAACCAAGCUCUACAUGCUAUUGCAAUCCCAAAUGUUGAUGUCCUCUAGUUCAGUUGCAUUCUCUAAUGACAAAACAUCACAUAAACUUCUUGGAUCGAUGCAUUCACAAACCAGUUCUUGAAUGCCAUUUAAGUACUUGACUUGAAAAUCUCUCUAUGUUGAUACUCAAAUGACCCAACGCAACUAUUUUACUUAAAAAAACUCAAUCCUACCUAAUUUAUUUAAAAAAAAAUUAGGAAAAUUAAGAUUUUUUUUUUUAAUGAUAUGCCAUCUAUCUGCACUCCCUGCUAACUCUUCGCUUCAUAUCUUAAGUUAUAUCUAUCAAGUUAGAUUUAUCAAGUUUGCUUAAUUAAGACGGAAUAUUUAUGACUUUUACAUGUAUUAAGUUAAUAUAAUUGUACAUGGCAUGCACUUUAAAGCUCCGAACAUCAGUCAAUGAUUUAAUAGAGAAUAAAAUUUAAUUUUAAAUGCAAAUUAUAGGAUUUGUUGGUGCUGGUUUUAUUAAAUCAAUAUUAUAGUAAAACAAUUAAAUCAAUACAGAUAAAUAAAUGAUCCAAAUAUAAUAAAGAAUUAAUCCAUUUAAUAGAGAAAACAUGACUGAAUCCACAAACUACAUAAAUCCCUUUUUCUUUCUUCCCCCUUUUAUUCUCUAGUGCAACUCCCACGCGUCUUCUUUAUGCCAAAUGCCCCUCUUUUCAAAUUAGGCAUCUUCAACCUCCUUUUUCAUCACUCUCCAUGAUCUGUCAAAAACAAAUUGCUUAGAUUUUAGGAUUUUUUUUUGGCAGCCACGUACAUGCUUUAGGAGUUCCUUUUUUGAAAUCCUCACUAGAGGCUAAUAUCUAGCCCUUCAAGAUACCUUUACAACGCGUCAAGAAUCACAGCAAUCCUGUGAGUGGAAAGUUAUGAUUAAAAAAAAACUAAAAGGGAUCAGACAAUCACUGUAGAUUGUGUCUAAAAUCACUAUGGAUUGCACUGUUUACAUUUAAAAUUCAUUGUCGCCGCAAGUGCCAAUUUUGUUUCACUGUUUUUUCAUUUAUUUCGUGGGGCACGUGGAAAGCUUUUCAUCUCUUUGUUUUUUCUGAUACAAACACAGAGAACGCCUCCCAAACUCAAAUAACACAUUCACAAUUCCAGAUCUAUCUCUUCCCUGAUCUGUUUUAGUUUUUUUUUAAUUAAAAAAAAAUGCUAAAAGGGCUUAAGGAAACAUUGUGCCCACUGUGUGUAAUUACUGUGGGCUGGAGCUUAGUGUCUUCUCGCGCUAAGUUGGAAUUCAUGGAGGGAAGAUCGUCUUGGUUUCACUCCAAGAUCUCAGUUUGCAUUUGAGUUCUCAUCAGGAGGUCUGGGCGGAGCUUGCGUUUCGUUCACUCAGAAAGAAUGGGAUCCGGAUCUGUAAGUGAUUUUCUUCCUUGCUUUUGUUUGGAUGUGAGGUUUUCGGUGGGUUAAUUGGAAGCAAUGCUUGGCAGCUGGGAGCAGUGAAGUCAAGGUGGGAAGAAAGGUAUUAAGGUGUGGGUGUAGUCAGGUGGACACAUGAUAAGGUGUGAGCAUAGCUUUCAUUAGCUCUCCAUUUGAUGGAGUCCUACUAUUGAUUGAUUAUCUGAUUGAUGGUCGAGAUAUGGACAUAUUGUUUGUUCUGCUAAGAUCAAGAGAUCUAGAAAACAAUAGGCUUCGUUCGUUAAAGCGCGGGGCUCCUGGCUAACAAACGCCCACUAAAUGUCAUUUUGAUUACCAAGCGCGUGUAACUGGUAAUAUACUGGAUUUAUUCGUGAAUGACAUAUUGUAUUUUAAAUUGUUACUGAAAUAUAUUAAAAUAAUUUUAUUUUUUAAAAUUUAUUUUUAAUAUCAUCUUAAAAUAAUCAAAUGAUAUAAAAAAAAUAUAUAAUUUUUUUAAAAAAAAAACACAGUUAAAUCGCAUGCAUGACCAUUAUAGCAUGACAUCUUGCCAUUAUUAUUAUAGAAAAUUAUUAUAACAAAAUCUAAAAGGCAUGUGGGAUUUAUUUUGCAAAUCACAUUGUGUAUUAUCUAUUCAUAUGUAUUAGUUAUUUACGAUGUUUUUUAUUCCAAGGCUUUUUUAAAAACAAUUUGCCCUUUUUAGACUAAAUAGAAUGCCAGUUUAAAUAAAACCAUCAAGGUAGUAUAAAAUUAAAAAAAAAAGUGAAAAAAAAGAAGAAGAAAUUAGAUGGAGGAUUUGAAGUUUGCGGAAAAAAUAAAUUGGUUCUUUUUACUGUUUCAAUUAAGCAUUUUUUAUUAUAUCUUUAUGUUUUUUUUUUAGCAGGUUACAGGUAAAACUUUUUAUCGCUUUGUUUUUUCUGGUACAAACACAGAGAACGCCUCCCAAACAAAUCAAAUAACAUAUUCACAAUUCCAGAUCUAUCUCUUCCCUGAUCUGUUUUAAUUUUUUUUUAAUUAAAAAAAAUGCUAAAAGGGCUUAAGGAAACAUUGUGCCCACUGUGUGUAAUUACUAUGGGCUGGAGCUUAGUGUUUUCUCGCACUAAGUUGGAAUUCAUGGAGGGAAGAUCGUCUUGGUUUCACUUCAAGAUCUCAGUUUGCAUUUGAGUUCUCAUCAGGAGGUCUGGGCGGAGCUUGCGUUUCGUUCACUAAAAAAGAAUGGAAUCCAAAUCCGUAAGUUAUUUUCUUCCUUACCUUAUAGCGCUUUGUCUGAUGGGGAAUUUUAGCUCCUCCUUUUUCUUGCUUCUUGGGUCCUCACGGGCAGAUUUUAUAAUUGCAUAAUAUAGAUCCCAAAAGGAAAGACCAGGAAAUGAAGAGUGAACGACGACUUGGAUUUCAUGAUGGCUUAGGCUAAAAGGUAGAGGGACUUUAUUUUGCAGAGACGUCGCCGCCACCAUAAAAUAUGGCUUGAUUUUAGGAGUCCUUUCUUCUGGGUUGUGUGUGUUCUCAGUAUGCUACAUUAAAUGCAACGCCCACUUGGUUAGAUUUGAUUGAGAGAGCAGGUGAGUUUAUUUGUGAUUAGUAAUUUGGUCAGAUUUUGUAUAUUAUUGCAGUGAUUGACUGACCAGUUUUGGUUUUUUUUUAAAUUAAUUUAAUUUUUAGUUUGCUUUUUUGCAAAAUAUCACUUGACAAUGAAGCUUUGUUUGUUAGGUGGCUUGGCAUGGAUUAAAAGUCUUUUUGUGGUUCUUAUUUAUAUGUCUGCUUGCAUUUCUCUAUGCUGGUAUGUUUUUUUUCCAAGAAUUAAGGUGUUGACAUGCAUUUGGAUGUCUCAGUUGAGAUGGUUGAGAGUGUGUUGGUUCAGCAUGCUGAUGAAAGGAGAAGAAAGGUAUGGUUUUAAGCUGUUUCAGCUGACAGGCAUUUAAUGCAUGUCAAGGUUGGCAUGUUGCUGCCAUUGUGAUGUGCAGUGUUUUUCUUGAGUGGGAAAUGUGGAGACAAAGUGAGGGGGUUGAUUUGUUAGUUUGAUUCUGACUUGGGUAGGUGAUGGGUUGUCCUAUUGGAAUAUUUUUUAAGAAAUCUAUUUCAUAUCUGGUUAUUUUUUCUUGAGCGGGAAAUGUGGAGACAAGGUGGAGGGGCUGAUUUGUUAGUUUAGUUCUGACUUGGGUAGGUGGUGGGUUGUCCUGUUGGAAUAUUUUUUAAGGACUCUAUUUCAUAUCUGGUCAGAUUAGUAACCUUCCUUUUUCAUCAUCGGAUUUUAAGAAAAGCAUAGAACACUGACAAAAAAAUUACAAUUCCAAAAGGGGAUGAAGUUAGAGAUUGAGUAUUUGUGUAUAUUUCUACAACAAAUGUUAGUAAAGAAUAGAUGAUACAGCUGGUUUUGACUUUAGAAGGUCUUCUGCUACUAUAGACAUUGUGUUUUGCAACAAUUACACUAGACACGCAGACAGUGGGCUCCCCUUCUUGGCAGGAUGAACCGGGUACCAUGUUCUGAUAGCAGGAUCACAACCCGUGUUAUACUAUGACAAAGGUUAGUUUUUUAAGAUUAUUCUAUGCUUUUUCUCAACUUUAGUUUCAAAUCAAUUUGGGUUGCAAGUUAUGAACUUUGUGCUGAGAGGUUUGCUUAGACAUGUCAAUGCUUUUUUCCAACUUUUUCCUUUCAUGUGAAAGCCAGAUCUCUUCAUUGUUUCUUAACUGUAUUUUUAAGAUUUUGCUCCUUUUAGUUGUCUUUAAUUUUUUUUUGUUUUGUUGAGUGAUUAUUUGUAGCAUUGUUUGUUGCCUUUUUUGUUAUUAGUAAUAUACCAAUUCUUAUGCCCAAGUAAUAUUUGACUAUAAACAUUCAGCAAAUCAAAUUUAAUAGCAUUAGCCCACAAGGACACUCCAAGCACAAAAUUACCUUAGCCAAAACAGCAAAAGACAACUGGAAUAGACCAUUUUGAAGCACGAACUGAUCUUUCGGCCAAAAACUUAUUGCGUCUGGAUUUUAAUUCCUCUGCUUCUAGAUUUUCAGAUUCAUUAGCAAGUAAGGAAAAUACAGAAUCAGUGGCAGGGGCAGUCUUCGGCAUUGAUGAAGUGCGUGCUUAACUUCUAUGAAUCUUUUUUCAAUGGAUAAAUGAAGUCCAGGUAGAUUAACUGGUGUUGUUCUCUCUCCUGCACUUUGCCUUCCAGAACAGUUUGUGUUUGGCUAAAAGCAGAUAACUAUGCACAAUUUGAUUUCUAUGGCUUAGACAAUUCAGGAAAACGAAAGACAUGGUUUUGUAACACUAUGUUAUUUGCAAUCUAUAUUUGGGCUAGAAAAAACAGAGCCUAAUCUUCUAGAACAUUUAACACUGUUUGGCCAUGGAAGCCUACAGAGUUUGACAAUUGUGCUGCACGCUUUAGGGAAUUAAAAAAAAAGCAGCAGAAUGGAAAGACCAUGGAAUUUUCAUAGUGUUAGCAAAAAACCUCUGUAUAUCUUCACUACCUCUUUUUUUUAAACGCCUUUUCAUAACCUGGACUAGAAGUCUAGCACAUAAAAAAAGAUUUUCAAUCAACAACACAAGAGAUUUAGGGUAAGUGUUUUUUGUUCCAUCUUGCUUUAAUGAGAUUCUAUCAUCUACUGUCCAAUACCCGCACGGCCAGCCAGCCUGACUCAUCAUAGUUCAUUCAUUCAUAUAUGAUUAAUUAUGUAUGGGGCCAGUAUUAUUUAAUUUCUUCUUUAUUUUCUCAUCACAGCUCUGCGUUUUCUUCUCUAUACCCAUUUUGAUUUACAAAUAUUUCAAAGGGAAUUUUUUAUUUGUCUCACAAAUUGAAACUGUUCUUGCGUUCUGGCAAGAUUUCCCUUGAAAGAUAUGGAUCAAGGCUCCUGAAAAUGUCUUAUAGCAUUGUUACUGUUACUAUUCUAUAAAUGUCGGUGUCCAAAAAUCACAAAUAAAUACAAAAGUGAGCAUAAAUGUUUUUAUUUGACAUAACAACUGCAAGUCAUGCUAAACAAAUAUAUAUUAACUUGCAUAACAUAUAGGAAAACAAUCAUGUAUGCAUACUAAAUAUGUAUAGAAAUUAUAUUUAAAUAAAGGUAUUUAGGAUGCUUUUUAUUAAUUUAGAGUAUUAUCAGUUUUAAAUCAUCUUGAGAUAUCUUUAUUUGCAUGCAAUUUGUAAGACUUUUUUAAAAUUUUCAGAAAAAGAUAUUAGCUACUAAGUAAAUCAUUGUUCUGGAAAUUCAAUGCAUUUGAAACUUGAAAUGUUUGCUUUCAUGGUUUUGGUAUAAAUUAACUACAAUUUUCAAACUGAAUUCCACGUAAAGCUGGAGAAUUAAGAUUUUUUUUUUCUUGAUUAGGUUAGUGCCCACGUAGAGGAAUUGCUUGAGUCGUUGACUGACCUCUUCUCAGUCCAAAUACAUAAUAAUGAACCUGUCUAGACUGUAGUUAUUAAUUAGUACUAUCUUUUUUCAUUAAGCAUUAAACAAGUAUGUUGUAUCACUUUGUGUUCAAUUCUCUCUAUGUGAGCAAGGCAGUGGAAGUAGGGAACAACUUUGUUGUUCACCAAGCUGAUCAAGUCAUGGCUGAAAAAGCCAAAACCUUGCAAGAUCGCAUUGUAAUCUCUCUUAACAUUGAUUUUUAAUUGUAAUUAGGGUUUUUGACUUGGCUGGAUACAUUUGAUUCUAUCAUAGUUUUUUUAAUUAGUUUAUUUGUUCCGUAAAAUGAAUAGAUUAGUUGUUUAAUUUUCAAUUGGUCUUGAUGCUUUAUUCCUUAAUUUCUUCCCUCCGAUUUUGUGUGCAGUCAAGAGAACUAGCUAUGCUUGCAAUUUCAGUUCUCGCUGUCAUUUUCUUAGACAAUUUGUGUUACCAAAAAGCUUUGGUUGAGACAGGCAACUUCUUAACUACACCAUCUUCACUUUUGUCUUUUCUACUUUGAAUAAUUUUGUCACUCAAUGGAAGGCUGGUUGAAUUUUAAUAACUUGAGUUUGGGGUGUUGUUUUGCUUUGCUGGAAAAUAUAUGAUUGAUGAUGUGUAUUUUUUAAAAAGGUGUUGCUUGAACUCAUGCUUAGUAAUAUGUGUUCUUUUUAAAAAAAAUAAUUGAACUCAUGUUAAUGGUUAUUUAAAGAGAUACAUGCUGAAAUGAAAGAUACUUAAGAAUAAAAAAUAAUAAUAUGUUGACGAUUUUUCCGUUUGCUUCUAUGCUUCAAAACGAAGAAUUAAAUUGGUUUUUGGUUUGGCAUUGUAAUUUAAGGUGUUGUAUGUUGAAUUAAGAAUUUUUAAAUAUUACUUUGUCCAUACAAUUUUUUUUAUAUAUAUUUCGGGUCCAUGUUUUUUAUAGUUGAGAGUUUUUUGCUUUAUUCCAUGUGGUCUUUUUAAUUGGCAAGGGCUAUCAUGUGGCAUUGUUUUUUUUUUUUUUUCCAUUUCAGUAACUACAGCUCCCCUUAUUGUUUUCAUUUGCUUAUGUGGUUUUGUUUGUUUUUUUUUCCUUUUCCUGUCAUCUUAUAUGUAUGCCUUUGAAUGGGUUCCAUUUUUUUUUUCCAGUUUACUAGGUAAUGUGUGAGUUGUAUUGUGUUCUCUCAUUCCUUUGUAACAUGAUCAACAUAAUGCAUACAUUAUCUAAUAACAUUUUUCUCCUGCACUAUGUUCCCACAAAGCCUUAGGUGGCUUCAUUGUUGUUAAGCUUCACGUGUUUUGUUCCCUUUAAAAAAAAAUGUUAUUUAAGAUGAGGCAUUUGAAGUUGAUUGGUGCUUCAGAUAUGAGAAAAACAAUUUGUUUGUGGUUUUUUUCCAUCUGGAUUUUAGGUGCUAAUUUGGCUGAUUAGUGGAUUUAUGCAUAUGAAAAUGUUUAAUUUACAGGUUGUUUUAUUUUGUGUGGAUCUUCUUAGAAUGUUUAAUUGUGUAGGCUAUUGAUCUUGCUAUCCACUUUCAAGGAAUAUUUCACAAGGUAUUUUCAUGCCUCUUUUUUUUUUAUUAAACAGUGUUCUGGUUCUUAGUUGUUUCAUUCUUUCUUACAAGCUAUUUUCUACUAAAUUUUUUAGAAUAUGUUUGUUGUUGUUGAAAGAGCUUAAGUUAAGUUAAUCAAUGCUUAUUCUUUGUUUGCAUGAUAGCUUGAGAUUAGGGUGUUGUUUUGCUCUGUUGGAAAAUAUAUGCUUGCUGAUAUGUGUGUUUUUUUAAAAAAAAAAGGUCUUGCUUGAACUCAUGCUUAGUGAUAUGUGUUUAAAAAAAGAGUUGAUUGAACUCAUGUUAGAGGUUAUUUAAAGAGAUGCAUUCCGAAAUGAAAUAUGCUUAAGAAUAAAAAAUAAUAAUAUAUUGCAGAUUUUUCCAUUUGGGUGUUAAUUUCUAGCUUAACUGAUGAAAUAAUUUAGGCAAUCAAUUUUAUUACUUCUAUGCUUCAAAAUGAAGAAUUAAAUUGUUUAUUGAUUUGACAUGGUAAUUUAAGGUGUUGUAUGUUGAAUUAAGAAUUUUUGACAAGUUGUUUUAUAUUUCGUUGGCCUAUGAAUUAAAUUAUAUAUAGUUAGCAAUUAAAUUACGACUUUAAAUUUCAGUGUGUAUGAUUUCUGCCUGAAAUGGUUUAAAACUUUACGCUUAGCCAUUAUUGUUUUAUUGGGUUCUAUUUUCUCUCCACAAAUAUACAUUGCUCAUUUCAAGACCUUUCAAUUCAAUUACAUAUGAUUGCUGGCUACUUUUUUUUUCAACAAAACUUGCAUAGAGAAAAUUCUGUUUCUGAGAAUGUAUUGUUAAUUGCCAUGACUUUAAUUAAUUUUGGUUGCAUGUAAUUGUAAUGUGUGAGUUGUAUUGUGUUAUCUCAUUCCUUUGUAGCAUGAUCAGCAUAAUACAUACGUUAUCUAAUAACAUUUCUUUGCUGCACUAUGUUCACACAAAGCCUUGGGUUACUUCAUUGUUGUUAAACUUCACGUUGUUUUGUUCCCUUUUAAAAAAAUUGUUAUUUGAGAUGAGGCAUUUGAAGUUGACUGGUGCUUCGGAUAUGAGAAAAACAAUUUGUUUGUGGUUUUUUUCCAUCUUGAUUUUGGGUGCUAAUUUGGGUGAUUAGUGGAUUUAUGCAUUUGAAAAUGUUUGUUUUACAGGUUGCUUUAUUUUGUGUGGACCUUCUCAGAAUGUUUAAUGGUGUAGGCUAUUGAUUUUGCUAUCCACUUUCAAGGAAUGUUUCACAAGGUAUUUUCAUGCCUCUUUUUUUUAUUAAACAGUGUUCUGGUUCUUAAUUGUUUCAUUCUUUCUUACAAGCUAUUUCUACUAAAUUUUUUAGAAUAUCUUCGUUGUUGUUGAAAGAGCUUAAGUUAAAUUAAUCAAUGCUUAUUCUUUGUUUGCAUGAUAGCUUGAGAUUAGGUGUUGUUUUGCUCUGGUCGAAAAUAUAUGCUUGCUGAUAUGUGUUCUUUUUUUAAAAGGUGUUGCUUGAACUCAUGCUUAGUGAUAUAUGUUUUAAAAAAGAGUUGGUUGAACUCAUGUUAGAGGUUAUUUAAAGAGAUGCAUUCCGAAAUGAAAUAUGCUUAAGAAUAAGAAAUAACAGUAUGUUGAAGAUUUUUCCAUUUGGAUGUUAAUUGUUAGGUUAGCUAAUGAAAUAAUGCAGGCAUCAAUGUUAUUUCUUUUAUGCUUGAAAACAUAAAAUUAAAUUGUUUAUUGGUUUGACAUGGUCAUUUAAAGUGCUACCGUUGAAUAAAGAAUUUUUAACAUGUUUUAUUUUUCCUUGGCCUUUAAAUUAAAUUAUAUGUAAUUAGCAAUUAAAUUAUCACUUUAAAUUUCAGUGCAUAUAAUUUGGGCCUAAAAUGGUUUAAAGCUUUGUGCUUAACCAUUAUUGUUUUAUUGGGUUUUAUUUCGCAACAAUAUACAUUGCCAUAUCAAGAUUUUUCAAUUCAAUUACAUUGAUUGCUGGCUAUUUGUUUCCAACAACACUUGCAUAAAAAAUUCUCUUUCUGAAAUUAUGUUGUUAAUUGCCAUUACUUUAGUUAAUUUCAGUUGCAUGUAAUUGGUGAUUGAAUUGUCGCUGCUUUGAAGUGGAUGCAUAUAAUUAGUGGUUGAAUUGGUUUACAACAAGAUUUUGGUGGAAAAUAGAAUAGUUCAUUUGGUAUCACCUUUGUUUGUUGCAACAAAUUCUACUCACUUUCUUUAUUGUUGCAUUUGCUUCUUUUCAUUACAACAACUAUUAUUUUUGCAGCAGAUUAAACAUAUUUUUCAUAAUUUUUUUCUUUUGAUUUUCAUAAUCACACAUUUUUUUAUUAUUGUUGUUGUCCAUCUUUAAAGAUCAAAUUUCCUUGCUAACUUUCUAUUUUUCACCAUAUGUUACAGGCAUGUUAUUUCAAUAGCUGUUGAACUAUCUCCAGGUUGCAGGAAGCUGAAACACCACCUUUUUCCUGUCUCACUCAAGCUAUAGGUACACCUUUAUUUUCAAACUUGACCUGUUUUUUGCUUGCAACUUUGUCACUGUAUUUUUCUUUUCCACUAUAUGCUUGCUUUUUUAUGGAUUAAUUUGGAUUUUUAUAUAUGUUCAUGUUUCCAUUAUUACAUAAUUAACUUUUUUGGUGAAUUUUUUAAUCUUAUUCUUUCAUUAAAUAGUUUUCUUUUAAUUGUUUUCCAUUGAAAUUUUUGAUUUUUACCAUAUUAUUAAAAUUGCCUUGAUUGGAAAAUUAGAAACCAUUUGAUUUAGUUUUAGUUAGAUUUUGAGUUAGAUUGUAUUUAAGUGGAAGUUGAAUUAUCGCUUUGGAUUUGAUUUCAUAUAAUAUGGUUGAAAUCAUUGACAACAUUAUGCUUGGCCGUUAUUUUGUUUUGUUCUUUUUCUCCACAACAAUAUACAUUGCACAUGUCAAGGCUUUUCAAUUCAAUUACAUAUGAUGACCUGCUAAUUUUUUUUGAACAAUGCUUGCAUGAAGAAAAUUUUCUUUGUUAUAAUUAUGUUGUUAAUUCCCAAGAUUUUAAUUUGAGUGUAAUUGGUGGCUGAAUUAAUGCUUUUAGUUGCAUUGCAUAUAAUUAAUGACUAAAUUGGUUUACAACAAGAAUUUGGUGAGAAAAAGUUUGUUCAUUUCGUAACAGCUCUAUUUAUUAGAACAAUUUCCACUCAUUUUCUUUAUUUUGUUGCAUUUCCUUCUUUCUAUUGGAACAACUCUAAAUUUUGCGGCAUAAUGAACACGUUUUACGCUUUGAAUUGAAUUGCAUAUAAUUUGUGGCUUAAUUGGUACUAUUUUUUUUUAUUAAUCAUUUGCAGGACAAUGGCUCUACCUAUAAAGAGAUUAAAAAAUACAACUUCUACCCUUCAUUACGAGCUAGGGCCUGUCGAGUUUGGAUUGCUAAAUUUAAUGGUCAGCCAAGCAGUUUUAAUUGUGUUUUUGUUGACAAUCAGGUAUAAUUUAUCAUGAAAAUAUAACCACUAAUGAAUCUUAUUUUCUAUAUAUUUAAAUGUUUGAAUAAUGCAUGUCCAACUCAUUUCUGAAUAUUUUCUUUACUUUGGCAAUUUAACAUUUUUUUUACUUAACCAGGGUACUUAUUUGCUCUUAAGAUUCCCUAUGGAAAACCAAGUUUCCUUUCCUUUUUAAUUCAUUACUAUAGAACUAUAGUUAAGUUCACUACUAAACCACAAUUGCUUAUUCAACUUAUGGAAAAAACUUUUCAAUAUUGAAAUUGUUAAGAAAAACUAACAUGAUCAAUUUUUAGCAUCCAUUUAUGAUUUACAAUCAACUUUGUUUUCUACAUGCUUAAAAAACCAGACAAUCCCAAGCAUUGCAUUUGCUUUAUAUAAUCCAUAGAAAAUUUCAUACAGGUCAAGCAAAUUUCAUUUUUCUAUUACUUGACAUGAUUUAUAUAAGAGUUUGAGAAAUUUUACGAUGCAUCACUGCUAACUACCAAUUACCAUGAAAAUCUCAGUUACAAUUCCAUACUAGAGCCACGGUUUACCAGGUAUAUUACAUCCAAUUAUAAACAACAUUGAGAAGCAACCAACAAGUAUAUUUAUCUUUUAUUCUAUACAUCUUUUAUAUGCAGCUUUCAUUUAUACAAUGGUCUACUAAUUAAUUAUUAUAUAUGUGCAUCCUGCUAGAAAUAAUGUUUCACCUUCACCUCAAGACAUGUUUGUUGACUUAGAAAAUCUUGCUUCAAAUUCAUAGACUUUAUACGUAACAACCAAUUUAAACAUUUUAAGAAAUAUUAAGACAUAAAAUCUCUUAAAUUCAUUAUUAAAACCAGUCUUUUAACUUAAUGUUCCAGUAGUACCAAUACCUCACUUCCAAUGUCAUCAAAAAUCUUCUUGAAAUAAUUUACAAAACCUUAUUACAUAUUGCAUUCAAAAUUCUAAACCUUAUUACAUAUUGCAUUAAAAACUCUAUUCCAUUUGGUUGUUGGCAUGGUGAACAAUUAUUUUUUUCAUUCCAACGUUAAUCUUUUUUUUAUAUAGGGUGGAGCUAUUCAAGCUGUAGCUAAAACAAGAGAUCUCCCAACAUUUGCAGCAACAGUUAUUGAAGGAAAUCACUAUGAAAUCAAAGGAUUUUAUACUUAUGAAAACAGAGCAGUAAACACAGUUGCUGCCCAUGAUGUUGUGAUUGAUCUCAAAUCUAACACAAAGAUUACAGGCAUUGAAGCUAUUUCACCUUCUGUUCCUAGAUACUACUUUAAUUUUAUUGACUAUGCACAUAUUAUGACCAAGUCAAAAAGCUCCAGAAUUCUUACAGGUUUACCAUUUACUUCAUUCAUUUAGCCUAUUAUUAAACAUUUUUAUUAUUGAACUCAGCUUGAUAACAUCACUUAAAAGCAUUCAUUCCUGUUUUUUAAGAUGUCCUUGGAAGACUUAAAGCAUUGCAGCCACUUGAACAAGUUAUGGUUCGUGGACAGACGCUCGAAAAUAAGAGAGAAUUCAUGCUUGAGAACAUUCGGUGAGUUGAAAAAUUAAAUGCAAAUUACCUUACUUUUAUCAAGCUUAUUGAUCAAAUUUGUUUUGUAUUUUCUUUCAAAGUGGUGAGGAGCUUCGCAUAACUCUUUGGGGUGAUAGUGCUAGAGAUUUUGAUGGACUCGCUCUUCAUAACCUGCCAUCUCCGGUUAUCAUUGCGUUUGCUGGAUUUCGUGUCACGGAAUUUAAGGGUAAUUUUAACUUCUAUUUCUUUUUUUUCUAAAAAUUUUUUUUUUUUUAUUAUCAUUCUGAUCCAACUAAUUCUCCUUUCAUUUUAUUACAAAAACUCUUUUGUUCACAAGGAAAACCAAAUCUUAACAGUACAGCCGCCUCUCUUUGGUACUUCAAUCCAGACAUACCAGAAUGCUUGGCAUAUAAACAUUUGUAAGUUAUUCAACAUCAACCAUCUCUCUUAUGCUUUACCAUUAUCAAUUUUUUUCUAACUAAUUAUUUUUUCACCAUUUUUUAAUCGAUUGUACACGCAGCUUUGCACAACUACCCGUUGAAAUACAACAACUCCCUUCAUCAUCAAAUGUUGUUUUAUCGAUAGAGGAACAAAUCAAAUAGGAGAACAAUACAUGAGAUUCUUUGCAUGAAUCCUUAUGAGCACAAGGUUAUUUUUUAAACCCUUUUAUUAUUAGCUUUGAUAACAUACUUUACCUUCUUCAUAUAAUUAGUUUUUAAAUUUCAUUAACACACUUUGAAACAUGUAUUUCCUUUCCAUUACCAGCAUCUAAGAUUCACUGUCAAGCUUCGAUUGUUGACUUUGAUUUUCCCAAUGGCUGGUGGUAUCCAAGCUGUCCAAAAUGCAACAAAAACUUAGGGGGCGAAACAAUUACACAUGCAUGGAUCAUGAUGCUAUCACCUCUCUUCCAUUCCAUGGUAAGUCAUCUAAUUUCACAACUAAAGCAAUAUUAAGUUGUUAAAUAAAAAAAUCAUAUUCCUUGAUACAUUAUCAUGCACUUCUUAUUAAUGAACAUGUAUCAAUUUUAUAUUAUAGGUUUCGCUUAGAAUGCAUUGUUACCGAUGGAGAAGAUGUCACUAAUUUUCUUCUAUUUGGGAAAACUGCUGAGAACUUUUUUGGAUCAUCGGCCACCAUUAUGUCUAUGAUAAAAAAUUUAUUGAUCCCUCAGUUCUUCCUCCUGCCAUGGCAGCAAAGUUAAACAAAAGCAUGAUUUUUAGCUUCGAUUUGGUGCUUUCAGAUCCAUCACCAACAGAUGUGAGGUUAUCAUUACUAAUAUCUUUGACGACAAAUAAGAGCAUCCAUCCUCUAGAAACAGCAACUCCAGAAGCUAAAUCAUCUCCUACAUCCAAGACAUCUACUCCAUUAAGCUAUAUGAAACAGGUUCUCAAGCUCCAUCAACUCCACAAAUACUGUCACACAACUCAGGAUUGCUCCUGAUUCCUUGGAGACACCACCUCAGAACAUAUCACCAAACAAGGAAACAAGCAUAAACAGUGAAGCACGACGUGCACUUGAUUUUGAAGAUGCACAGCAGCUCAGGCAAGUUUACAUUUCCCCACACUUUCUUUACAUUUUUUUUCCUUAACACGUGCUAAAUUUGAUGGUUCUGCCUUGCAUCUCUUUAAUUCCUUUGGUUACAAUAGUCAUGAAGAUGAGCAUGACAAAGCAAUUGAAGUCCAAGGAAACCUGGGAAACAUAGCUACAUCUGAGACAUUUGAUCACUCACUUCCACCUUUGAAAAAACAACGGGCAACAUCCUCAUCAUCCUCGAAGGUUUGAUUUUUAACCUCACAUUCUUAUAAAUCAAUUUCCAAUUUGUCCAACAUGCCUUUUAUUUGUUAUUUAUUUUGUAAUUCUAUUUGUUUUUUAUUAUUUUACAUUUACCUAUUUCUCUUCACUUCACAGCCUAUAAUUCCUGAGUUCUUUUAUUCUUUACAUGCUAAUUAUACAUUGAAAACAAUUCUUAAAAGAGAAAAAAUCAUUCCCUGGAAAAUUUAUAUAUCAAUAUUAAUACUUUUCAUUAAAACCAAAGAAUUAGUAAAGGUAUGAAUUAUUAACAAUGAGAAGAAAACAUAAUUAUUAUGUGCACACAUAAAUACUUAGAUAAAGAAGAUCAUUACUUUAUAUAUGUGCAUAUGUUACUUAAACAAUUGCAAUAAUAUGGUUACUUUCUUGGUGAAUGCUGUAAAUUAAAGUCAUUCCAGAGGUUGGGGAACCAUGACACCAAUUCCUGAUACAUGAUAUGCACAAUGGAUGUCCACAUUUAGGCAGGACUGCAAGCCUUCUUUUAGGUGUUGUAGGCUUUGAAAGCACACUAUCCAGGCACACUGCACUCAAUUUCUUCACUAUGUUUUAAUGCCACAAGAAACUUUUGUUUCGUUUCUUCUCACAUGAUUCAAAUGCUCCCCUCUUUCAUCUUCCCUGAAGGAAUAAUCAGCAAUGUGAUGCUGGAGUUUUUUGAGAAAAAAUUUUUCCUUUUUUUUUUCAGUUUAGGAUUUUUAUUGCUUUGAAAAAGGUUUUAUAAUGACUACAUAAACUGUAUAUACAAUAAUGUAAAAAAAAAGAACAUGGUCAAUUUUUAUAUCUUGCUUCAUCACACAUUUAACUUCAUCUACUACACAAAUGUUCACAGAAUUUUCAACCUUCAAUUACAUCUAUAAACAAAAACAAAAAAACCAAAAAUUUUUGUGAAGGCUAUUUAACAUGUCCAAAAAAUACUAACAACAAUGACUUGGAUUUGUUGUCUUUACAUUUUUUUUAUUGUUUACAUUGCAGAAACUAGCAAUUCCUUACAAUGACUUGGUUUAGAUUCCUGUAGCAAGACAUGGAGAGGAAUCUGGCAGCUUAUUUCCACUUUUGAUGUUGUUUAUAACUUAAUCUAUAUUAUCAUGACUGCUGCCUCUGUAAUUUUGAUAUAGUUUGGAAACAACAAUGUCCUUUAAGUGCUCAGCAAUCUGACAGUUUAUUUGCAUUUUGUUGUUAUUUAUAACUUUAUCUAUAUUAUCAAACCUUUGAUAUUAUACCUAGCUGCAGUUUUUUUUAUUAUUGCUUAGCAAUUAUUAUUUUUCAUGCAUGUUAUGCUUAUUCUGGUAAAAAACUGCAUUUUCAUUCAUAACCUAAAAUCGCCCGCAGCAAAGCGCGGGCAAUCAAGCUAGUUAAAAUACUAAAGUGUGUGGAGGUUGUUUCCAAGAAAAAAGAACAUUACUACUACUUUUAAGUGUAUCUUUUGAUGUUUUCCGGUUUUGAAAAUGCGCUUAAGCUUUUAAAUGUUUUUUUUUAUUUGUCUCUAGAAAAUAUUAAUUUGAUAAUUUUUCUAGUAUGUUGCAAUAAUUUUAGUAUAGUGAUAUUAAAAAUAAAAAAAAAUUACAAAAAUUAUCUCUAAAAUACACUUUUAAUAUAUACUUUAUAACACAAUAUGUCAUGAAAACAUAGUCCCAAAAGCCUUCGACCGAGCAUAAAAAGGUUUUCAACCCAAUCAUGCUUUUUCCUUAUUAUAAAUACAAAAUAAAGUUCGAGUGAAGUAGUAGGGUACAAUCUUAAAUGGUCCAAACAUUAUUGUUAGAAUGUGACUGUGGUCCCAACAUUAUUGUAGCAUGUGCCAUGUCUCAAACUCCUAUGAUCAAAAAAUCAGGUUAUUGGUGUUUGAUGAAAUUAGUUGUCACUAAAAAUAAAAUAAAAUCCUUUGUGAAUUAAUUAAUUAUUCAAUUAAAUCCUCAAUUAGUUCUUGUUUUCCACCAAUAUUUUAAGAAUAAAAAUAUUUUAUUAGAUGUUUAGACACUCCACAAUUAUAAUAUUUUAUUUAAGUUUAAAUUUUUAUUUUAAAUAUCGAAUUUUAUGGAGGUUGACGCCAUCAUACCUUGGAAAUUCAUGUUUAUAUGUUUUUGUUUUCUAAUAUGCAUGUUUAAAUAUAAUGUUCUUAUAGCAUCAACUUCAUUAUCUACCUGCAUUUUUUUAAAUUUUAAAUUUUUUUAUUGAAUUUUUUUUAAAAUAUUUUUUUUAAAAAAUAUAUUAUUUUAAUAUAUUUCUAAACAAAAAUAUUUUGAAUUGCAAUGGCUAUUAUAAUCACAAAUAUAUUUUUAUGAUUUGCGAGGUAUUUGUUUUGCACCUGUUUUUAUGUUUAGGAUGAAAAAAAAUAAAACAAAUCAAAUUUUUAAAAACACUAGGUUUCCAAACAAGAUAACGCAUCAAGAAUCAUAGCAAUCCGACAUAUGAGAGGAAAGUUGUGAUUAUAUUUUUAAAGUGCAUCCAAGAUGUUUCUAAGGACAAAAAACACUACUACCUUUAGAGUGAUUUUGACAAUGCAGAAGGAACAUGGAUGUUGUUAUUUUAAAAAUUUUAAAGUAUUUUUAUUUAUAAAUAUAUUAAAAUAAUAUAAUUUAAUAUAGAAUAACUCAAAAAUUAAGACCAGUCUUCAAUCUUCACAAACUUUAAUAUGUAUUAAGUCAAAUUUGUGUAAUUAAAUUUAUCAAGUUUGCUUAAUUAAGAUGGAAUAUUUAUGACUUUUACAUGAUAAGCUUUUAUUGAUAUUCUAUUUUUAUUGACAGUAGUGUGCUUUUAUUUAAGAGGUUCUUCAGUCAAUGAGUUUAGAGUACAAUGAACGCCAUACUCCGUUCUUUCAAAACUUUUCAUGAUCUACAAAAAGUUUAAUUUAAUUAAUUAAAUUUUAAAUUUAUUUUUAAAAAUUAUCAAUUUAAAUUCCAAAAAUUUCAGAACCACUGAUAAUUUAUAUAGUCGUUAAUUUCAGGACUUGUAAAAUUAAUCAAGAUAUACACAAGCUAACUCGAAUAUAUUCGUUAGUAAAAAAAAAAACAUGAUCGGGCACUCUUCCAUAACCGUGGAAACAUCUCGCUCCUCCCCCGUCAAUGCUAAGGGUUGUUGCAAAGUAAAUAGGAAAGUUCGUCCAUAGACAAAUCUUUUCUGAUCGGGUUGUAAGAAUAUCUAGACCAUCUAAAAUCAGAAUCCAUUUCUGUUUCUCCAUUAUUUCUUUUUUCAAUUCGACCACUCUAUGCAGCUCCUCAUCUUCAUUAGAAAUAUUUAGACCAAUACGUCUUUCAAUUCCACCAUGUUCUGCACAUCACACAUAAUGACAUCUUUGUUUAGCGAUUGGAGCCCAGAGUUGAUCAUAAUAUAUAUCUUCCAUGGUCAAGACACAAUGGAUCUGUUGGUUGAGAUGAAUCUCCAUCACAGCCCAACAUCAUUAGGUUAUCUGCCAUCCCUUUCAAGAGAAGAAGAUUUCGAAUCAGUCCAUUCAUUCCCAUCUGUAGGCAUCUUUCUCAAACAUUAAGAAAAAAAAUGAAAAAUAAAUAAAAAAGGAAAAUUUUUUUUAUCUUAAGCUAUAUAUCCAACACUCACUUGAAAGAUAUUAAUAACCAUGUAAGCAAUUUACUUGUCAGUAUUUGACAAGGGGUGAGAGAUAUCGAAGACAAAUUAGAGUACACAAAUAGAAUGUAUUAGGUGAAUUGCCCGCGCGGUGCCGCGGGUCAUAACAUGAACUGAGAAAAACCUAAUUAAAAGCACUGAUAUCGAACUAAGCAACCAUAUGCAGUAGGCUAUUUGGCUGCCAGAACAAUUCAAAAAGGGCCUCAGAUUAAACAUCCCGAGGGCAAAUGUAAACACAUGAAAUUUUCAAAAAAGAAUAGUAUAUUUAUGCAUGCUGUAAAUUUAAAGGUUAUGAACUCUAGUAGGAUUAUAUUUAAAAAAAAAUUAUUUAACAAUAUAAUAAAAAUAGAUAAUUAUAAAAUUAAACACCAGCCCAAUAAUAAUAUAUAUAUUUUUAGGCAGCAAUAACAUCAUACAAAGAAAAAUAAAACCAAUUAUGGAACUAAAUUCUAAACCAACCCAAAUAUUAAAUAGACAUUUUUUUAAAAAAAAUUGAUAACCAAAAAAAAAGAAAAUAAAAUAAAAAGCAAAACACUAUAAACACGUGAAUAGCAUUUCUCCCACACCGUUUAGAUUUUUAAAAAAAAUUAAUAAGCAAAAAAAUACUUCAUUAAACCAGUAAACUAGUAUAAAACAUGUUAAUUUUAUAUAAAAAAAAUUAAAAUUAAAAUAAAUAAAUUAUAAAGUUAAAUUUUAAAUCACCAAUGUAAAAUAAACAAAAAUAAAAGAAAAAAACAAAAGAAAUAAAACAAAACACAUUGGAUUACUUAUUAUAAUUACAAUGAAAUGGGUGUGAAUACGUCUCUUAACUAUUCGUGAGCUUCUUAUUCGUUCUUAGUUUUUCUUGUUUUUUUUUUUCUGGUGGAAUUCCCACACGUCUUCUUUGUGGGCAGCCCCACUUUUAAACCCACUUUUUCUUCACGUCCCCAUGGUCCCCGUGUCCCACAUGUUUUCAUCAAAAACCUAAAUUUUAGAACUUCUUUGGCAGCCACGUACAUGCUUUAGUUUUUUAAAAAAAUACAAUCAUCAUCAGAGACUAUUUUAUAUACGGGGGAGCUUGUUUUGAACGCGGUAGUAAUGAUAUUUUAAAGUAUGUAUUAUCUAAAAAUAUAUAAAAAUAAUAUUUUUAUUUUUUAAAAAUUAUUUUUAACGUUAACACAUUAAAAUAAUCUAUAAAUAUAAAUGAAUUAUUUAAAAAAAUCAAAAAUUUUAAAAACACAAGCAUUCCCAAACAAGGUAACGCAUCAAGAAUCAUAACAAUAUGUGAGUGGAAAGUUGUGAUUAAAAUACUUGAAGUGCAUCCAGGCUAUUUCCAAGAAAAAAAAUUUUACUACUUUUAGAGUGAUUUUGACAGCGAAGCAGGAAAUGUAAUUAUUGUUAUUUUUAAAAUAUUUUUUAUUUAUAAUUUUAUUAAAAUAAAGGUUGUUCGUUUCGUUUUAUUUGUAAUGGUUUCAUAUUAAUUUAAAAAAUAAAAUAAAACAAAAUAAUUUUUAUCUCAUUUUAAAUCUCAGUCCCUUCUUGAUUUUUUGGCUAAAUUUAGUUCAGAAUGUUCCGGUUUUAUUCCACAUGUUCUGUUCCGAUCUUAAAAAGCCAUUAAAUCAAAUUGAACCUAGUUCAAUUAAUUAAUUAAACCAUUAAAGUAUAAAAAACACUUUUCAUUACUAUUUUCAUUAACUAUGAUAUUAAUUUUUUAAAAUUAGAUUUAUUACUAAUAUAUAUGGUUUAUAUUCAUGUUGUUUUUUUUCAAGUUUAUACUUUGUAGGAAUUUAAGCAAAAAUAUGGAUGUUUUAGAUCUCAUUGGCCUUGAUAACAUUGACCUAUUUUUAUAUUUAAAUAUUAGUGUAAAAAUAUUUUAAUUUCAUGAUAUUUUAAUAUUUUAUUAAAGUUAAAUUGUUUUAAGUUAAAAAAUUAUUUAAUCUUAUCUAUUUAAAAAUAUUUUAAAUUUUAAAAUUAUAUUUCAUCACGUCUACAUGAUCCCCUUUGUGUCAAAAACAAAUUGCCUAAAUUUUAGGCUUUAGCAGUUCCUUUUUUGAAAUCCUCAUUAGUGAAAUUUCACGACUGCUUUGGCAAUUCCUUUUUUGUGUGCUUUCAUCUUAAACUUGUGACCAAAAGGUAAACACAAUAAAAUUUUAGAUUAUAAUUAAAAAUAAAAAAGAUAAUAAUUAUUGGGAUCAGAAUUUUAGAAAUCACGCAUAUUCUACUUUCUAGUUUUAGUAUUAAAUUUAGUAUUUAAAAAUUGUGUUUAUGAAUAUGGCAGUUUCAGGUUUAGAAACCAAAACUGCCAUAUUCAUACUCUCUUAAGACAUUUUAAAAAUGUUAUCAUUUAGGUGGUGGCCUAGUGGUAAGAACUUGGGACCAAGAGGUUUGCUCCCUUUAUGGUUUCAGGUUCGAGCCCUAGGUUGCUCAUAUGAUGGCCACUGGAGGCUUACAUGGUCGUUAACUUCAGAGCCCGUGAGAUUAAUCAAGGUGCACGCAAGCUGGCCCGGACACCCACAUUAAACUAAAAAAAAAAAUGUGUGUAGAAAAAUACUUUCAGUGAUGAUUUAUAAUAAUGAAUAGAUUUAAUAUUUUAUUAGGUUACUUUAAUGAUAAAUCAAUAUAGUAUUUUUUUUAUUUUUUGGAUUUUCAUCUUGGGGAACUCAAUAGGAUGAAAAUAAAAUAUUAAUCAAACUUAAAAUUAUAAUUGUUUAUCUAUCGAAGUAAAAAAAAAAUAUGACAAUUCAGUAGUCUUUAAUGAAAUAAAAUUAAAAUAAAAAAUGUUAUUUAUGUCAUUAUAAGCACACUAUAUUAUAUUACUUUACAAAGGGACGAAGGACAUCCUUUGCAUUAGGAUGCUCCCACUCCACUACUUUCUCCCACCAUUCUUCUGGACAUGCAUCGAUGUUUCAAAGAGAAGGGGGAGGAGAUGGUUGGCUAUUUUCAAGCAACGGAAGACAAAUUGGUAUCCUCUUCAGCUUCUCACAAGAUGUUACAUCAAUAUCUUUAAGAGAAUUACAAAUCAGUUUUGCACUGGAAAUGCUUUUCAGUUCUGGUAAGCAAACCAAUUCCAGAGUUAUUAACUUUGGGAGAAUGACUUCCGUGAUGGAAUUGGAGGUGCUGCUUUCUUCAUCUGUUGUUCCUAUUAUCUCCUCCAUUUUCUUACAGAAACUCAAUUUAAUCCUUUCCAGGUUUACGAGGUUUGGCAGCAACACAAGCGGGAACAGCUUCUUCAUACUUUUACAGUCAUAACAAAAAAACCUUUUAAGACCAGAAAACGUACCGUUACAUGAUGGCAAUCGUGGUGGAGCAGAGCAGAACCAAGAAGAUGAAACCAAGCUCUCCAUGUUAUGGCAUUCCCGAAUGCUGAUGCGCUCCAGUUCAGUUGCAUUCUCUAAUGAUAAAACAUCACAUAAACUUCUUGCAUCGAUGCAUUCACAAAUCAGUCCUUGAAUGCCAUUUAAGAACUUGACCUGAAAAUCUCUAUCUCCGUUGAUACUCAAAUUACCCAACCCAACUGUUUUACUUGGAAAAGUUUCAAUGCAUUGCUCUAAAUAUCUACCCACCUCUCCUACUAAAAUCUUGCAUGUGCUUAAUGAUAGGAUCCCAUCCCGAGAUCUGAGAUACUCCACGAAGUCAAAAAAACCUUCGAAAUGGCACUCCAAAGUUUCCAAAUUUCUCAAGGAUCCUACUUCCUUUCCCUUAACUGUUAUCGGAGCAUCAUCUUGCGGCAUAAACUCUUCUAGUACAAAGACUUGCAGGUGAGAGAGUUUUGGUAAUAUCCCACUAGGAAACUCCUUUUCACCACAUCCAUUCAUUAUAAGAUACCUCAGGUUGGUUAGGCAUUCCAUUCCUUGCGGCAUCUUUUCAAGCCUAGUAUAAGAGAGAUCCAACCUCUUCAGUGCCGUGAGCUUUUUUAAUGAUGGAACAUGUUUUAAUUGACCACACUUACUGAGCAAUAAGGCAGUAAGAUUCACCAAAUCAGAAACAGAAUCUGGCAAAUUUUUAAUACCUGUGCGAGACAGAUCAAGGACCAUGAGCCUAUGCAAUUGCUUGAAAAAUGAAUCUGCAACAAAUCCCAACCCUUUAUUAUCACAUAGAAAUAGAGUUGACAGAUUUGGACACACUGGUGAAUGGUCGAAAGGAACUUCUUCAAUCUCGUUUUGCAUUAGUGAAACUAUUGUCAGAUUCUUCGUCCACUCCUCUGCAUUUGGCAACUCUUUUAACUGCGCACCUGCUUUAACCAUGCCUUGAGAGUUCUCUAGCAGUAUUUGGAUGGCCAUGUCCCUAAUCAAGUCAUGCAUCUUGACACAUCUAAUAUCAUCAUAAUCCAUUUGAGCACUUUCCAAUAGGCAGACAUAUUCAAGUCUAUUAAGCAUCGUGUGGCC